Molecule: long non-coding RNA, 102769 nt
Filed under: Sorghum bicolor (sorghum)
Lineage: Eukaryota; Viridiplantae; Streptophyta; Magnoliopsida; Poales; Poaceae
Description: long non-coding RNA (SBIC_LNC014637)
Source: RNAcentral
AGGUAGAACUAGAAGAACUAGAGGGAUCCUCUCUACUUGGAUGAAGAAUUGAAACCCUAGCUUUGAUUCUGUAGAAGAGGUAUGAUCUCCAGGGGCCAGGGGACCUUGCUUAUAUGGUCUUUUCAGAUAAAUCUGGGCCGUCAGAUCAAACCGACAUUGAUCGCACAGUUUUCUUUGAUCCUUUAGGUCGGUGGAGCAUAAUACGCGAAACGUGUCCUGAUUGGACUCUGGAAGUGGGUGGGCGCCCAGGAGACUAGGGCGGGCACCCUGUCCUUGAGCCCUCUCGGCUUCCUGUUCGUUCUCGUGGCUUCUGGAGUCUUCUAGAUGAUAGAAAAUUGCGCGACACGUUAAUAUCUCUAUGUAAACCCGACGUGUGGGCCUUUCCUCCGUAUUUCCUGAUAACCCCCUGCAGAAAUAGACAAACACCAAAACUCGUGGAAUUCUGUCAGAUAAAACCCUAAGUCUAGGUGUUGGUUCCAUUUAGAUCCUUUUCCAUGAUUAGUUGAUGUUUAAAUGUGAGCAUUAAGGACCGUCAACACGCGCCUCUUUGGUGUCUGCUUUAACGUCGCCACCGCUAUGCAGGAUAUGGACCUCCUCCGUGCCUUCCUCCGCUUCGCUGACUCCUGCCGAGGCACCGACGCUGCGCACGUGGCUAUUUAGGUCAGUCAUCUCCGGGACGUCGUCUUCGAGCUCGAGGAUGUCGCCGACGAGUGGUCGUACCUCUCCGGCAAGGGCCUGGCCCGAGACUGCAUCAAUGUCAAGGCCUGGUUUGCCCUCUCGAGGCGGCUGCGUAAGGCCCGGGAGAGGCUCUGCCGGUUGUCCGCGGAUAAGGAGUAGUAUGGCAUCUGCUUGUCCAACGGCGGCGCCGGGCCCUUCGAUACCUGUAUUCGUCGGCCGCGGCUGGCAGACAGGGCACACUUUUUGGAGGAGGAGGAGGUGAUCAGCUUCUCGGUGCAUGAGAAGGAGCCGAUGGAGCUGCUGGUCAAGGACGCAGAGCCACGGCGUGCCCUGGUCGCCGUGUACGAGAUGCUUGGCGUCGGCAAAACCACCCUCGUCACGCGCGUGUACAAGCAGCUCGUGACGAUGAGGAGGCACUUCGACUGCUCCGCGUGGGUUGUCGUCUCGCAACACUCCACGACGGAAGAUCUCCUCCAGAAGAUGCUCAAGGAGCUGCACCGCGACGCCCGCUGGAACGAAGCCGGCGCAGGCUACCCAUCACUCGUGGGCCACAUUUCGCACCUUUAGGCCUUGUUCGUUUCUACUGGAUCAAUCUGUUUUUAGGCCCAUUCCAGGUGGAUUACUGCAGUCCGUUUUUAGUCUAGAUGGGAACUGAAAUAUGUAUUCGUUUUGGGCUGGCCUAGAAUGAAAACUGGCCCGAAACAAAAACUGGCUUCUUUUUUUCUAGUCUCCACGACCCGGAAUGAAACCGGACCUUCUACUAUUCGGAUCGGUUCUUGGCCCAAGUGGAGGAAUGAGUAGAGGAACUGGAUCUAAGGGCGAGAAUGGUUCCUGUGGAGGCAAACAACUGUAUUUGGGUCAGAAUUCAAUGUUUCAUCUUAGUACCUCGCUUCAGGCUUUUAACCGUGCUGAACCUCUGGUUGAAUGGGACUAAGAAGUUACCAUGCUCACUGACCAAUCUUCACAAUCUGCAGUAUCUCGGCAUCCGUUCCACUCUCAUUGAAGAGCUUCCAAAGGAAUUGGGCAACCUGCAGAAGCUGCAAACCUUGGAUGCCAAGCUGUCCAUGGUUCAGAGGCUGCCAAGCAGAAUUGCAAAACUGAGGAGCUUGCGCCAUGUUGGAGAUAAAAGCAAUUUAGCGAUGCAUAAAUUAAUUCUGACAACAAGAAAAAGACUAACAACAUGUAUCACAGAUCUAGCGCUACAAUUUGAGUCAAAUUAACGGGAUGUAGUGCUAGCAAUAGAAACGAUAUGAGACCAAACAACACAGAGAGGAUAGACAUCUUUACAGCGGGGUUGUCGGCGCAAAGGAAGAAGAGGAAGAAGAUGAAGACUGUCGACGGAAAUCGGCGAACACUAGGCGUAGAGGGAAGAAGAUGUCCAGCGAGCAGUCGCGACGGUGCUUUCCAAAAACCUAAUACGCCCUCUACCCCGUGCAGGGACGCGAGGAGACGUAGGCUUCAGAGCCUGCUCUCCCGACACAGAUGGCACGUCGGCGACGGGAUGGGGAAGACAGCGGCAGCGCAACAGUGUGGCGAGGAAGAGAUGAAACUCUCGGUACAAAGAACGGCGUCUCGCCCCAUAGUAUGGAAACUUUACCUGCCGUUUACGCACUUGCCAUAAUACAAGAAUAAUUUCUUACCAAAUAGGCCAGCGCAAUCUCCUCCAUGCAUGCAAAACUUCCAAGUAGCAAAAGGAAGCCGAGCAUCCGCAAGGGUCGAAGUGGGAAAUCGCGGGACCAUUCACGCGCAUGUCGUGCAUGCGCGCUCAUUGGCCUGGCCCGGCGAGGCGAGCGCGCGCGUGUGGUUGUUCCUUUUCCUCUCCCCAAUUGCUUCAACAAAAUAGAGAUAGCUCAACCUUUUAAGUUGGCCUCAGUCCACUUGAAAUAGCAAGGUAAAACUAAAGUCCCCCACCUUUCCGCAAUCAGUACCAGAAUAAUAUAACAUUCGUACCUUCCGCAUCGCCAAUCCCAUAUCUGAUGAAAUAAUAUAACAAUAGUUUAUAAUAUAUAUAUAUAUAUAUAUAUAUAUAUAUAUAUGACAAACAGUACGAGAAUAGUCUUAUUAUGCUAUAGUAGAAAUUGUUUAAGUAAAUAUCACCGCAAGACCAUGAAUGGAAAAAAGAGUUCCGCCGUCAUAACACAAAUGUACUAAAUCCAGGAGAAGUGGAGAACAAUAUUUUUCAGAUCUAGGGAAAACGAUGAAUGGUAUCUAUAACUCUUAGGCCAGUCUCAGUGGGGGUUUCACCAGGAUGUCAUACACAUUUAUUAGAGCGCCAUGUCAGCAAAACUGCACUUUUUGCAUGAAACGAAGAGGAGAGAGAAGGAAGUAGUUUCACCAUGGUGAAACUCCGCUGGCGUUGUUUCCCACGCGGUGAAACAUGAUGAAAUCCCCACUGAGGACUAAAUCGUUUCACCAUCUUGCAUAUGAUCUAAUCAUUUUGCAUUGUGGAGGUUGUUUCAUUGUUCGUUUCAUUGAUGCUUUGCUCAGCCUAGGAAACAUCAAGGUGAAACUCAUGCAUUGUGGAGGUUGUUUUAUUGUUCGUUUCAUUGAUGCUCUAUCAGCAGAUUUGUUUUGGAAACAGUGCAUUGAAACGGGCCAUUGAGACUGGCCUUAUAAAGUUAAACCCCACUAGAUGAAUUCUCUCUUAAUGCAAGGUGUCCACAUCAUUUCCCACUAAGUGCCCACUAAAUAUUUUAUCUCUUCAUGCAAGAUGUCCACAUCAUUCCCCACUAAGUUCAUGUCAUUCCAUAUUAAUUAUAAAAAAUAACCAUGUCAUCUAUAUCAUGUGAAAUACUUUAAAUCUUUAAUAUAUUCACAUACAAGUCAUGUACAUACAUUAUUUUUUUCAUCACCAAUUAAGUCCUCUAUAAUGUAACCAAAUAUUAGUUUUUGUUUUAUUAGCUUAGCAAUAUUUUACUAGAUCUAAUACAAUAAAAUACAUGCAAGUCAAAUUCAUAUGUGUACAUACAUAAUAGACUAAAUACUAUAUAGUAAUGCUAUGUAUAUAAUGAUUUAUUUUUAAGAAAAUCCUACAGCAAUGCGCGGGAAAUUCACCUAGUUAUAAUAUUAAUGGAAACAUGAAACGAUGGAUAAAAGAAAAAAUAAAAUAUGCAGAAAAACAUAAAUAUAGAAUGACUGAACAAAUAACAUAAAUAGAAAAAAUAAAAAAUUGAAUAAAGCAUAGUGGAAAACAAAAGAAAAUAAAAUCACGUAAUAGAGGAAAAUACAGGAAAAAUAAAAAAUAAAAUCACAUAGAUACUAUUUGAACAACAUAUAAUGCACUAUUGAACAUCACACGAGUACUAUAUAAAUAAUAAAAAUAAUUAUGACAUAUCCCACUUGUAUUACAAGGAAAUCAUAUAUAGAACAUGAUUUUUGAAAAAUAUAAACCAUGGUAAUACAAAUAAUUAGAGUAAAAUCACAAAUAAAAAAUAAUUAAUCACAAAAUAAGAAAUAUAGAAAAUAAAAGGGAAAGAUAAACGAAAGAGAAACAGAAGAAAAGAAAGAAAACAAAAAGAACAAAAAAUGGAAAAAAGUGAAAUAAGUAAAAUAAUUAAUUUACAAAAAAGAAAUAAAGAAAAUGGAAAAAAUAAAACAUCAAGGAGAACAGAAAGAGGAAAAAAGAAAUUAAAAAAAGAGGAAAAACUCAUCAUGGUUCCACGAUCUUCGCUAGUAUUGAGGCGACCUGCAGUGGUGUCAAGCAUGCUCGCACAUCCGGACCAACGAUGACAACUGCUAUUUCUUCUUCUUCGACUAAUAAGUCUAGUAUCGAUAAAUUACAAGACUAACUCAUAAAUAUAUAAAUUUGGAUAACAUCUCCAUUUCAUGUUUAAAUGGACAACAUAAUUUACGUAAACAUGUAUAGUUGGCUCCGGAGCAUGAUAACAAAUGUUGACGUCAAUGUAUUGGUCCUCUUGUUGUGCAGUUCUAAAAAGUCGACUUAUAAUCAGUUAAUCUUUCAUAGAAUUUUCAGGUCAACAUUAAACGAGAGAUUUGGGGUGUGAGAAUGAAAAAUUACAUAACUAAAAUUUGGCAAUUGGCAUCAAGUGUCUGCAGUUUGCUAUCAGUUUUUCGAUGAAAAACUAAAUUAUAAAAAAACCCAAGUCUCAACUGUGACGGUUGAGUGGAAUAUAAAAGAGAGACAUCCUAGGGUUGAAAGGCGUCUAGGGAAGGUGCCCACAACUUGGGCUUAAGCCCCAACUCGAUACAUGGCCAAGUUGGCCCAAAAUAGGUGACGCAACACUUUGUCGUGGUCACACGGAUUAAUCCACGGGUCAUCUGGAGCUAGGAGCAAAUCCAAAAUGAUGGCAUCAUCAUCCCCUUUCAAACGAGUCCAAGAUGUCCUUGUUUCGAUGUCGUAUGAAGAAGUUAUGAUCGAAACAUUAUCGACGUGUCUGCUGAAUCCGAGUGUGACAUGGAAGCUGAGUUGGAGAAGAAUUACAACUUGGAAAAGACGAUGGUGUAGGCGUGUCCAGCGUGGCGAUUUCUUCAUCAUCCUCCCCUUCGUGAAUUGUAGUCGUCCACGACUCCAUCUUGGUGAUGUCCUCGUCAGGAGCUUUUGGGGCUAGAGAGGUGCCUUGGCUGAAGCUUUGGUCGAGUGAAUGAGUUCCCCCAACGGUUAGAAGUGAGGGAAGAGUUAUUUAUACAAGUACUCAUAGAUGAGCUACCAGUAUUAUCGAUGGGUAAUAUUCGUCUACUAGUCCCUAAGUUUCUAACCGUUGAAGCCAAUUAUAGUCAUAAAAGUGUUUCACUAGAAAAGUCCUACUAGUACUACCGAUAUUCCACCGGUACCACCGGUGCAUACCGGUACCUCCAAUAGUUCAAAUCUAUGCCAAACUUGGGUUGGCAACAGCGUUGUGUCUAAGCCUACUGGUACCACCAGUGGAGGAUCACCAAUCCUACCAGUGUACCAAGGCAAGAAAAGACUUUGCCUACCGGUACCACCGAUGAAGGCCACCGGUACUACUGGUGCACCCAGCCAAGAAAGGGCUUUUCGAAGUGCCCGUCAAGUGCUAGAGUGUCUCUCUUAUGGUUUAAUUAUUAUGAUUGAGCACUCUGUCUUCCUCGUACCAACUAAACUUGCAUCCCUUUAUAGUGCGGCAUAUCCCAAACUCAAGGUUGAAAGAAUAUAACCAUUUUAACCACUGGAGCCUUUAGAGCCUUCAUAUGCCACUUUUUCUUAGUAUCACUUUAUAAGGGGAUGCAAUUACUUUGUCUCCUAUCAUUGAGUAAAUAUAGCUUGAGCAUCUGACUUGAAUCAUUUCAACAUAUGUGAGUUCAAUCCAUGCCUUCAAGUCACUUCCAUUCAUGAUUUAAUUCUCAACACAAUAUGACUCCUCAUAGCUUGAUUAGUACCUCAAUUCAAUGGAAGUACUCUCUUCUUCACCUUAGGCAAGGUAACUCGGUCUACAAGCCAUGGCUUGCCCUUCAUCUUCGCUUAGUCCCUCGAAGUCCUUUCCUUGCUAUCCUCACCCUAUCGGGCUAGACUCAAGUCACAUCAUAUUAAACAUCCAUCAGAGAACCAUUUCAUGAAUGUUGUGAUCCUUGCUUGAAUAUCUUCUUGAUAUGAGUCUUGAUAUCAAUCAAGCUUUAGUUUAUAAUAAUACACAACUUUGGCCUUCAUUUGAAUAUUAUGUGAAAUACCAUAAAGUGUGCUUUCUUGUUGAACUUUGAUACACUUGUUAGACCUUUAAUUAUGUUGUCAUUCAAUUCACCAAAACCAACUAAAGGUCUAGAUGCACUUUCAACCUUCCACCGAUCAAUUGCAGCUCUAUUAUUAUGUUAACUUAAGUGUGAUGUCCAAUUAUUUCAUAUUGCCCGUGCCCAGGUAAUCUUUUGAAUGGUCUUUGGCUUGUAUUAUUAGGCAUUAUUACGAUAGUUAACAUAUGUAAGUGAAAGGAGUUCAGUUGAGGAAAGCUAAUUUGCUGAGAAACACAUCACAUAUUUCUAAUAAUAGUUUGCAAACUAAUAGAAAUGUAUUUGUUAUAUGGUACUAUUAUGUUUCAAAUAUGUUCUGUGAGCUAUAGUUUUUCUUAUUACCUAGAACUAAGCAUUCUGAUUUGUGUUUUCUCUGGAUUUCUUGCACGUUGACAUUCAGUGGUAACGUCAAAAGAGCACAAGAUGAGGUACAUUUAAGAGCUUGAGCAUAAUAUUGGGUUUCUCUGUAAUGCAUAAGAUCAUACUAGAGAAGGUAGGUCAUGACAUUGCUAUUGUGCAUGACAUUGGUGAAGGUAGAUCAUGUCCGCCAUGCAGAACACAAAUUGUUGGUGUGUUGUAUGUCCAAUGCACUUAUGUGAUUGCGAAAACUACACUUCACCUGCCAAUACUUUGUACUAGCUUAAAUGCCUAAUUCAUCAACAAAGCCCACCUUUAGUAAAUUACUCAAAUAUUAAAAAUUCUUUGUUUAACAGUUGUUUUGGGUGAUUUUAUGCCAUCCUAAGGUAUACCCAAGGCAGAAAAAAUCCGACGUGAAUUGAUACGGCGUUGCCGCCGUGGGGUACACAGGGUUGAACGGAGGAGUAGGUGAGAUUGAGAAUUGGAACGCAGAGUGUAUCGGGGAAACUUAGAGGAGGGUUCAUUGCCGGUGGCCACGGCUGAAGCGCCUGUGGACACCAUCGAAGGGAAACCCGCCCGCUCUUGGGAGGUUCUAUUUCCUUCGAGUGGUUGUAUAUUAGAAUAUCAUCAAAAAAAACCAAGACAAAGCAGCGGAUGAAUGAUUUGAGCACAUCGUUCAUGAGAGCAUGAAAUAUCAUCGGCGCAUUGGUGACGCCAAAAGGCAUGACGAGGAACUUGAAAUGCCCACGGUGGGUCUGAAAGGAUGUCUUGGCGACGUCAUCCAGAUGCAUGCGCACCUGGUGGUACCCGCUGCAUAAGUCAAUCUUGGUGAAGAAGUGGGCACCGUUUAGCUCGUCGAGUAGCUCGUCGACCACCGGAAUCAGAAACUUGUCCUUCACGGUGGCAUCGUUGAGGGCGCGAUAGUCCACGUAGAAGCGCUAACUGUCAUCGUGCUUGUGGACAAAGAGCACCGGGGAGGAAAAUGCUGAGGUCGACUCCCUGAUGAUCCCUUGGCUGAGCAUGUCCUCGCACUACUGCUCGAUUUCAUCCUUGAGGAGCUGCGGGUACCGGUACAGGCACACCGCCACCGGUGGAGUGCUUGGCAAGAGGUGGAUCCUGUGGUCAUGGCGCCGUGGUGGUGGCAGACCACGGGGCACCUAAAAAAUGUCGUGGUACGACUGCAGCAGCUCCUCCAGCACCGCACGGGGGUCCGCAAUGGUGUGGGCGGCCACACCCUAGUUGUUCAUGCCGGUCGAGUGAUGAGAACGGCCGUUGUACCAGAAGAACAUUGCUAGGGCGCCGAAACCCCAGACGAUGGGCCCCAGCUCUGGAGCCACUGGACGCCAAAGACCAGAUUGAAGCCGCCCAAGUCGAGUGCGAAGCAGUCGAUGGAGAAGGCCUCGCCGCCAAUGGUGACUGGAGUAGCAAGGCAGACACCCGAGCUGCGGACCCGGUCGCCAUUGGCCACCAUGACGCUGAGGCCGGUGUGUGGCGUGACGGUGAGACCCAGGCGCUGCGCAACCACAGAGUGCACGAAUGUGUGGGUGGAGCCCGUGUCCACCAACGCCCGAAGCUAGACACCGCCCACUGUGACCUGCAAUAGCAAAGAAUCCACAGAGUUGAGGCUGGUUAGCACGGAGAGGGAGAUCUCCAAGUCGUUGAUCUCUCUGAGUGGGUCCUCCUCGCCCUCCGCCAGGUCCAUGAGGAAGACACCGCCCUUGGAGGCGCACUUAUGAACUUUGCUACAAGGCUCAGGGCAAAAGUAGCAAUGCCCAUUCCGCCUUUUCUCCUCCAUCUCGGCCACCGAGAGAUGGCAAAAGCGAGGAUGGGGGCCCUCUAUCUUGUUGUGUGAUGCAGGGGCACUGGACACACCAGUGCUGGCCGACACGGUGACACGGCGGGUUGAUGGUUUAGGUGCAGCAGAGCUAUUGACCAUCGAAGCCUCCGCAUGGCGCUGCUCUUAUGCCCGUGCGAGACUCAUGGCCUUCUGAAGAUUGGUGGGGUACUGCAUCUCGACAUUGUGGGCCAGUGGCUAGCCAACCCACCCGUGUACAGGUCGAUCACCGUCCAUGGUGUGAGGCUAUCGCAACAUGCGAGUAGGGCGAGGAACCGCCACGAGUAGUCCUCCACUGAGCCUGUGCGGACCAAGGCCUUGAUCUCGGCAAUGGAGUUGGUGUGGAUCAGCGGCCCGAAGCAAAGGUUGACGAAGUCAACGAAGUGCGGCCACGACACCAUGCCGAAGUCACGCUCCAUCUGGGUACCAUUCAGUAGUGGUGCCGUCGAGGUGCAGGGACGCCAUCCACACCUUCUCAUCCUCUGGAACACAGUGUCCACGGAAGAAACUAUCGCACUUGUUGAGCCAAGUCAGAGGAUCAGACUCGCCGUUGAAGGUGGGAAAGGGGAUUUUGGGCGGCCUGUGCUGCUCUCGGUGGUGAUCGAUGAAUCCACCUCCACCACGGUCGUAGUCGUGGCCACCUCGUCCAUAGCCACGGUCGCCACGACCAGCGUAGCCGAAGUCGCGGUCAUCGCGUCCACCGCGCGAGUCGUAGCCGCGUCCGCUCCAAUCGUAGCAGUCUCGGUCGUCGUGGUAGUCGCAAUACUAUAGGGGGCCUGAUCCCGUGAGUCAGCCCCACGGGCGAAGCGACCCCACUCGCGAAGUGCCCGCUCGCGGUACUCGUUCCACGCACGAUCGCGCUCGAGAUCGUAUGCGUCGGCGUCCGUGUCCUGACGGUGUGUGUCGUCUCCGCCAUCCUGAUCCUCUGCUACACCAACGCCUUUACUAGAAUCAGGCUUGUCGGUCUCAAUGCGAGACAUUCGCUAGUCGUGGGAGUUGAGGCGGUUGGUGAUGGUGGUGAGCUGGGCGAACAUGCAAUCAAAUUUCGCAUCUAGCCGCGCCUCCAUGGCUGCAGGAUCGACAGGAGUGCCGGACAUGGUUGUCGAUGCACCCAGAUGGGUCUCCGAUACCAAAUUGAUACGGCGUUGCCGCCAUGGGGUACGUAGGGGAGAACGGAUGAGUAGAUGAGAUUGAGAAUUGGAACACAGAGUGUAUCGGGGAAACUGAGCGGAGGGUUCGUCGCCGGUGGCCACGGCUGAAGCGCCUGUGGACCUCGUCGAAGGGAAACCCGCCCGCUCUUGGGAGGUUCUAUUUCCUUCGAUACGGAUUACAUCCUUUCUAAGCCACCUUUAUAGGUUAGGUGCUUUCCCUAACAAACCAAAACAGAGAUCCUAAAAUCCCUCCCAACUUAUUGACUUCUAAAACUAACUAGAGGCACCUUAGCCACUAUUGGCUGCGGCACACCUGCCCCUGCGCCGGUACUGCCGGCCUACAAAGGAGUCCACAACAUGGACACACAGCUCUAGGUGAAAUGUGUGAAGUUCUUGGUGGGGGGCCAAUUGGUGGGUCAUAUUUUUUUUAUGUUAAACGUCAGAUCAAUGUAGAAACUUCGCUGCACCAAAAGACUAACUAUUUAUCUAUAUAAUAAUUCUUUUUUACAGCUGAUGAGAUUAAAGAGCUGUCGGAAGAAUAUGAAAACAAUUAAUUCUUCUAUUGAAGCAAAUCUUGUAAAAGAUUUUGACAAAGUAAGAAUGCAGUUGUUUUUGUAAUGUUCUUUCAGUGUUAUUAUUUGUCUCUCUUUCCAGUUUCUGAUUUUAAUUUUCAUGACUGCUAGCUGUAGCUAUGUAUACGUUUGCUUUUACUUAUCAAAUUCAUUAGAUUUACCAACCUUGGCAGAUUAUGAACUUCUAGAACAAGUUCAUCACAAGUACUUGGCCCAAGGUUGUUCUGAAUUGAAUCGGUGAUUAUGAGUUGCUUGCAUACUUGUAUGUCCUGAUAAGCUCACAUAAGACUUCUUGUAUGAUGUGACGAGUACAGUCUAAAUUUUGGAAGAAAGAAAUUUGCCUUUUUGGUUUGUUAUAGUUAGAAAAUGAUAUUUGUGCAUAGCUACUAAAUAGUAAUGGAAACUUUCUAUGAACUAACUAUCGUUCAACAAUCAACACUACUACACUAUUUUUUACAUGGAGGGAAAAAAAAUUAUCCGAGGCGGUUUUUGCAACCACCUUGGAGGUAAGGUCACGGUUAAUGUGACCAUUAACCGAGGCGGUUCCAUGCCCGCAACGGUUAAUCCGAAAAACAAAAAAAACCAGGGCCUGGAUCUAGGCCUCGCUCCAUGCCGGACCCGACCCGGCCACUACCGCCUGCAUGACGCUACUGUCGUUGCGACCGUGCUCACCGCCAUGAGGGUUGACGAAGAGCUCUUCUCGCCCAAAUCCGGCAUCGGCUUGCUCAUCGCCGCAGGAACUGCCACCAUCAACGGGGAGCUCCUCCCGUCUGGAUCCAUUAUCGAGGGGCGCCACCGCCCUAGAUCCUACACCAGGAGCCCACGAUGUGGUGAAAGAUGCCAGAGGUGGUGAUGGACGUCGGAGGUGGUGGAGGAGAGGGAGGGACGUGCACGUGCCGCCGCACCUGGAUCAAGCCGAGGAAGGCCUGGAUUCGUGAUGGUGGGGCCAGAUCUGAGGUGGUGGGGCUGGAUCCACCACACCGAAGUGCCCCGUGGCGCCGAGCACGCCCUUGGCCCUGUAGUUGUACAUAGCCUAGAUCCGCACCACCCAUGCGCGCUGCCCUAGAUCCGCGCGGCCCACGCACGCUUUGCCCUGGGCCGCCGACCGCCCGCACCCGUGCUGACCUCACACUGCAUCGAGGUAAAGGGUGGGAGGGAGAAGGGGCUGGUCGAAGGAGAAGUUGGGAGCAUCGGGUGGAGGCACCGUUGGAGAGAGAAGAGGGUGAGAGAAGUGGAGGUGAAGAAAACCCUAAGUCCUGCAUAUAUAGUAGCCCGAUAAGGUAGAAUGGGCCACAGAUUUCAUGGGCUUGGCUAGUCCCGAGCCUAUUAAUGGAGGCGGACUUUAUAAAUGGUCCGCCUCAGAAAAUAGGCUAAUUUCUAGAGACGGGCUCUAUUAUAAUAACCGCCUCUGUAAAUGGAUUUUGCGAGGUGGUUAAAAAAACUGCCUCGAUUAAUCAAAAGUGACUGCCAUCAAGGCAUUAGCUGAGGCGGUUUUCGGCGUUGUCCGCCUCCGGAAACAAUUUCAAAACGUCUCGCAAAAGAUUUUUUGUAGUAGUGCAAUUUUUGCAGAAAGAAUUAUGCCCUUUUGCAAUUUUGGUUUGUUAGUUAGCAGAUGAUACUUGUGCUACCAUAUACCCCUCUAGUCCACGAGCAGAUGGCUAGAGGGGUAUAUGAUAGCUGGCAUUAUUUAUUCUCUUUCGAGAAAAGAAUUUUAGAACCUAUAUAAUAUAUAUAUAUAUGUCCAAUUAUAUAUUUGCUUGUAUGGCAAUUAGUGGAGUUGCAACGUAAUUGUUCAAAAAGAAAAAUAUCAGAAUAUAAUUUGAGAGACUACCAUUUGUGAAAUAUUUUUUUUUUCUAUAGGGAGGAAUACCAUUCUUCUUUUAUGUUUUUGAAGAUAUUUAAAUCAUUAUCACUAAAAAGGAUUUCCCACAAAUCAUACAGCAUUCUGAUAUGUUCAGGGGUAACCAUUUUUAGUUGUUUUAUAUACUUUAUUUAGUUAUAAUUUGCAUAUAUCUGAAUGUUGUUGUAGUCUUAGUCCAGCGCCUUCUGGCCACGAGGUCCUCGUACCAGCUGCUAAAGCCGAGCCACCUGGAGCCGCCGAUGGGGUGGGUGCUUUGCUCAUUGUUGAAGUACUCCCACCACACCCCAGUUGUGGUCUUGAAGCCAACGAGGUAUAGGUUGUCAACGCGCAUGUCGACUGUGAGGAAGCUAGUCGAGUUGUGGAGGACGACAUGGAACCACAGCCUGGGACCGUUUGAUCACAUUUUCCCAUACUAUGUGGACGAAGUUGUCGUAGUCAGCUCGAUGAAAGAAUCCCUGAUCUCAGGUGUUUCCAGAUUGUAGAUUGUGAGUGUUGAUUGAUUGUGUAUUGUCUGUGAUAUAGGCAUCUAUAUGUAGUAGGAGAAAUAGGUACCUAUGUAAAUUUCAGAAACAUAAUCAGCCUAGUGUGAUCUCAAGCAUUAUGUUAUUGAUGCCAUUCUUUUUUUUGCAUAAAUUCCUAAUCAAUGCUCAAACCAAUUAGGCCUGGAGAGUUUUGUAGCAUAUGUUUUUAGAAACAUAAAGAUUUCUUUCUGCCGAUAUAAUAUAUUAUUUUAGCCAUAUUACAAAAAGUUCUAUAAAGUACAGUUUGUGAGCCUACAAUGCAGGCUCUCUAUGACUGUAUUAAUUUCAUAAACUUCUUUUUUUGAUUAAAUUUCACUUUAGUAUUGAUAUUUAAUUUUUAUAGUAUUAUUUUUUAUUGUGCGAUUUGUAUAUUUUUAAUAUAAAAUAUUAUAUAUCGCGUAACGAAGCAUGCAUGGUUAUCAGGUUCGUCAAAAAAAAAAAUCGUCACCCUGUGCAAGGUACGUACGGGCAUAGAUAGAUUGCAAACCAGAUUUUUUGAGAUUAUAUUAUUUUUGGCUGAUGUUGGAUCAGAGAUGGUCGCGAUGCCUAUACCUAACGCGCCAAUACUGGCCUUCCUAAUAAAUCCAGAAAUUACAAAAUCGUCGCCGCUUACAUUGGCAGGGGAAAUGGAUCGCAAGAAAUGAAUAGGAAUUCGGAAACCCAAUUGGAUUCAACCUUCUAUCUACACGCACACAUAUGUAAUGGCUAGGAAUUCGGAAAUCCAGUUGGAGCCGUCAGUCCGUCACCGUAUUCCCUUCAACCUUCUAUCCCGACUAGGAUUCAGCCAACGGAGCAGCCACACGGUAUCCACAUAGGUAAAGCAAAUCAAGGUGUACGCAGACGCCGAACAGUCUGAAAUCUUGAAGCAUCCAGAACAGUUUUACCCUAUAUAUAAACAGGCUAGAGCCGGUCAGCAGUAGAUACUCGCGACUUCCACGAUAAAUGGCGAACCACGAGCAUCUUCUGGAAUCGUAAGUCUCUAGAUCUCUACCUCUCCCUCUGUUAAUUGCUUGGAACUUGGAAGUCAUCCCUUAGUUUCUUCUUUAAUUUGCUCAUGCACACGCCAGUGCCCUAGAAAUUAACAAAAUCCUUUCCAUAUUUUUACAAUGGAAUCAACAUGUUUAUGCCUGGUUCUGGACCCAAAUAUAAUCUCUAGGGUUUAGUUUCAGUCUUAUAGACUUUUUUUUUGAGGAAAGCCAUUAGGCGCACUUUAUUGAUUUUGCAAGACAGUUACAUCUUUCACCAAGGCUCUUAGCAGAAAACUAGGGGGUUCAUUGAUCCAAUUACAUGUAAGCUUCUCAUGGAGCGCUAUUCAAGCUAAUUCAUGGGCUACACCAUUUGCUUUCCGUCUACAAUGUUCUAAUGAAAUAGAAACAAAAUCAAGCCACAUCAGUUCACACUGCUCAUAAAUUGGACCACUGAUGGUAGCUGUGAAUCCCCCUUGUCGCAUUGUCUCCACUACCUCCAAGCAAUCAGAUUAAAUUCUUAUUCUAUUGCAUCCCAUUGUCUGAGCUAGUACCAAUUCUUCUCUAAGUGCAGUUACUUCAGCAGUAAUAGCAUCAGACAUGAACUCAAGAUAGCUUAAGGAACCCGUUGAGUCCCUUAUAAUCGCACCUGUUUCUUCCGAUUCGAGUUCAGAUGUAUAACUUGCAUCUACAUUCAGUAGUAAUUCACUUUCAGGUGGUCUCCUCCAACAUUCUUCUUUCUUAAUGCAAUGCAUAUCCAAAUAAGCACUAUAUAUAUCUUCGUUUGAGUUCCCAGGUGAAUUUUGGGAAAGAGAAAAAGAACGUGUUACGACUUACAAUUUUACAGUUUGUAGUUUUUAGUAUUUUUCUUCUGUCACACGGUUUGGUGUAGAGUGUUCACUGUUCGAUCAGCGAGACUUUGGGAGUUUGGAGUACAUGCUGUUUCGAUCCCUCAGUAUUAGACCUAUACUAUAAUCAUGUUUUUGACAUUGGCUUGUCUUUGCAGGCAGAUGAUUAUUGAUUUACUUUUCAACAAAAUUAUAAUAAAUAAGAUGCACGAGAAAUUACUUUUUUAAAUGAGUGUGGUAAUUAACUUUCAACAGUGCCCUCUAUUUAGCCAUAUAGGAAAAACAAAAACUCCAUCAACAAUACUUUAAUAUCUUGCCUAUAGCUAUACAGCAAAUCUGAAGAGAGGGCAAGGGGCACGACAAAAACCAUGCCACAUCUUAACCCUUGAAAUAAGAGAGAAAAAUAGCCAGCAUUGUUGAGAUUGGCUGGGUUCUUUAGUUUUUGCUGCUAUUUCAUUUGUUCUAAGUAUAUUCCCUUUCGUGUAAGAUUCCGUCUGUGGGCUCGAAAUUAGAAUGCCAUGCCUCUGCUGAAAUAGUAGUAUCCAUACUGCUUGAUAUUUUGUUUGCUUCGCUGAAGUUACUAUAAAUAGAACUGGUUAAUUCUCGUCUUGUUUUACUGCAAUUGAAAUAAUCUGUGCUGGCACUGUACUGUUUCAGCACAAACGAGAGUCUUGAAGGCCAGAGCAGUGCUGAAUCCACACUGUCCCUGCAGGAACUCAACGAUGCUUUGAUUGGGAAGCCAGAGCAGUGCUGUCCUUCUGAAGUUGCAGCCCCACGUAUCGGUACAAGGGGGAGAUAUGCAAGGUAAGGCUGAUAGCCGCUUUUUUGUGUUUUGAAUUUUGAUAUGAAUGUACCUUGCUUGUCCCUUUCCAUUUUGCUUUCAAGUUCUUGUACUCUCGAAUGGAAGAUGCAAACGUGACCAACCCUGUGGUCUGCAGUUUAUUGCACUUCAAAUAUAAAUAAUCUGCCUGAUUUCAAGCUUCUCAUAAAAAGAAGGGCAAAGACCAUAAAUUUGAAUGAAGUAAAAUAGGCAUCCAUACCUCAGAUUCAUUCAUAUGUUCUUGUUAACUAAGAGCGGUCACAGCUCCAUUGUACGGAAAUAAGGUAUGAAACAUAUGGUGGAUCAUAUAUCACAAUUCACAAAGAAGCACAAAUGUGAACAUCAUCAUUCUUCUGCGUGAACUUUUGAUCAUUAUGUGUUGUUAUAUAUGAGAAUUGAUGAACUUUGAUCAUUAUGUACUGACAUAUGGGAAUUGAUACCCAUUUGUUUUACAACAUAGGAGUAAAGCGGGAUGGGCUUCCAAGGAACGGAGUACUCCUGAAGGUUACAACCGGGAGGCACACGCUUGGCAGUUUGAAUCCCCUUUCUCGCAAGGGAUGAGCGCUAGCAGUAUAAUGGAUGCAUAUGUAGAUGCAUUUCCAGCUCCUGCUGCUGUCCGUCCACCAAAGAAGAAGAAGUCACCCGAGGAAAUGAAAGCGAUCAGAGAACAAAAAAUCGUGCAGAGUGAAAGAGACUCGGUGCACCAUGUUGAGACAGCCUUGAGUAAAUACAACAGAGCAAACAACACCACGGUAAUGUCACUGUCUCUUUUGUCUCUCUCUGUACCAAAUAGUUACCUGCGGUUUGAACCUUAGAUUUUUUUUUAAAAAAAAAUGCCCUUUUGUGCUAUUUUCAGUUUGAGCUGGACGAGAUAACAGUGAAGUGCCUGUUUUUUGAGUUUGGACGGCCUUGCUAUCAUUAUAACUUCACAGCUAAGCCUGAGAAACAACAUUCUGCUGAUGCCUAUGCUAAGCUUUUCUUCUCGGAGAUUAAUUGCCCUCUUCAUAGUGAGGAUGAUGUAUUGCUGUGUUGUAUACUUGGGGAGAAAGAUGCAGGUAAUGGUUUAAUAUCUAGCUUCAUUAAUAAUUUUCUGAAUCUUCCUAACAUUUUGGAUUUACUCUUGUGCUGUGAUACCAUUUCAUGUCACAGUUGCACACGACUUCUCUUGAGAUUAUUACAAUAGGGCGAUUAUUUUCAUCCUGUCCAUAUAUAGUAAGCAACAUCGGUUUCUUUAAAUAAUGGCUCAUAGAUGCAUUGUUACAUACUCCAUGUCAUGAUGCGCAACAACCCGAACUAUCUGAUGGAACAAUUAAGAAAAUUGGUACUUUUGGGAUAAAUUCUUCCCCGUUCCAGCUUGAAGUUUUUUUUGUGUGCAGCAUAAAACUUGUAUUGCAUUACUUGGGUUACCUAGAUAAUACUAGAUAUAUUAGUGUAGUUAGACAACUACUGUUUUUUCCCUUUCGAUCUUCAAUGUUCAUUUUGUUUAUUUGACACUAGCCAUGUUACAAUUUUAGGUCAUUGCCAUGCCUGCGAGGAUUAUCGACCUACGAUGGUUCACCCAUCAAGUCGUGCAUACGGUGGUGGUAAUACUACUGCUAUCGAUUAUCCUGAUGAGGACAGCUCAAGCUCAGAUUGUGACUAUUAUUAGCAUCUCGCUUGAAAUCCAAGAACAGCGCCUAGAUCAUUUGGCCAUGGUUCACCUUUUGCUGUAAAGGGUUUAGCAUCUCUGGGAGAUAUAUAUAUAUAUUUUGAGUGAUAUUUCGAAAUCUGGACCCUGCUUGUAAUACAAUCGCAGGCAUCCAAUUUUUUUUCGUCUUUCACUUUUGCCUUUGUGAUUACAAUAAACGUACAUGUCCGAUUUUCUGAUCUGACGGAAAAUUAAUAAGCCAUUGGCCAUCUUUGUAUUUCACUACAUACUCACGUUUGGAGGAAACUAGGGCUAGGGUAUUACUCCGUUCACAAAGAUGAGACACCUAAGUACCUGUAAUAAACUAAAACUACAACGUCUUAAACUGGUUACUGGUGCCACACAUGCUACAAGCUAAAGUCGAUGACCUCGGCAAACUGUAGGCUACAACCAAACACAUCUCGCCCCAUGCAUCGCGGCAGAGCUAGCGGGUGCACAUGACCAAGGAUCUGGGAUUGGGCCCGAAUCGACUGAAUUUCAGCGAAAUUCGCCCAAUUCGGCCCAGCCCGAAAUAAAACUAAACGGGCCAAAUAUUUCAGCCCAUUUUUUUAACACAAUUAUUACUCUCCGGACCUGAAUUAUACUAGUAUAAUACUCGUGCUAACGAUCAGUAAAAAAUAGUAGCCACUUGCCGCCGACGCCGGCCGUGACGACGAGCCGGAGCUGCAACGGUCCCACCGGCGCGCGCGAGGUGCACCACGUCACGGCGCCGCGCCUGCGCACACGCACCAUGGACCGCCACGACGGCGCCGACGCGUCCACCGCUGCGUGCGCGAUCUCGACGGCCGCGAUGUCCGUCUGACCGCCCUGGUUGACAAUGGAGAUGCAAGGGGGGAGCGGCGACGCGGGGAGUGAGGCUGGCGACUCUUCCUUCGCCGUCGUUUGACAAGCGACUCUCCGUCUGAUCCCGGUGCCUUCGACCAACAAGUAAGUCAGUCGGCUGCUCUCCUCCUUCCUUGGCUGGUCAUGGCUCUCCCUGUGUUGCCAAACCUUUCCUACAACCCUACCAUUCAGACUCUUGCUGAAGUGUCCCGCCUCUUUGGCACUCCGGUCUAUUGCGCUUCCUCUGAUGACUCCUCCUUUGCUCUCGUUGUUGCCUUUGGACGGUGUAAGUAUAAGCUUUGCUCCGUUGGAGUCAUCCUUCAACCCUCACAACGCCGGUCGCCACCUCCGGCACCGCCGUCCAGACGCAACUCCGCUAGCGAUGGAACCUGGAUCCGGCUCGCGUCGCUCCUGGGCCGACAUGGCCUACGCUGAAGAGGCUGCGAGGGAUGCUGCUAGAUCUGCCUACCCCGAGCUGCCGCCGCUCACGGCCGCUGCUCACGCCUCCCUGGUGCUGCGCACAACCUCCCUCGACUUAGAUGCGACGCCGUUCUCUUCGCCUGGGGCAGGCUACGGGGACCGGCUCCACUUCACCGACUCUGAGGCCUCCUUUGGAGACUCAGAUGCGUCGCCUUUGCAAGGUAAUGUUGGUGCUCCUGUACCCGUUCUGCGGCGGCGGUGGCGUCGUAUAUGUCGUCAUAGGCCCUUUCAGGGGUCUCUCGCUGCCCCACCCCCGUCGCCUGCACCUGUCGCCCAUCCAUCUGUGCUGGCCACCCACCCGCCCCAAAUGACAGGUCAGCUAGAUGCGGAUGGCUUCCGUGAGGUGGUCAGUCGCCGGCACUGGCGGCGAAUGGUCGUUCAACGCCGCCCGGUGCCCGCGAACCUGGUGGGCAAAUGCUUCAACUGCCUAUCGGAGAGCCAUGUCAAGGCAGACUGCACUUCGCCGCCUCGCUGCUUUCACUGCCUCGGUGAGGGGCACCAGGAGCGUUCCUACCCUGCGCUUGGUCGGGACACCGUCAAGCGGGGACGCUCCCCGGCCAUGGGUAUCGAGCGGCGGGGUAGGGGAGGCCGACGUCGUCGCUCUCGCGAGUCAGCGGCGGCCACUGUUUCAGGUCGUUCUGCCUCCACUGGUCGGUCACCGUCGGUCCCGCCGGUCUGUGCCCCCUACUCCGGAACCAGCCCCUGCUGCUUCUGUCCCUCCGGAUGCUGCGGCCACCUACUCGAGGGAAGCGAAUUCGCCGGUCAUCGCUGAUGCACCGGCCCGGUCGUCUUGCGAGAACGAGGUGCCGCUGCCUUCGGCGGUGGGAACUGUUCUUGGCAUUGAGCCGGCUGCGGAGGAUGUCGCCGGUCCUUCCAGAUCUGGGAGGGGCAAAGGUCGUGCUCGCCUCCAUGGGGCUGAGGAGCCGACGGCUUCGCCGCGGACGCGUGCACGGUCACCGCUGCGUCAGCUGGUGGUGGUUCCCCGCACACCGGCACUUCAAGCGGUAGAGGAUGCUCUGUCCAUGGCCCUGCUUGCGCUGGUGCUGGGCACUAGGCCGCCGGUGACCCCGGCCUUGCUUCUUCAACAUUUGUAUGACCAUUAUGGAUUCUUGGAGGAUCGGGUCAUGGUGCGGCGAACAAGACCAGAUGACUUCAUCAUGCGGUUCUCCAACCAGGAUGACCUACAGCGCGUCCUCGACAACUAGAGGCCGGAGGGGGCAGCAUUUACCAUGCGAUGGCGGCGUUGGUCCCGGCUGAUCCUUGGAUCGGCUGGCGCAUUCCGCUACCGAUGCCUAGUCGGGAUAAAGGGUCUACCGUCGCAUGCCCGCUCGACUGAGGUGGUCCAAUGCAUCCUUUGUUCUGCUGAAGCCAGGGCGGAAAUUGCCAACCCGAAGGCUAUGGCGGAUCCUGAUGAUGAGUGUGAACUGUUCGUUGCUAGCUGGUGCGCUCAUCCUGACCUUGUUCCGGAUGAAAUUAUCAUGGCGGUGCCAGAGCCGGAGGAGGAUCAUGAUGGUGGAUCUCCGCUAUACCUCCGACCCCAUGAGAUCAUUCAUGAUGAAGUACCGGCCUUGCGAUACCUGAUACGGCUGAGGUUCAUUGAGUAUCAAGAUUGGUAUACGCCGCCGCCAUCGUCCGAUGAUGAAAUGGACUACGGAGACGACGAUUCUGACAGCGACGACAGCAAUUUCAACAGCUACUACCCUAGAUUCUGUGAUGGAGGUAGCGGCGGUGGCCGCCGUCGGCCGCGUACAACCAGAUUCGGCCGGUCGGAUGAGCCGAGGCUUGGGCCGGGCUCCGGGCCCGCCUGUCGCCCACGUGAUUCAUCGUAUGCCAUCGUUGUGGGGAAGUGGGAGGGCCCUGUCGUGUCGCCUAGGGGCGCUCUACUCUAUGCCAGUGGUGCUGCCAGGCGCGUCACAGAGUUCACGCGUGUCGCGGCGCUAGGGGGCCAGCCAUUUGACCCUGACUGCCCGCCACGGUGCUCACCAUCUCCUGUCAAGACUAGGGCCUUGGACCUGAUGCUCGUGGAGACAAGCCUGUGCACGCCACAAAAGGCGAUUAGUGCCUGUGAAGUGCAGGCCGAAAAAAACUCCUUUCAUUGCUGGCCUGGGGUUGGCUAGGAGACACUACGCAGUGGUCGCAGGCUCAUCCAGACGGCCAUCGACGACUACUUUGAGCUUCUCGUAGGCCGUUUGGCGCGUAUCAAGUGUACGUCGGGGGUCGACCUUGACCUGUCCUUCUACAGGGACAUGAACCAGGAGCCGGUCCAUGGUGCACCACGCCUUUUGGGUGAUGAGGUCGAUUUGUGCAUGUUUGGUCCUGAAGGCUCCUCUGGACCAAAUUCUCCAAUGCACGGGGACGUGAUCUACGGUCAUCUUUCGUCUCCGCCCACCGAGGUCGCCUUUGAAGAUGAGCCUGUGAUUCCAACGUCACGUUCUCAGGAGGCACGGCUGGAGGCAGACGCUGAUCCACCGAACAAAGUAGAUGCUUUCAUCGCCGCCUUCAAGAAGCCGUUGCAGCAGCGUAUCCUGAUGUCAAUGCCAAAGGCGCAUGUCACCAGAUUGGAGCAGGCUCAUCUCAGAACAGACGCUGAGCUUGUGCCCAAGCGAAGUGCAAGACUAGCCGCCAAGAGCAAGAACCGACUGCCAAAGCCUGAAGCCCAAGCAAGGAAAGUGAUGAUGAAGAAGGCAGGGAUACAAGUCAACACGGAACUCGAAGAUGCGGCGAGCUUUGAGGAAUUCCAUGAAGCUUUCAAACUACCAUUGUCUCCAUUCACCAGAGAGGCCAUGGAGGUGCUCCUGCAUGGCAAUUCGCCGCAGGCUACACGCCGUGCUCAUGCUGUCUAAGCAGGCAGCGGAUGUCGCUGUUUAAUCAAACCAUGAUAAAUCAUAAAAUGUUUAUUUGGAACGUCCGCGGUCUUAACUCGCGGGCACGUCACGAUGCAGUGCGCGAGUUUGUGACUUGGGAGCGAGUCUCCUUAAUCUGUCAAGUUGAGACAAAACUCACUGCGCUGCAGCCUUGUAUCCUCAAUGAUAUAAUGGGAAGAGCGUUUGAUUAUGUCUCUUUGGCUUCUGAGGGUGCCUCCGGAGGCAUCAUUGUGGCCUGGCGGCAGAAUGCCUGGACAGCUUCUGCUCAUAUCUGUCGUCAUUUUUCAGUGUCUGUCAACCUGAAGGCAGUGGACUCGUCUUCCUCUUCAUGGACGCUUGCUGUCGUCUAUGGGCCGGUGGACGAUCAGCUCAAACGAGACUUCCUUGGUGAGCUCAGGAUGAUACAUGCACAGAGCUUACAGGCGCUUCUGGUCUGUGGGGAUUUCAAUCUUAUUUAUCAAGCUGCGGACAAGAACAAUGAUCGGCUAAACCUUAGAACUAUGCGUCGCCUCAGGCGUGCAAUUGAUGACUUGGUGCUGGAAGAGCUCUAUCUUCACGGGAGGCUUUACACGUGGAGCAAUGAACGCCGACAUCCGACCAUGGAGCGCAUCGAUCGAGCAUUUGAAACUGUACCGUGGUUAGAGAUGUACACGACGCACCAUCUCAGGACACUUUCAUCGGACAGUUCCGAUCACGCGUCGUUGCUGCUGCAGCUAUGCAUGGAGCCCUGUGCACGAUCAAGGUUCCGGUUUGAGCCCUUCUGGGUGCGCAUGGAUGGCUUCCUGGAGACUAUCGCUCAGUCAUGGGAAUGCCAAGUGCCCAAUGUCGAUGCUUGCCGCCUGCUUGACAUAAAGUUCAGACGAACAGCAAAGGCGCUGCAAAGUUGGAGCAUGCUGAAGGUGGGCAGUAUACGCUCGCAGCUAUUUAUGACCAGGGAGAUCAUUGCCCAGCUAGACAAAGCACAAGAAUCUAGAGCUCUAGCUAUGGACGAGCUGGCCUGGCGCCGUGAACUCAAAUGUCGCAGCCUAGGAUUAGCGUCCUUGGCUCGCACCAUUGCCCGCCAUUGGUCGCGCAUUAGAUACCUGGAAGACGGAGACGCAAACACAAAAUUUUUCCAUCUCUAGGCCUGCCAUAGAAACAGGAAGAGCUACAUACCGGCACUGCUUUAUGAAGGAGCAUGGGUUUCAUCGGAGGAAGACAAGGAAGAAGCGGUUUACAGCCACUACAAAAGGAUCUUGGGGACCCCUUAUCAACGUUAGCACUCGCUGCAAUUUGUUGAUCUGCUGCCGACAAUUGACCUAACAGGUAUUGAUGCAUGCUUCUCAGAGGAGGAGAUUUGGGCAGCAGUGAAGGACCUACCGUCCGACCGUGCUCCUGGACCUGAUGGGUUCAACGGUAUCUUCUACAAAGUAGCCUGGGGGAUAAUCAAGCAAGACAUUGUUAAUGCUUUCAAUGUUGUAUGGUCCCUGGAUGGUAGAAGUUUCUACCACCUCAACUGUGCUCUCAUGAUCCUGAUACGGAAGGAGCAGCCAAAUUCUUUAAGUGACUACAGGCCCAUCAGUUUGAUUCACAGUUUCAGUAAAUUUUCACCAAAUGUCUAGCGAGAUGGCUCGCGCCGCGACUGCAUGAGAUUGUGUCACCUAACCAAUGUUCCUUCAUAAAAGGACGCUCAAUCCAUGAUAAUUUCAGGGCUGUGCAGUUGACUUCUCGUUGGCUAAAUGCUAAGAAGGUUGCUGCUGUGCUGUUGAAGCUGGAUAUCGCGAAGGCUUUUGACUCAGUUUCAUGGCCAUUCUUGUUAGAAGUGCUCCAACACAUUGGCUUCCCCAGGAGAUGGACUGACUGGAUUUCCUUACUGCUUUCAAGUUCUAGCACUAAGAUCAUCAUGAAUGGAAGGCCAGGGAAUAGGAUAACGCUUGCAAGGGGUCUUAGGCAGGGGACCCGAUUUCUCCGAUGCUCUUUGUUAUUGUGAUGGAAAGCCUGAACUCUUUAUUCAAAGAAGCUGAUCGUCGCGGAUCUCCGUGCGUCAUUAUACGCUGAUGACGUGGUGCUCCUGGUUGCGCCUACGCAGACUGAUCUUGCGUGUGUGCAGCAGGUGCUGCUUCUCUUUGCUGGUGCAUCAGGACUGAUUACCAACAUUAACAAAUGCGUUUCUCCCCUAUCAGCUGCUCUGAGGAUCAGUUGGCAAUAGUGCAGCAGGCGUUUCCAUGCACCGUCACCCCCUUCCCAUGCAAAUACUUGGGUAUUCCUUUAUCCCUCAGAAAGUUAAGAAGAUGUGAGGAGCAAGUUCUAGUGGACAGAGUAGCAGCAAGAAUUCCUACAUGGAAAUCAGGUCUCCUCAAUCAUGCAGGAAGGACUGUCCUUGCCAAAGUGACUUUAUCUGCAAUCCCUGUCCACAUUAGUAUUGCCUGCUGCUUGUCAAAUUUGGCAAUCGCACAGAUUGACAAGCGACGCAGGGCCUUCCUAUGGGCUGGGGCUGAGUCGGUAGUUGCAGGGCACUGCAAGGUGGCCUGGCCAACUGUUUGUAGGUGUUGACACCGUUUUUGGACAAGUAUCUUUGGACGCGUAUCUAGAGUUAAUGAGGUGUAGAUCGGUAGGCAGAAAAGUGGUGACUAGUCUACAGAAGAGUUGCCGAUGAGGGUUGGUGCCGAAGAGAAAACGAUGGGAUUUGGCCAAGUCUAGGAGUGGUGAUAGAUUCGUGCCGAUGACUAGUGCUGAUGGUUGCCGAUGGCUAUGAGAGGUGGUUUGCCGAUGGUCAUGGAGAAGGGCGCAGGGGUUGUCGAUCGACUCAUGGUGGUGUAUCGAUCGGUUGUGGAAGAUGAUUUAAUGUUUUCCAUAGUUAUUAGAGUUUGUUUUGUAUACGGAUUCUGUUUAAUUUAGAAUUCGAGUCCUGGUCGUGUCUGAUUGUAACCCUUUUUUGGGCAGGGUAUAAAUAUAAGACCCCGUAGCGAUGUAAGAGACACAAUCAAUCAAACAUAAGUUUUUACACAUAUUCUAGCAUCUACUUUUUCGACGACUUCAUCACCCUACAUAUUUUUCCUUUUACUUACGAGUUCUUAGGGAUUCUUUGAGUCAACCUCGAUGAGUUCUUGAGUUCCGCAUGAAUACCUCUUAGCCGUGACAUCUGGGUGCAUCGCUGUUGUCAGGACCAAAGUGUUCGAGUUACCACCUUUGUCAAUUGUAAGGUCAAAUCGGUUGGCACGCCUUAACAUCAAAUCGGGUAUUAGCCCUUUGUGUUUGCAGAUCUACUUUUGCAUCAACACAUCUUUUGGCACGCCCGGUGGGAUAGAGAUUCAACAUCAAGAUCAACAUGUCGAACACCGAUUUCGACUUGAAGAACGUCAUCCCCGUGACAGAAGCCAAUCUCAGAGAUGAACAGAAGCAAGCUAUGGCAAAAGCUAUGGAGGACUACAAGCAGCUAUGCUUAAAAUCCUUCAGUAUCAACAGGAGUGGCGAGGUGAUCCAAAAGGAAGCAUUGCUGAUGCCUCGGCAAAUCACUUUUGAAGCCAAUCCUGGUAAACUACAAGAGAUGGUUGACAAUGCUAUUAAUCAUGUUCUAAUCAAUCAAUCUAGUGUGUUGUCCAAUACAGUUUUCAAUGCUGUGGCUAGAACUUUCAAAGAAGGACAAGUACCGCCAUCUUAUGUGGGCCCAGCCUAUCAUGAGCCAAGGGCAUCAUCGGUUACAGCUCUAUCGGCUACUACGGCCGUUGCGGGUACAAAAGUUACUUCUCCUCCAAGCACAUUAGGGAUAACUAAUGCGCAAUCUACACUGAUGACGACCAAUCCAUCAACAUCAGAGGGACAAGUCAAACAUGCUACAGAUUUAUUGGCAUCAGCAAUGUCAGGGUCUGUUCCUCCCAAUUGGUGGGGAUAUGGUAUGCCCCUAGAGUUUAUGGCAAAUAGCUCUGGGACGUCUCAAGCGGCUAACAUGACAGGCAAGGCUCCUAUGGCAUCGGCACCCCAGGCUCGCCGAUGACUCAGAAUCCCCAGUAUUCUACAACUACUACUGCAAGACCUUUUACUGGGAAUUCUCAAAUGCCAACGUUCCAGAUGCCUAACGCAUCGGAAGAUUCAAUGCCGACGCAGCAAAGGUUUACAACACAGCCAGGGUAUGCCAAUUCAAUGAUAAUGCCCAAUUAUCAGCCAUCGGCAGGACCUACACCGAUGAAUGUCAAUAAUGGAUGGACAGGGCAGUUUGUCUUUCCACAAAUACCUCAGCAGAAUCAUCAGGCUAUGGGAUUUCAACAGGACCAGUGCAACCUAGAUUUCAGAAUCAAGGGUUGAUCAAUCAGCCGAUGAAUCUUGGUCAGCAAGUUGGCGGCCAACAUGCGGUGGCAAAUCCUAUGUUCCCUGGAGAUCGUGCACCGCAGAGACACGUGGAAGCUUAUCAGCAUAUGUCAGAUCCACAACCAGCUCAUCGGCAAGAUGCCGAUGCUUACUGGGCUGAUAAGAUAGCUGAGGUGAUGAGAGACCAAUUUGGGAUAAAACCCAAAGUCAACACAUACUCUUAUCGGACACCGUAUCCUCCUGCAUAUGACCUAAUUCCACUUCCAAAUCGGUACAAGGUGCCGGAAUUCACCAAGUUUUUGGGACAGGAUGAUACAUCAACCAUGGAGCAUGUUAACAGGUUCAUCAUCUAGUGUGGGGAAGCUGCUAACAGAGAUGAGUUAAGGGUUCGUCUAUUUUCAUCAUCUUUGUCUGGAUCGGCCUUUACUUGGUUUAUUUCAUUACCUCCAAACUCAGUAAUCAACUGGGCCGAUCUAGAAAAAUAGUUCCAUAAAUACUUCUUUUCUGGAGUACAUGAGAAGAAGAUUACCGAUUUAGUCAGGCUAAGGCAGCGCAACGAUGAAUCGGUUGAAAGCUUUGUACAAAGGUUGCGAGAUGUUAAGAAUAAAUGUUAUAGUCUGGUUCUAGAUGAUUGGCAGCUUGCCGAUUUGGCUUUUCAAGGAUUGUUGCCACACAUUAAAGACAAGUAUGCUUCUCAAGAGUUUGAAAGUCUGAGCCAUUUAGUGCAGAGGAUUUCAGACCAAGAUAUCAGAGCUUUUGAACCUAAGAGAGCAUGAAACAAAAAGGUGUCAUUUGUCGAUGAGGCAACAACCUCAAACUCUGAUGAAGAACCAGUCAUCGGCUUGGCAGAGUGGGUAAAGAAUAAGAAGCCGAUGUCUUGCCCUUUUGAGCAUAAAGAACGAGAAAAGUUUGCAUUUGAUAUCACCAAGGCCGAUAGGAUAUUUGAUUUUCUGCUUCAGGAGGGGCAAAUUAAGUUAUCACCCAAUCAUGUGAUUCCAUCGGCAGAGGAAUUAAAGAAGAUUAAGUACUGCAAGUGGCAUAAUGCAACAUCCCACAGUACAAAUGAGUGCAAGGUUUUCAGGCAACAGCUACAAUCGGCUAUAGAGUCUGGGAGAAUUAAGUUCAAUAGCUCCAAAGCUCAAAAACUGAUGAAGAUCGAUCAACAUCCUUUCCCUACAAAUAUGUUGGAUGCUAAGGGAAAAACCAAAGUAUUGACUGGCAGCUAAAAGAAGCGCAUCGGUGGAUCUCAACAUCAAAUUACUGCCGAUGAUGCCAAAGGCAAGGGUUUGAUCCAAGAAGGAACCAGCUCAGGAAGGCCUCCCCGAUCUGGCAUUGUGAUCACUCAUAGAAGGCACCGAGAAACCUGGCAGCAGCAUGAAGAUCGGUAUCGGCGCCAACAAGGGUAUCGUCGUCGGGAAGAAGAAAUACACCGAUAAGAGUGGAAUCGGCAUAAAGAUCAUUGGAAUUGCCCGUUCUUCAUCCACUGUUGGGAACAAAACAUCAAGCUACCAACUGUUAGAGACUGCCCUGAGUGUAAUGGCUAUAAUCAGUAUGAUAGACCAAAUCGGCAGUAUCAGAACAAUGAUCGGCGUUUUGGUGGGCCAAUUAGAGAAAGGACAUCGGUUCAUGAUCGACUGGGGGGCAGACUCAGUGUGCACGAUAGGCUUGGUGAACGUAUUGGCUAUUUUCCAAGAAGCCAAGAAGAGCUUGAGGAGAUGGCAGAUGCACGAGUUCCUGAUGAAUUCAUAUUCUGUAGGGAUGCCAAUACAUAUCGAGUAGAAUCAAGGGAAAAUCGUCACCAGUCGGUGAAGCAGACACAACUUCCUCCAUGGUGUCCAGAGGGGUUGACAAGGACACAGAAAAGAAGGCUGCAGCAGGAGCGACAAGAAGAACUGAGUAAAGGAGAGAAUUUUGCUAAGACUGGAGAUCGGCAGCAGUCAGAUCCUAAAGGAAAAGGUCCAUCGGCAGACGUUAAUAUGGUGUUUACGUUGCCGAUGGAAUUCCUUGCACCUUUUAGUGAUGAUGAGGAGGAAAAUUUUCUCGAACAGAUAGCUCAGUUGGCUCUAGAUCCGAUGACGGCUACUUUUGAAAAGCCCGCCGAUAAUGAGAGACAACACCUUAAAGCUCUGUUCGUCAAAGGUAGGGUUGAUGGACAGCCGAUGACCAAGAUACUUGUUGAUGUUGGGCUGCUAUCAAUAUUAUGCCGUAUGCAGUUUAUCGGAAACUUGGAAAAGGAGAUCAGGAUUUGACCAAGACCGAUAUGAUGUUAAAGGAUUUUGAAGGAAAUGUGACUUCAGUCAAGGGAUUUAGGGUUUAGGGUUUAGGGUUUAUGGUGUUGAGUUGACCAUCGGCAGCAAAACCUUGCCGACAACUUUCUUCGUCAUCAGUGGAAAGGGUGCUUAUAAUCUACUAUUGGGGAGAGAUUGGAUCCAUGCCAAUUGUUGCAUCCCAUCUACGAUGCACCAAUGUUUGGUUCAGUGGGUAGGUGACAAGAUUGAAAUUGUCCCAGGAGAUUCUUCAUAUGUCAUCGCAUCGGUAGAGGCAGAUACUUAUGAAAGGACCAGAUGCAUUUCAGGGGAGAUUUGGGAAAAGGAUUUUCUCCAAGUUGCCAAUUAUGAAAUUCCAACGAUCCAAGCAGUCGGUUCUGAUGAGGAGACUUAAUGGAUAGGUUUGCCGAUGAUGGAAAAUUAGGCCAGGGGUUUACAUCGGCCGAUGAUUUAGUAGAAGUAGAUAUAGGUAAUGGUGAUAAGCUAAGGCCUACUUUUAUUAGUGCUAAGUUAGAUUCCGAGUGUAAGCAGUAGUUAACCAAUUUGUUAAAGGAAUACAAAGAUUGCUUUGCUUGGGAUUAUACCGAGAUACCUGGUUUAGACCGAUCUAUUGUUGAACAUCGGUUACCUAUCAAAUCUAGAUUUCGGCCGCAUCAGCAGCCAGCUCGCUGAUGUAAUCCUAAUAUUCUUCCUGAUAUUAAGGCCGAAACAACUAAAAUUAUUGAAGCUAAAUUUAUUCGACAAUGUCGAUAUGCCGAGUGAAUUUCCAAUGUUGUUCCAGUUUACAAGAAGAAUGGGAAGCUUCAUGUCUGCAUUGACUUUAGGAAUCUUAACAAGGCUAUGCCGAUGGAUGGUUAUCCAAUGCCAGUUGCCGAUUUACUAGUUGAUGCUGCAGCCAGACAUCGGAUCAUUAGCUUUAUGGACGGCAAUGCAGGAUAUAAUCAAAUAUUCAUGGCCAAACAAGAUAUUCCAAAGACUGCAUUUAGAUGUCCUGGUCAUGUUGGGUUAUUCGAAUGGAUAGUCAUGACCUUUGGCUUGAAAAAUGCUGGUGCUACUUAUUAGAGGGCUAUGAAUUUUAUCUUUCAUGAAUUCAUCAGCAAGCGUUUGGAAAUCUAUAUUGAUGACGUGGUGGUUAAGUCUGGAGAUUUUGCAAAGCAUCUUGCCAUUCUUCGAAAGGUGUUGGAGUGCACAAGGAAACAUGGUUUAAAGAUGAAUCAUAAUAAGUGUGCAUUUGGUGUAUCGGUAGGACAAUUUCUUGAUUUCAUGGUGCAUCAGAAAAGAAUUGAAAUUAGUAGGAGGUCUAUUGAUGCUAUCAGCAAAACAGUUGCUCCCACCAACAAAACUGAACUCCAAUCUCUGAUCGGCAAGAUAAAUUUUAUCAGGUGAUUUAUAUCUAACUUGUAUGGUAAGAUUCGUGCUUUUAGUCCUUUACUUAAGUUGAAAGCCGAUCAAGAGUUUGUGUGGGGAAGAGAGCAACAGUCAGCAUUGGAUGAAAUCAAGAAUUAUUUGACAAAUCCUCCAGUUCUGAUUCCAUCUCAGCAAGGAAAACCUUUCAAAUUGUAUUUAUCUGACAAUGGGAUGGUCAUUGGUUCGGCUCUAAUUCAAGAAUUUGAAGGGAAGGAACGUGUGAUUUAUUAUUUAAGUAGAAGACUAGUUGAUGCUGAGACAAGGUAUUCGACAAUUGAAAAAAUAUGUUUAUGCUUAUACUUUUCAUGUAUUAAGUUGAGAUACUAUUUGCUAUCAGCCGAAUGCACCGUUAUAUGCAAAGAUGAUGUAGUCCGGUACAUGCUAUCUAUGCCAAUUAUGAGUGGUAGAAUCGGCAAAUGGAUUUUGGCGCUGCCGGAAUUUGAUCUACGUUACGAAUCGGCUAAGGCGGUUAAAGGGUAUAUUAUGGCCGAUUUUGUGACUCAGCAUUGUGGUGAAGUAGGGACUUUGGAGAUUGUUCCUUGGAUGCUCUUCUUUGAUGGAUCCACGUGUGACCGGGGGGCAGGAAUUGGUAUAGUAUUAAUUUCUCCUCGAGGAAAGAAGUAUGAGUUCUCUUUACCGAUUGUUGCCACGUCAACGAAUAAUCAAGCUGAAUAUCAGGCUCUGAUCAAAGGGUUGGAAUUGCUAAAAGAGGUUCAUGCCGAUGAUGUUGAGAUCUUCGGCGAUUCUAUGCUUGUUAUAAAUCAAUUGGCUGGGAUUUAUGAAUGCCGAAGCGAGGUCUUGAUAACCUAUUAUGAAAAGAGUAUGCAACUGUUAAGGGAAUUCAAGAAUUUCCGAUUGGAGCACGUUCCUCGAUUACAUAAUAAAGAGGCUAAUCGGUUAGCUCAACAUGCCUCGGGGUAUCAACCUAUCUUAAAUAUGUUAUCGGCAAUCAGUACCGAUGAUUGGAGAAAAGAAAUCAUUGAUUACUUAAAGGAUCCAUCUAAAAAGGUUGAGAGGUGUGUCAGGUUUCAAGCUACUGAGUAUGUACUCCUUGGAGAAGAGUUAUAUUAUCGGACGAUAGAUGAAGUUCUACUCAAAUGCUUGGGUGAUGAUGGGGCUAAAAACUUAAUGGGUGAGAUCCAUGAAGGAGUAUGUGGAGCACAUCAAUCGGCUUUUAAAAUGAAAUGGAUGAUUAGGAGAAACGGAUAUUAUUGGCCAACUAUACUUGAGGAUUGCUUUAAAUAUUUCAAAGGUUUUCAAGGAUGUCAGAGGUUUGGUAAUAUUCAAAGGGCAUCCGCAUCGGCCAUGAAUCCUAUUAUUAAGCCUUGGCUGUUCCGGGGGUGGGCUAUUGAUCUAAUCAGCCAGAUCUAUCCGCCAUCAAGCAAGGGGCAUAAGUUCAUCUUAGUUGCCACUGACUAUUUUACUAAGUGGGUUGAAGCUAUUCCUUUGAAGAAAGUAACAUCGGCUAACAUGAUUGAUUUUGUGAAAGAGCAUAGUGUUUACCGAUUUGGUAUUCCUCAAACAAUCACUACCGAUCAAGGUACUAUGUUCACAUCGGGGGAGUUUGAUGAAUUUGCAAUCGGUAUGGGGUUAAAGUGUUGAAUUCUUCUCCUUAUUAUGGUCAAGCCAAUGGACAAGCUGAAGCAUCUAACAAAUGAAUUAUUAAGCUCAUCAAACGAAAGAUUGAAGAAAAUCCUAGAAGAUGACAUACAUUGUUGAAUGAAGCUUUGUGGUCAUAUCGAAUGACAUGUCAUGGAUCGACCAAAGUUUCACCUUAUCAGUUAGUAUAUGGACACGAUGUAGUGCUACCGUUGGAAAUGAAGACUGGAUCUAGGAGGAUAUCUUUUCAAAAUCAACUGGCUGCCGAUGACUAUGCUACUUUGAUGAGAGAUGAGUUAGACGACUUGGCAGGGCAUCGGCUGAAAGCUUUGAUGAGUAUAGAAGAAAAUAAAAAGAGAGUUGCUAGGUGGUAUGAUAAAAAGGUGAAAGCUAAGGAGUUUUCCAAUGGAGAUUUGGAAUGGAAAUUAAUUUUACGAAUUGGGACUAAAUGUUCAAAGUUUGGCAAAUGGUCUCAUAAUUGGGGGGGUCCUUAUCGGAUAAAUCGGUCUGCUCCUGGUAAUGCUUAUUUUGGAGACUCUCAAAGGAGUUGAAUUUCCCAGAGCAUUGAAUGGAAAAUAUCUAAAGAGGUAUUACCCAAGCAUCUGGGUCGAUGCAUAAAAUUUUAAGUGCCGAUAACACUCCUAUCGGCUGGGUAAAAUUUAUCUGGGGCUGUGCAUAAUGUUUUAAAAGGUGCCAAUAACAGUCCUAUCGGCUAGACUGGAAUGAUGAGAAGUCUCUAAGAGCAGGACGAAACAAGCCGCCGAUGAAGAGCUUACAGAUUAAGCAAAGCUUGAAUGGCCGAUAUGGCGCGUAGGCGAAUCUGGUCAGCUUCUUCUAUCUCUCGGAUGUCUUCAUCGGCAGAACCCUCUACUGGCUUCAGCUUCUUCUUCAUCUGCAAUGCCUUACGGGCAUGGAUGUUCCGUUCUUGUUGGAGAGUUUUGAUCAUCUCAGGCAGCUGGCUUUCUUCUUGCUGAGCUUGAGUUAAGGCUUCUUCCACUUGUUUGAGCUCGGCUAGCAGGGUUUCUUUCUUGCCGAUAGAUCAGAAAUCUUCUCUUUCAGCGUUUCCUCUGAAGACUGCAGAAUGCCGAUGCUCUUGUGUUUCUCAUCGGCAAGGCGCUUUACUUGCAUUACUUCCUCUAUGAAUUGGACGUGAGCAGCUCUAUCGGCAAGACAUUGGGUGGCUUUCUGAUACUGAAGCUGGCGGCUUUCCAAGUGUGCAGCUUGAAACAAGAUUUCUUCUGCAUCGGCUGGGAUCUGGCCCCAAAGGGCUUUAAAUAGAGCUUUGGCUGGAUCGGAGUCAUCAACCAACUGAGCAGUAUCUUGAUGCAGCAGGGCCAACAGGUCUUCCAGCUUGAUUUUGAUUUCUGCCAAUGAGACCCCUACUGCUUGGGAGGAGCUCGCUUCUUCACCUUCAUCAUCAGAAAUAUCAAUAGCAAAGGAGAAUAAGCUGUCUAGAGAGUCUUGUUCCUAAAAAGGGAGCAGAGAUAAGUUGUCUGGUAGUCGGAUGUUGAAAAUAAAAAAAUGGAGACCAGGGACUUACUUGUUUCAGUUUCGCGCUUUUGAUGAAGGGAUGCGGUCGGUGCUAUAGGUUGAUCGGCUGGAGUUGUCGAUGGAACGAUAUCAACUGAGAAAUAACAAGGGCAAUAAUUUAAAAGGAAGAAAAUAUAUCCAUCGGUGAUAAUUUUUAUGGUCAGUACUUUACCUUGAGUUGGUGCGGUGCUUGUUUGUUCUGGAGGAAUAACCGAUGAUAUGAUCAGAUCCGCUGGAUCGGCAGUCUGCUCAAGUACAUAGGCUGGUGCUUCUUGUGGUUGAGGUGCUGGUUGAGGAGGAGACGACGCUUGCUGUGUCUCAAUUUCUGGUGAAGAGGGGGACAAUUCCACAUGAAUCGGCGACACUGGACGAGGGGGAGAAGAUGGUGCUAUUUUCUGACGCUUUGGUUGUGAUUUGGUACUCUUGGGACCUUUCCUCUUGACUUGGCCAGGCUGGGGGGCAUCGGCACUUGUUUGAGCACUUCUGGUUCUUGCCGAUUUGCCAGUCUGCUGAUGCAAUAACAAAAGUUUCGUGAGUACAAAUGUAACAGAAUAUUGAUGAAAUUUUGUUGAACAGUGAAAGUUACCAAUGAAGUUCCCAUAGCAGCCGAUGUAUCCUAAAAAGAUUUUGUAAGUAUAGAAUGGAAUCGGUAUAAAUUGAGGAAAUAAAAAAUCUACCUUGAAAGCUUGUGCCGAGGUAGCAGCGGCAACCGUUGGAGACGUCUUUGACCGCCUGGUGGUUAUCUUCUUAAAACGCACAUUCCGGUGCAUUAGAGCUGCCAGGCUUGGUGCGUUGUUGCCGAUCAGAGAAAUUGGACCUGACGGGAGGAGUUCAAUCGGCUUUCCACUUCUGCUGACUGUUGGUGGCAAGUUGUCGACCUGUUUGAAAAAGAGAAAGUGAGUUACUGAUAAGGGUAAAAGUAACAAAAGAAUUGAGGUAUCGGUUGGGAACUUACAUUGUUUUUGGGAACCUUAUACUUGCGGUCGAUCAUGCCGCGGUAUGUCACAGCCGAUGUGCAGAAUAGGUGUUCCUUCCACUCUUCCCACCACUGCUUGUACAUCUGAGUGAUGAAAAGGGCUGGGAUCCAUGCCGAUAAAUCAAUGUCCAACGUAUCGGCAUUUCGCUGAAGCUGAGCUAUUCUUAUCCACUCAAGACCGCUGGUUAUAGUCUCCGUUGGCUUCACCACAUCGGCAUAACAGAGUCCAAUCGGUAGCUGUCCAAAAGCCAGUUGACGAGCCAGUGCCGAUGGGUUAUAGAAUUCAUAGGUGGGGUUGGAAGUCUUCCCACUGCCAAAGAAAUUCACUAGUAUGGUUUUUGGAGUAAUAAUUGCCAUCAUCAGGUCAUGGUCCUUAUUGAGGGCGUCAUCAAAAGGGUGCAAAGUGAGCGGGAGUCUGGUUUCUGUGUCCUCAUAAGGCAUCCAUGCCCGCUGAUCUUUGGCACGACCCUCAUAGAGAGUUUGGAAGAAUCGGCUGACCUGGUCUUCGUUGCCACCAGUACCAGGUAAAACUAUGGUAGCCUCACCAUAGUUCAAAGAUGGGCGAGUUGCCGAUUCUUCAUCAGCCAAUUCAUGAUCUUCGGCGAUAUCUCUGGGAAAGCGUUGUGCGAAGAGGUCAAAUCCAAGGCGUUUGUGCAUGUGAACACUGAGCCACAUGUUGAUGAACCACCAAGGUCCUCCUAAAUUGCCGAUGGGUUGGCCUAACAAAAGCUUCUCGGCUACUUGAUGAAGGAGACGAUAAACAGAGCCUAACAAGUAUCGGCCAAGGGGAAAAUGACCACCGCUGGCUAGUUUCUCUGCUGCUGAUAGAUAAACAGAAGUUGGUCCUGCCGAUCGGCCGCAAAAUGCAAAUUUAUCUAGCCACAUAUUCAGAAAGAUAGCGUGUUCCCUUUGCCCAACUGGUCCUGUUUUUCGGUACUUCUGAAUGUACCCUGACCAGCCGCUGAUGCUACGAGUUUCCACCUUACGUUCAGGCUUACUAUCGAACAGGUGACUAUCAUCGGCAGUUGUGAUUUCCAGACCAGUGAGCAUAAGUACAUUGGCAAGGGUAGGAGAAGCAGGGCCAUGGCCGAAUACGAAAGCAUUAAGGGUGUCUGACCAGAAGUACGAAGCUGCUAUCAAUAGUGAUUCGUUUCUUUCCAUAUCGGCAGUGGAUAGCCCAAUGCACUGGUCUAGUUUGCGCUCACCCCAUUGAACCUCAUUCGAGUUGCCGAUUCUCAAGAACCAAUCUUUCCACCCCUUGGUAGAACUGUGCCAGGAACGAAAAGUGUCUUUCCACAGAUCUAAAGAGAAGUUCUCAGCUCUAAAGGGGAUCCUAUUUGUCUCUGCAUUUAUCAAAUCGGAAGGAUCUAGGUUUCCCAAUGGACCAAGGCAUUGGAAGUGGGGUUGAUCGGUGGGAAUAACAAUUUUCUCGGCUAACUCCUAUAGGUUUGAAGGUUGAAAAGACAGGGAAAAGAAAGAGAGAAAAUACCAAGUAAAUAAUUGUGUGAAAGAUCAAGAAUAUGGUAAAAAGAAGAAAGGGGAUGUUGAGUUGACCUCAGGGACGACGAAGUUGAUGGCCAUUUCUUCCCGAAAGGAGGAAAGGAUCGAAGACUCAGAAGAUUGUUGGAGGAGAUCCUUGCCGGAGUUCUUGAAGUUCUCGAACAGUGCCGCCGCCAGGAAGGUGGGUUUGAGGCUGUAGAAUGACAAGAUGGAGGAAGUGUGGGGGUAUAAACCCCUAUACCCUUACGGCUAGACUUCGGCCAGGAGGCUUGGCCCAUUACGAAACAAGUUCGAGGCUUGAUCCGAUCGCUUGGAGUUUCGUGCAAGGAAACAAGAUGUGGAGAUCAAGCAGGAUUCUAGUCGGUUAGAAUAGGAAUUGAUAUCGAGCUAUCUUUGGCAAUUGUAACCGACUAGGAUUAGUUUCUAGAUCUGUAACCCUGCCCUCCGGACUAUAUAAGGAGGGGCAAGGGACCCCCCAUGGGACAUGUUAUUCUCUCAAUCCAAUACAAUCAGACGCAGGACGUAGGUAUUACGCCCACACGGCGGCUGAACCUGGAUAAAAAGCUUGUUCGUGUCUUGCGUCACCAUCGAGUUCGUAGUUUGCGCACCGUCUACUGAUAAACUACUACCGUGGGUAUACCCCAAGGUAGACUGCCAACAAGCUUUCGUCGACAGUGGCGCGCCAGGUAGGGGGUGUGCGUACAGCUUUUUUUGGCGAACAAGAUGGUCAUCGUUCCAGCUUCCGCGGCCGUGCCUAAAGGCCUCACGUUCACCGUCAGCCAGAUUACGUGGACAACUCGCGGCGGUGGCCUCAUGACCACGAUUUCAGAAGAAACCCAGAUCCAAUCUGGGAUGACUAUAGCAUCGGCUCCGACCACGCGGACACUGGCACCGAGCACCCGACCACAGCUUCCGCACUACAAGGGAAAGAAGAUCGAUGGCUCGGACCUUCUCCGAGCCCUUGACCGCGCUGAUCUCAAGCUUCUCGAAGCUUCCCGACUAGUAGAUGGGAUCUCGCGUCAGCCUGAUCAAGCCGCGCCAACAGAUUUUUUCAACUCCUACCGGCCAACUCGUGUCAUCACACACGAACGGCUGGGAACGUCUCUGACGAUAACCUCCAGCCCCUCAGGACGGUCCGUCAAACUCGAGGCUAAUCCAGAACAAGAUUAUCCUUACGGUCUGAAUAACUCGGCCGUUCUCUACUCGCGGCACAUCCAAUCCCUUUUUGACGAGGCUGGUUGGUUGCCAAAAUGGAGCGGUCGACCAGCUCGUCACUACGUCAACAUGGUGACGAUCCGAGAACUACGGGACGGCCAGGCUUCCAGCACAAACUCCAGCACUGGGUCCGUUCCCACUGAAGUCAUAAACUCCGAGGACGAGGACUACGACCUGGAUUUACCACCAUAUCCUCCGGGUUUCUCUCGCUUUCCGGUCUUUCCACCCCGGCGAGGAGACCUCGUCUUCAAUGUCUGCGCCGACGAGCCGGUCGUUGAUGGAGAAACAGAUGAGCAGAGGCAGCUCCGCGAGCAGCGCAAUGCCGACCGCGCCCGACGACGCGCGGACGAGGAGUGCCAACUCCCGCCGCAUAAUCUCACCGACGCUUUCGACAUGGUCGGGGAUCAGCCAGGAAGUAAAUCAGCACAGGGAUCUUCGAUACAACAUCCCUCCCAAAGACGCCCGGGACCGCAUCAACAGGCGCGCCACAGAGAGAGCAGUUCACGAAAACCUGCGUCGUAUUGAGUACGAUGCAACGCACGGCCCCCCGGGCCUGAGACAGUUCUCCUCACACCUCCGCCAGGUCGUGUGGCCCCGAAACUUCAAGCUCGAGAAGCUCAAGAAAUACGACGGCAAGGAAAACCCAGAAAACUGGAUCACUAUCUAUGAGAUCGCAGUUCAUUCAGCAGCAGGAGACGAGCACGUCAUGGCUAACUACUUCCCGGUCAUCCUCGAUCAGGCCGGUCAUCAAUGGCUCCUGGGCCUGCCCGAGGACUCUUUUGACUCUUGGGAAGAACUCCGCCAAGCGUUCAUCGACAACUUCAUCACUACCUGCGAGUAGCCCGGGAACAAGUACGACCUCGAGAGGAUAAAGGACAGGAAAAACGAGCCUCUGCGCGACUACAUCCGACGGUUCUCGGAUAUGUGCCUCAAAAUCCUGAAAAUUUCCCACGACGAGGCCAUAUCUGCUUUCAUCAAAGGGCUACGCUUCCACGAAGCACUGAGGAACAAGCUACUACGCAAAAGGCCAACGACGAUGGCUGAACUCCUUGCCACGGCCAAAAAUUAUGCCGACGCCGACGAUGCAGAAAAACUCAUCUGGGACGACACAAGAGGUCCCGACCAGCUUCCUCGACGAGACGACAGUCGUGGUCGUUUCGACAACAGGAAUCAUCGUCGCCCCGACGGCCGCGAUCACAGAGAAGGUUGGGAUAGGCGGCGUGACAAUCGUGAUGACUUCAGAGGCAAGCGCCCUCGUGACCACGACCAAGAGGUGAAUACGGUCAAGCGUCCCAACGGGCGGCGAGACUACCAGGAAGACUACAACAAGACAUUGAAGGGACCAUGCCAACUACAUCCAAAAUCCAACCACACGAUGGAGGAAUGUUGUGUCCUCAAAAGCAUCUACACGCAGCGGGCUGCUCAAGACGACCCCGCCAAGAAAAACGGGAAACAGGACGGGCGCGAUCACGAAGACGAGGACGAGGACCAGGAUAGGGACCCACGACACCAGUAUGUCAGUCCACCCGACGUGGUCCACUCCAUCUUCAGGGGCAAGGUCUCCAUCGAGUCUAAGCGAGAAAGAAAGCUCUUAAAGAGAGCCUGCCUCUACAUAGACAGCACGGACGGCCUGAUCGCCGACCUGAAAUUCCCUCCCUGGUCGCACAGGGAGAUCUCCUUCAGCAGGAAGGAUCAGUGGGCCGCCAUCCCGAAACCAGGACGCUUCCCUCUAAUAUUGGAUCCCUGCAUCAACAGCAUCAGAUUUGAGCGCGUACUCGUCGACGGGGGAAGCUCCAUUGACAUCCUCUUCCGCAAUAGCUUGCCUGCUCUCAAGAUAACCCUGGCACAGCUAAAGCCCUACGACGCUCAAUUCUGGGGAGUCUUACCAGGUCAAAGUUCAGUACCCCUCGGACAGAUAACGCUGCCUGUCUAGUUCGAAACAUCCGACCACUUUCGAAUAGAGUUCGUCAACUUUGUGGUCGCCGACUUUGAUGGAACUUACCACGCUAUACUGGGCUAACCAUCGCUGACAAAGUUCAUGGCAGUUCCACAUUACUCAUACCUGGUCCUCAAAAUGCCUACAGAAAAGGGCGUCCUAACUGUUCGAGGCAAUGUCUACACCGCAUACACCUGCGAGGAGGAGAGCUUCAAGAUCACCGAAGCAAUUGAUCUUUCAAUCCGCAUGGUAGAAACUGUAGCCCAAGUCGCACAGCUGUUGGGUAUUUUAAACGCAAACAGAAAAAUCCGCAAGCGCACGGAUACCGAUGUAGCCUUCACCCAGGAGUAUUCCAGAGUAUCGAUUUUCCACAGAGAACGUGAGUGUACUAAUUAAGAUCCAAGAUCGCCCAAGGAUAACUAUAUAAUUAUUUUUGGUGGGAAGAGAGGAAGUUUCCUGAGAGUUCUCUAGUUGAUCUAAGAAUCAAGAAUUACUUCAAAAUUAUCUAUAUCGGGACAUCAGAGCACUAACCACAGAAAGAGAUGAGAAGGGGGCUAGGAAGGUCUGACUACGGUCCUACAAACACCGAUCCGAAUGUGGUGGAAUACGUCGACCGUUAGGGCUGUCACUACCCUAAGGCUACCACAACAAUCCGCAGGAUUGGGUGCAAUUCCAGGUAAUCGCAAGACUAAACACCACAUCUAAUCUAUUAAUUACUACUCUAGUGUUAUAAAGACUAGAGCACUUGAUGCAAGCAGGAAUCCAAUAAAUAACUUGAAUGUAAAUAAAAGUAAUUAAAGAACUCAGGAAUUAUGAAUUGAAGAACCUGGAGAAUGAUGAAGAACGAACCAGUUGCUGCAAAAGUACAAUGUUGAGGAAGAUCCGACAGAUCUGGCUCCUCCUCCGCUCUCCUCUUCUCUCUCCCUAUUUUCUAGAUUACAACUAGAACUAACUAGAACUAGAACUAGAGGAACUAGAACUAGAACUAGAUGAACUAGAACUAGAUCUAGAUGAACUAGAGGUAGAACUAGAGGGAUCCUCUCUACUUGGAUGAAGAAUUAAAAUCCUAGCUUUGAUUCUGUAGAAGAGGUAUGCUCUCCAGGGGCCAGAGGGCCUUGCUUAUAUAGUCUUUUCAGAUGAAUCUGGGCCGUCGGAUCAAACCGACAUUAAUCACAUGGUUUCCCUUGGUCCCUUAGGUCGGUGGAGCACGAUCUGCGAAGUUGAAGCUGAUUAGUUACUGUAGCUUGGCGGGCACCCAAGGGACUUGGGCGGGCGCCCUGCUCCCGGGCCCGAUCGGCCUCCCGUUCGUUCCCGUGGCUUCUAGAGUCUUCUAGAUGAUAGAAAAUUGUGCGGCACGUUAAUAUCUCUAUGUAAACCCGACGUGUGGGCUUUUCUUCCGUAUUUCCUGAUAACCCCCUGCAGAAAUAGACAAACACCAAAACUCGUGGAAUUCUGUCAGAUAAAACCCUAAGUCGAGGUGUUGGCUGCAUAUAAGUCUUUUUCCAUGAUUAGUUGAUGGUUAAAUGUGAGCAUUAAGGACCAUCAACAAGCUCCCCCAAUCUUAACCUUUGCUCGUCCCUGAGCAAAGAUGAACUCAAGAAUUUCUGCAGUGGUUUCAAUAAAUGCGUUCAAACAAGAUCUCAUCUCUGGGUUAGGGUAAACUGUUAAGAUUUAAAACUUACUUGUUUUACCUUUUACCAUGGCACUUGUAACCGUCACCUCUGUCUUGAGCAGUUAAAAGAUAGAACGGUCUAGUCAAGCACCAUGUCUCUUGUUCUUCGAUUAACUAUAGCUCUGGAGUUUUUGCAGAUUUUCAAAUAAAACUCAGAGAUUCCUUGUAUAACUGUCUCUAGUCUCUCUUUUGUGGUAUUUCUAGAUCCUUACCAAGGCAGUAAUGGUGUAUGUCUUCUCUCAAAGUAUGUGGUAUUUUUGGUAUGAGGCAUACUGGCAUUGCCUUCUCUCUCACCCUACUCUAAUAAGGUUUUGAUAUCUGGAGCUCAUAGGUGGGAGACAGCUAAUACAUACUUAUAAGACAUUUAUUGCAUAGUCAAACCAUGGAUCCAGAAGAACAAGUCAAUAAGCCAAAUCAAGACGUGCAUGUGUGGCGAAUGAAUGGUGCAUGGUAAUGAUGGUGAUAACAAUGGUAAAAGUCUAAUUCUACUUGUGCUCUUUUGAUGGGAUACAUACCUUUCUUGCUCUUUUGAAACUUUUUGAGGAGAAUGAGAUGCUCUAUAUUUUUGUUUUUCUUUUCUCUCAGGUGGGUAUCUUGUACCCCUAAUUCUACUGUCGGACACUUGUCCAUUUUUACCUCUCGUCUCACUUUUUCUUUUCUUUCGAGGUUCCGGGCACUUGCCCCUUUUUAUUUCCUCGUAUCUUUUUUUCUUCUUUUUUUAGAGCACUCAUCUCUUGAAAUAAUGUAGCAAGUGGCAGUAACCAAGAUAACUUGAGCAUUUAUUUCACAGGGGAAAACAGAAAUGUUUUUGGCUAUUCUCUCCCGGAUUAGGAGUAGAAUAUUUUUAGGUGAUUCUGGAGAUGGAAAUGGAUGGAUAUAUGUGGAUGCGUACUUCCGGAGUAGAAGCAGCAUGUAUGAGUGAACGUGCAAGUGAAUCUUGAUUUUAACCACAUGACAAGCUCCUAAGGGUCUACACAGCUUGACCAUACUCAAUGCUCAUAAGCAGUAAAAAGUAAGUGUGUGGUUCAUAGUCUAGCAAGCAUGUAUAUAUGGCUGUGAUAGGAAUUUAAACUCUCAUCAUACAGGAACUCAUCAUGCAACAUUUUAAAGAUUUUCAAAGAUAAAAUUCUCCAGAAUUCUAGCAUCUCUAGGAAUAGAUAAACAGCAGCUCAACCUUCCCAUAUCGUAUCCGUUAACGACUUAGACUUUAGAUCAAGUAUUCUCCCCACAAGUUCAGGUUUAGAGCAAAUCUUAAUUCAUAACAGUCAAGCCUAAACUUGAGAGAGAUUUCAAUUCUGAGAACUAGUCAUGGCAGGGCAACUAUUCAUCAUUUCCAUGUGAGAGCUUAUCAUGAGGGUUCAUAGCAAACUUUAUUUAUUUAUUUAUUUAGCAAACUCAGCAGAGAUAUAUAUAUAAUCACAAAAUCUUUAUUUGGGUUUUUAUGAUUAUGCAUCUUUUUAUUAUUUGAGUAAAAUAUAAACAUGAGUAGAAUACUUAGCUGGAUAAAUGGGGGUGCUCUCCCCCAGCUGGAUUUUGACGUAAUUUCUUCUGAUGUAGCUAGCAGGUGGCGGAGGUGUAUUUGAAUGUCGGCAACACCCUGACAGCGAUUAGGAUUUCCUCCGUCUGCUAGUCUUCUUUGAUCCUUUAAUUCUAUGGAGCUCAAUUAGACAACAAAGCUUUGUGGAACUGGUUAAGUGUUAGCAUAAAUAUCUAGCCUUUAUCAUGUUGAGCCUCCUCGAUAAAUGUUACUCUCUUUAGUAGGAUCACAAUCUUAUUUUUAUAUUUUCAUUUUUAUAGGACAGGAAUAUAUUUAUUUUAUUUUUACGCCACCAUAGUGAAUGUACUUAUGGGUUUUAUGCCAUGACCAUACUCACAUGGGGCUUACUGUUUUUUAACAUUUUUAUUUUCUUUUGAAGAUGAUAUGAACCUGAUUAACUAAGCAAACUAUUUUAAAUAAUUGAAAGGAAAAGAGAUAACUACCAAGUUUACCUCUUGGCAAGGCGUUCGGUGUUUUUAAGUCCUCCGAAUGGGACUCUCCGUUUUCUCAGUCGUAUGGCGUAGUCGGUGGUUCCGGUGGAGCCUGCUCUUCAUGUAUAACUAUCUUUUUUCUCCACACCUGACUCGAUGCUACGGUCUCCCCAGGACAGUUCUGUUCAAGUUAUAUGUCUUCAGACCUUACAACUUCUCCAUCAUAGUCUACCCAUCCGUCCUUGAUGAUUUUGCCUUCUCUGGUUGCGGUUGCGCCGUCUCCUUCUUGUCCCGACCUGCUUAGAGUCUUCAACUAUAUAGUUAGGGUCAGUAAAAUAGUGGCGUACCUUCUCAGAGGUGAAGUGCAUGUGAACUUCUCGGGUUCCAAUGUAGAUGAUUGCUUUAACGGUGCUGAGGAACGGUCUCCUAAGGAUGAUGGAGGAUCAUACUUGUCUUCUCCCAUGUCAAUAACCUUAAAAUUAUCUGGAGCUGAAUGUAUGUUGGUUGUAGGGACAUGGUUCCAUGCAGGAGCUGAUAAGUGACUGCGGCCAUUAUGUUGACGUCAGAUCCGGUGUCGUAGAGUGUCUUCUGAAAGGAAUAUCCGUUGAUUGUGCACUCGAUGCUUGGAACACCAGGGUCGUCCUUCUUGAUCAAGAAAGGCGACUUGAGUUGACGAUCUUGACCUCCUUGAACAGCAGUGACCAUCUUAGCUGACUCGGUCCACAUUUGCUUGUUCCUGUUCCUCCUGUUGGUCCUCUUCCUUGGUUCAUGUCGGGAUUGCUCUGAGAUUUGUGUAGUCUUGUUCUUGAAGGAAAACAUCUCCUUCCUUCCCUUGAGGUAGAAACUGAUCUUGGCAGCACUAGCGUAGAUGACAGCUCCUGGUAUUUAGGAAUGGCCUCCCUUGGGUAUAAUGUUGACGCUGGAGCCAAAGUCGCAGAGUGCUUCUAGGAAAGUCCACCAUGCCUAUGGAGAUCGAGAUGACGGGGCGUCCUGGGUUGUCUCUCUUGACCGGCAGAAGGUUAGUAAUUACUUCCACAACGGGGUUACUCCAGUAGUUACGUCCUUAAGCGUCUCAGGGCAGUGAUUGCCUGAGUGUCCAUUAUCUCCAGUGUGUUUGAGCUCGUAAAUCUAGGUUCUUCACUUGGUGGAGUCUAGAAGUUGUAAAAGUCCUUCAUAGUUUGCUCGAAGUGUACCUGCUCAUAGAGACAAGGCAGAGAUCAAGUGCAUGGUCCCUGUUGGUGGAAAACACCAACAGAACCAAAAGUGUAUUUGUUCUCUCUAACCUUAAGCAUAGUGAGCAAGACAAAGUUGAUGAAUAAUAAGAUCAUGAGUGUAGCAUUUAAAACAUUUGUCAGAGAUCGCUCAACCUAAUGGAAAGAUAAUCUAUCUAUAUUUAUGUUGUUUUUUUUAUAAAAUAUAUCUUCCAAAGAUUGAGUGUGCAACAUUUUAGUUCAUAUGAUUAGGAGUGUCGGAUCACAACGGUAGAAGGACUAAACAUAUUGAAUCGAUUGGGUUGGUUAAUCUAAAGUUGUAAAUCAUACAUGUUUGUCUCUUUUAUUCAUGUGAACGCCAUAAAUAAGGAGAAGCUUAUAAAAGUGAUAGUCAAGUACCUUAAGAUGUUACCUUACUUGAAGAGUGAUGGUACAGUAUCACCUUGUGGAAGCUUUCCUCUCUUAGCGGUUGUGCAUCGUGUUUGUGGCACCCUCCAUGGAUCAUCUCUUGUGAGCUAUGCCUUCCUUGGGUAAAUUGUUAAACUUCAUGUGCCUCUCUCUUCGUCUCCAAUGUGAGUUUAUCUCAGGACUUCCCAGGUUGAUAUUGAAAGUUUUUCCUGUAGAGGUUAGUCCAACAAAAUAUACCAAUGUCUACACAAGCAGUUUUUAGUUCAAUAACCAAACUAGACUCCAUGUCUAAUUAUAUUAAGGAAGGCUGUUUAACCUAAGCACCAUGCUUAGUUUAAAACCAAUAGAAGUAUGUACAGUACUUCCAAACUAACACUUACUAGGAUAAACAAAGGUAGCGUGAUGGCUUUUAUAGAGAUCUACUCAAGUGGAGAUGAAGUAGUGUGAUUACUAUUUAACAACUUGAGCAUGUCUCAAAGGUAGGGACAACCAACAUAGCAACAUGGCAAAUAAUGUUUUUAUAUAAAGUACUCCCCCAAGCUUGAAUUUUGCAAAAUUCAAGUUUGGAUGAAUUUAAUUCAAUGUUGUAUGAUGAUUGGUUGUACAUACCUUGUGCUUGUCAUUCAUCCGAUCUUCUUGCUCCAAUCCUGGAAAGGUUAGUGACAAGAAUACCCGAAGGAAUUUUUUUUACAAUUAUCCUUAUAUGCUCAAUACACAAGGUAAUGUUGCAAAGAAUUAAAAGCUCAUGUUACGAUCUGAUCAGUGCUUGUUUUAGGACACUAAGCUUGUCCUUGGGAAACCAUCAAUUUAUGUCGGCGAAGUGGUUCCCCCUCCAACGCUAACCUAUAUCAAGAUCAACUCAACGAGAUCUGCAAAAUUUAUUAUAGACAUAUGCAUCGACAACCGCCCUUUUAAAGUUUUUAUAAAUAGAAAGGAAGUGGGGGUUGGAGAUCUCGAAUGUGGUGAUGUUGGAGAGACCAAUGGAUUGUGAAGAUGUUGCAUAUGAGCAUGGAGUAAAUGAAGUGGCUAUGAAAUAAAUUCCAUGCUCAUUAAUGCUUAGAGUGAAAUCCAUGUGGUAUGGUGAAAAUGAUAAGGUGAGUGUGGUAAAAAAGGAAAAGAAAAAGGAUACACGGACGACUUGGUUCGAAACUAGCACAGCUACCGUUCCCCGGCAACGGCGCCAGAAAGCUUGUUGGGUAUUUUAAACGCAAACAGAAAAAUCCGCAAGCGCACGCAUACCGAUGUAGCCUUCACCCGGGAGUAUUCCAGAGUAUCGAUUUUCCACGGAGAAUGUGAGUGUACUAAUUAAGAUCCAAGAUCGCCCAAGGAUAACUAUAUAAUUAUUUUUGGUGGGAAGAGAGGACGUUUCCUGAGAGUUCUAUAGUUGAUCUAAGAAUCAAGAAUUACUUCAAAAUUAUCUAUAUCGGGACAUCAGAGCACUAACCACAGAAAGAGAUGAGAAGGGAGCUAGGAAGGUCUGACUAUGGUCCUACAAACACCGAUCCGAACGAGGUGGAAUACGUCGACCGUUAGGGCUGUCACUACCUUAACGCUACCACAACAAUCCGCAGGAUUGGGUGCAAUUCCAGGUAAUCGCAAGACUAAACACCACAUCUAAUCUAUUAAUUACUACUCUAGCGUUAUAAAGACUAGAGCACUUGAUGCAAGCGGGAAUCCAAUAAAUAACUUGAAUGUAAAUAAAAGUAAUUAAAGAACUCAGGAAUUAUGAAUUGAAGAACCUGGACAACAAUGAAGAACGAACGAGUUGCUGCAAAAGUACAAUGUUGAGGAAGAUCCGACAGAUCCGGCUCCUCCUCCGCUCUCCUCUUCUCUCUCCCUAUUUUCUAGAUUACAACUAGAACUAGAACUAGAGGGACUAGAACUAGAACUAGAUGAACUAGAUCUAGAUGAACUAGAGGUAGAACUAGAAGAACUAGAGGGAUCCUCUCUACUUGGAUGAAGAAUUGAAACCCUAGCUUUGAUUCUGUAGAAGAGGUAUGCUCUCUAGGGGCUAGGGAGCCUUGCUUAUAUAGUCUUUUCAGAUGAAUCUGGGCCGUAGGAUCAAACCGACAUUAAUCGCACGGUUUUCCUUGGUCCCUUAGGUCGGUGGAGCACGAUCCGCGAAGUUGAAGCUGAUUGGUUACUGUAGCUGGGCGGGCACCCAAGGGAGGCCUUGCUUAUAUAGUCUUUUCAGAUGAAUCUGGCCAUCAGAUCAAAACCGACAUUAAUCGCAUGGUUUUCCUUGGUCCCUUAGGUCGAUGGAGCAUGAUCCGCGAAGUUGAAGCUGAUUGGUUACUGUAGCUGGACGGGCACCCAAGGGACUUGGGCGGGCGCCCUACCCCCGGGCCCGAUCGGCCUCCAGUUCGUUCCCGUGGCUUCUAGAGUCUUCUAGAUGAUAGAAAAUUGCGUGGCACGUUAAUAUCUCUAUGUAAACUUGACGUGUGGGCCUUUCUUCCGUAUUUCCUGAUAACCCCCUGCAGAAAUAGACAAACACCAAAACUCGUGGAAUUCUGUCAGAUAAAACCCUAAGUCUAGGUGUUGGCUGCAUAUAAGUCUUUUUCCAUGAUUAGUUGAUGGUUAAAUGUGAGCAUUAAGGACCGUCAACAACAGCUCCCUCCUUACUACCUCCGACUACCCGAGUAGGAGACCGCUAGAAAGAAUUCAAAGUCCAAGGAAUACAAGGAAGUACAGCUUGUCGACGGCAGCCCCGAGAAGACGGCCCUCAUCGGGGCCAAUCUGGACCCUAAAUAGGAAGACGCGCUCGUCAGGUUUCUAAGGGACAACGUGAGCGUUUUCGCAUGGAAACCCGCAGACAUGCCCGGCGUCCCACGAAACCUGAUCGAGCACUCCUUAAAUGUCUCGAAGACCGCAAGACCCAUCAAGCAAAAGCUGCGACGGUUCGCUCGUGACAAAAAGGAGGCUAUUAGGACAGAAAUAACACGGCUUCAAGCAGCCGGAUUUAUAAAAGAAGUGUAUCAUCCCGAUUGGCUCGCCAAUCCGGUUCUUGUACGCAAAAAGAAUAAUGAAUGGAGAAUGUGUGUUGAUUACACUGACCUCAAUAAACACUGUCCUAAAGAUCCUUUUGGUCUCCCUCGCAUCGACGAGGUGGUCGACUCAACGGCAGGAUGUGAACUCCUCUCUUUUCUAGACUGCUACUCUGGUUAUCACCAGAUCUCGCUAAAGGAAGAUGACCAGAUUAAAACGUCUUUCAUUACUCCUUUCGGCGCAUACUGCUACACGACCAUGUCCUUCGGACUCAAAAACGCCGGCGCCACUUAUCAACGGGCCAUCCAGCAAUGCCUCCAUGACGAGAUUUGUGAUGACCUCGUCGAGGCUUAUGUAGACGAUGUCGUCGUCAAAACAAGGGAUGCAAGCACCCUAAUCGACGACUUAGACUGAACAUUUAAGGCACUAAACAAAUACAAGUGGAAGCUUAACCCCAAAAAGUGCAUCUUUGGGGUUCCUUCUGGUCUACUACUCGGCAACGUCGUCAGCCGCGACGGCAUACGACCGAAUCCUUCAAAAGUAAAAGCAGUGCUCGACAUGCCACCACCUAAGAAUGUCAAGGAUAUUCAGAAGCUCACCGGGUGUAUGGCCGCUCUCAGCCGCUUCAUCUCAAGACUAGGAGAAAAAGGCCUCCCUUUCUUCAAACUCUUGAAGGCGUCGGAAAAAUUCUCCUGGACAGAGGAAGCUGACGCUGCGUUCACCCAGCUCAAAACUUUCCUCACCUCACCGCCUGUUCUCACAGCGCCUCAGCCCAAUGAAGACCUACUCCUUUACAUUGCAGCAACCGACAGGGUCGUCUCCACGGCAAUAGUGCUCGAGCGAGACGAGCCAGGUCACGUCUACAAGGUCCAGAGACCCGUUUAUUUCAUAAGCAAAGUCUUAAACGAGUCAAAGGCGAGAUUCGCACAAAUACAGAAGCUCAUAUAUGCCAUUCUAAUAACGUCGAGGAAGCUAAAGCACUACUUCGACGGCCAUCGGCUCUUGGUAACCACCAGUUUCCCUCUUGGGGAUAUUCUACGCAAUAAAGAUGCCAAUGGCAGAAUUGUAAAAUGGGCAAUGGAAUUAUGCCCAUUCUCCCUGGAUUUCCAGAGCCGCACCACAGUCAAGUCUCAGGCCCUAGUCGAUUUCAUCGCGGAGUGGACGGAUCUCAACGAGCCUCCCGUUUCCGACGCCUCCAACCACUAGUGAAUGUUCUUCGACGGGUCCUUGAACAUCAACGGCGCCGGCGCUGGGAUACUUUUCGUGUCGCCUAACAAGGACAAACUACGCUACGUCCUUAGGAUCCUCUUUCCGGCGUCAAACAACAUCGCUGAGUAUGAAGCAUGCCUGCAUGGCAUACGACUAGCCGUCGAGUUGGGAGUCAAACGCCUCUACGUCCAUGGCGACUCCGCUAUAGUUAUCAACCAGCUCAACAAGGAAUGGGAUGCAACCCACGAGAAGAUGGACCUCUACUGCAAGGAAAUCCGCAAAUGGGAAUCCAACUUCUAUGGCAUAGAGUACAUCCACGUGGUCCGGGAUAAGAACCAGGCAGCGGAUGCGCUGUCGAAGUUAGGGUCAUCUCGGGCCCAGAUCCCGCGAGGUGUUUUCGUCCAGGACAUCCAUGAGCCAAGUGUAGGCACAGACCUGGUCAAAAAGCAACCUAAUGAGGCAAUGCUCAUAGGCGACGCUACUCCGACAACCAGCAGCCGUGAUUGGCGCACCCCGUUCAUCAGGUAUAUAUCGGACGGGUCGAGCUUUUAGGAUAAAACGGAGAACGAGCGCCUCAUUCGACGAUCAAAGAAUUACAUACUGGUGGACGGCAAACUUAUGCGAAAAAAUGCAAGUUCUGAAGUGUUGCUCAAAUGCAUAUCCCAAGAUGAUGGCAUCAAGCUCUUGGACGACAUACACGCCGGAUCCUGCGGCAACCACGCGGCCUCCAGAACACUGGUCGGGAAGGCUUUCUGAGCAGGUUUUUACUAGCCAACCGUGGUCGCCGACGCAGAAAAACUGGUCCGACAUUGUGAAGGAUGCCAGUUCUUCGCCAAGAGGACCCACAUACCUGCUCACGAGAUUCAAACUAUUCCGUCAUCCUGGCCUUUCGCCUGCUGGGGCCUCGACAUGAUCGGGCCAUUUAAACUGGCUCCCGGCAACUUCAAGUUCGUCUUCGUGUUAAUCGACAAAUUCUCGAAGUGGAUCGAAUACAUGCCACUGGUCAAAGCAACCUCCGAGAAAGCUGUCGAGUUCCUCAAUCAAAUCAUACAUAGAUUCGGGAUCCCCAAUAGUAUAAUCACCGACCUGGGCACUCAGUUCACUGGCACUACGUUCUGGCACUUCUGCGAUGACAGAGGCAUAGUCGUAAAAUACGUGUCAGUAGCUCACCCACGAGCAAAUGGUCAAGUAGAACGCGCGAACGGGAUUAUUAUUGAUGCCCUAAAGAAAAGGUUGUACACCGAGAACGACAGAGCGCCUGGGCGAUGGAUGAAAGAGUUACCGGCUGUGGUCUGGGGCCUCCGAACACAGGCCAGUCACAAUACAGGCGUAUCACCCUACUUCAUGGUUUAUGGCUCCGAGGCAGUGCUCUCGUCUGAUGUAACCUUCAGAUCUCCAAGAGUUGAAAACUUCGACCAAUCAACGGCUGACAACGCUAGAGAGCUCGAGAUCAACUGCAUGGAGGAAAAGCGUCUAAUUUCAUGUCUUCGAACAGCAAAGUAUCUCGAAGCCAUGAGGUGAUACUACAACAGGAACGUCAAAGACCGUUCUUUCGUGGUCGGAGAUCUGGUACUCAAGUGGAAAACAAGCCAGAAAGGAAUGCACAAGUUAUCCACGCCUUGGGAAGGACCCUUUGUGGUCGCCGAAGUCACACGUCCUACAUCCUACAGACUGGCGUAUCCAGAUGGAACACGCGUGCCUAAUUCCUGGCACAUAGACAAACUGCGCCGUUUUUAUCCAUAAGUUCCGGUACCCUUUGCUUGUAAGUUUCUUAUAAUUAGCAAUAAUAAAAGUUUUCCUUUUUCGCUAUACAUUGUUUACACGUAGAGCUUCCGACGAGCACAAUAAUCUUCCUCUGCGGCGAAGAUUCUUAACGACUAUCAAUCAAACACAGUGAUACAUCACUCAGAUAACAUUAUAGCGCUCAAAAUCAUGGUCAUGACAAAAUCAAACUUUAUUACAAACUUUACAUAUAGAGUUUACAAUAAACACCCCGCCGGGCGGUUACUAGUCUACUCCUACAGACUAUCCUACAGGCCUACUGCUCGAGCUGAUCACCCGCCUGGCCUUGCUGCCCAGAAGGACGGGUCGGGGCCACCGGCGCCUGGCUGGUCAAGACCGUAGGCGUCGACCGCCCAUUUCCGGCAAUGGACGCACCCGACAACUCCCUGGCCGAUCUGUCCGACCCAGGCUAGUCGGGGGGAGUAGCCGUCCCGCAUAGGUUGAUGUCGCCGAUCACCAUCGAGGACAAGUCAAGGAGGCCCGCUAGAAGGUCGUCUGCCUCCUGCGGGCCAACUUCCUUGGGGUACCCCCUCUCCAGCCUGGACAGGUCGACCAGGGGAUAGUGGGCACGCACCAUGCUAAGGACAUGCGCGCCGGCGAACUCCCCGGCAUCCUUGACGAACUGCUGGAGCCAGUCCCACGCCCGUUGCGCCUUCUCGACUGGCGUCAGUCUCGGCGCGCGGGGCUGGUCCUCAGGAAGCUCGGGGCUGAUCAAGUCCAGAAACGGGGCUACUCCUUUCCAAAGCCUAAUGCAGUUGGUCUUCCAGGAGUCCCGAUCCUUGACCAGAUCGUCUAGAUGCUUCUUGGUAUUCACCUUGAGCACUACAAACCAAGCAGGAGAUCAGUUCAAGAACAAGGAAAGGAACGUUGAGCAACCAAAUAAAAAAGGGGGUGGCAUGGUUAUUACCAGACAGCUCCCGGUCCCUGUGGCUUAGCUCGUCGCCUGCUCGGCGCCCAGCCUCCAGCGCCCCGGCAAGCUCUUGACCGAGCUGCUCCUUCUCUUGCCGGAGGCGCGCAACCUCAUCCUCCAAGUGUACAAGAACAAUCCCCUAGUCAACAAAACUAACCACACGGCUACAUACAGCUGCUCGGAGUACGCGACUGACCUGUCCUUUGCCGAUACUGGUCGGCUAAACGCCGAGUGAGGUCGAGACAGCGCUCUUCCUGAGCGCCACCAUCUCCCCAACUUCCGACCGAAGCCGAUCCACCUCCGCCGACAGGGCCUUGUUCUCGACCACAAUGCCCUCAAUUUGGUCGAAGCACCUCUUCCGGUACUUCACCAUUUUCAUCGCGCCCUGCAAAGAAGAACACAUGCCGAACACAGGAACAUAGCGCAUAAGCGUCAAGAAGCACAGAGAACCACUUACCUUAACCUCGUCUACGAGACGUUUCGCCGCACGCUCCACCCUUGCGGCCUCCUCCGUCUCCGCGAGCUCCUCAUGACCGAUGAAGUGGUCCCCGCAUUGACGCCACACGUAGACGUGCUGGCGACCAUCACGGGGAUGACCUUGGAUCUCCUCCACGUCGUCGUCAGAGGCCGUCCGGGUCUCCUCAUCCGCCGCACUACCACCGGCUGCGGUUGCUGUCAUCAUUGGCCCCUGGACCAGGCCAGGGGAGGCUACAGGCGACGAGGCCCCUCCUCGGGGCGGUGUUGGGACUCCCCUUUCUUCGACUGAAGGAGUCGGGGCUCUGCUCUCCUCCUCCGCAACGUUGCUCCGGGGAGGCGUCCUCGCAGCCUCUUCGUCCCUUGUCGGGGCGCUCGCCGUGGCAUUCGCCGGGGCCGGACGCUCCUCGAUGCUAGUAGCAGCGGCUGUCGCCGCGGGCUGCUCCGUGGUCUGCGGCGCGGUGUCCCCAGCGACAGCAACGGGCUCGGGCACCCUCUGGCGAGCAACGUGGCCCGGAUCGACGUCCGACGCUGUGCUAACAAUAAGACGACAUUUAAACAAUGUCAAAACACAGCAACAAAACGAAAAACAUCGCAGCACGAAAGUAAGAAUGAAAACUUAUAGGUCAGAGCGCCGGUGUGUUGUGGUGAACCUCCUCCUGGUCCUACCAGUCGGUACCUGCGCCCCCGUCUCUACGACGCGCGUCGGCUCGACGUGCGGUGCAGGCGGGUCGCUAGUCACCCGACUAGUGGUGGCCGGCGCAACAUCCGGACGACUGCGCGGCCUCUAGACCAGAGAAGGCGCGGCCUCCUCCUCCUCCUCCUCGUCGUCAGUAAUCCGGACGAGCCGACGGCGCUUUGGCGCCUGACUGCUCUCCGCUGGCAACGCUUCCGCAGGGGAGGGGUCCGUCGCCAGUGGCCUUUUCCCUGCCACUCUGUCUUCGGUGGUCGGGGCCGGAUGGCUCUGCUCCUCCUCACUGCUGGUGUAUCGAGCACACCGAGCAGCGUCGUCUUCUGACGGGUCUACCCUAGCGGGGUCCUCCAUGCCAGGUGCCAGUGAUAUGUACACCGCGCACCGGUCAACGUCUCCAAUCUGCAUCAAAAACAAAAGACAAAUCAACAACUAGGAGAGCAAGCACUCAGAAAGCAAAAUCAGUUCGUAACAUUACCUUGGGAGCUGGUCGCCCCAGCUUGAAGGCCGGCACCCGAUCACCACUACGGACGAAGCUGCCGUCUGCAAAGUUGAACAACUCGUUCAACAGUUGUUGCACUUCCGCCUUCUCCAAAACCUCAGGAUUCAUCCUGGUCGGGUCCUGGCUCCCAGCGUACUCGUACGCCGAGUGCACCCUCUUCUGGCAGGGCAUCACCCGACGACAGAUGAAGUUGCCGACCACUCCUAGCCCGUCCAAACGCGACCAGUCGAUCAGCUUCAUCAGGUCCGCCACUUGAUCGGCGAACUUUGGGCGGUCGGUCCAACUGACCCUCUUUUCAGGAAUGUACCCCACGUCGCAGAAUGUGGAGCUGCCCGGCUCUUCCCUGAUGUAGAACCACUUCUUGUACCAUUCGGUUAGAGAAGUGUUCCACAGGCAGUUGAGAUACCGGUUCUUCAUUCUAUCAUGAAGAUUGAUGUAUACUCCACCUGCAAUCUUGGAGCCUCCAACCGCUCCCUUCUUUCUCAAGCAGAAAAGAUAACGGAAAAGAUCGAAGUGCGGCUCUAUUCCAACAUAGGCCUCGCACAGAUGGAUGAAAGUGGAAAUAAGAAGAAUUGAGUUCGGGUGCAGAUUGCAGAUCCCGAUCUCAUAAUAUAGAAGAAGCCCCUGGAGAAAAGGAUGGACGGGAACCCCAAAACCCCUCUUGAAAAAAAUCUUCGAAAACCACGAUCUCACCGGCACGGGGAUCGGGGUAGCUCUCCCCUUCUGGCGCCCUCCAGCCGCCGAGCUCUUGGCUGUGCAGUAGCCCCAUGCCGACGAGGUCGUUGAGGGACCUCACGCUGCUUCGGGACUUCUUCCACUCCUUAGCCAUCAGAUCGGCCCUCUUUUUGGAGUCGCUCUUCGCCAUUGACGCUGUGGGAAUGACUGCGAGUUGGGUGGACUGAUGGUGAUUGCAGAAGGCAAGAGUGGAAGCUUGAAGGCAAUGGCAGGGUAAGCAAUACGGGGGCGAUGUCAAGUUUUUAUAAGCAACAACUCCACCCCUCCCACUUCCUGCAUUCUUGGGAAGUGGGCGGGUCCAACGGCGGACGCGGCGCUUCGUUUUUCAACAAUUAUCGGCAGUUAAUACGGUGGCCUUUUCGUAUAAUUGAUGGUUUCCUUCUCUCGAACUACGCAAAGAGCGGCUGCACAGUUGCCGGGCGCACCUUUUCACGCAAUCAUCUGACAACGCGUCAGGAGGUGUCGUCACAUCACUCAUUUAUGUGGUAAGAUGCUUUCUUUUUCAAAAUAACGGACAAAAAUUGGUGGAGGAUUAACGUUCCUGGGGACUGCACCGACCACCGAGCACUGUAUGCUUGGGGACCGGUCGUCCAGUCUGCCAGCUUGGAAAUCUGGGGACUGCACCGACCACCGAGCACUGUAUGCUUGGGGACCGGUCGUCCAGUCUGCCAGCUUGGAAAUCUGGGGACUGCACCGACCACCGAGCACUCAAUGCUCGGGGACUGGUCGUCCAGUCCGCCAGCUUGGAAAUCUAGGGACUGCACCGACCACCGAGCACUCAAUGCUCGGGGACUGGUCGUCCAGUCCGCCAGCUUGGAAAUCUGGGGACUACACCGACCACCGAGCACUCAAUGCUCGGGGACUGGUCGUCCAGUCCGCCAGCUUGGAAAUCUAGGGAUUGCAUCGACCACCGAGCACUCAAUGCUCGGGGACUGGUCGUCCAGUCCGCCAGCUUGGAGAUUUGGGGGCUGCACCGACCACCAAGCACCAUACGCUCGGGGACUGGUCGACCAGCCUGCCAGUUUGGAAGACUUAAGGACUAUACUAGCCACCAAGGAAAUAUCUGCUCGGGACUAGUUGAUAAGUCUAUCCGAUGGCGAACGAGCAUGAGAUGCUCGGGGACUGGAUAAUUUUAAUUUUUAAGACCUUGCUACAAGGCUCAUACUUUGCCUUCCAGCAAGCUCGGGGACUACAUCGGUACGAUGCAUCUGGCGAUGCAUCUCAGUUUCAGAAUUUCUCUGAGGACUUUUCUUCAGAGCCUGGCACCACGUGUCUACGCCACCUACUACUAGGCUCGGGGACUAAGUGGGCACACUUCACCUUGCGGUGAAUAUGCUCGCUUCCUUGAAGACUAUACUUUUCAGAAAAGUAAAGUGGGCACACUUCAUCAGAAAAGAAAUCUUUUUUGGUUUAGAGCACCAUGCAUUCUUCAAACAACCUACUUCUUCGGUGUUAAUACUGGUCAACUGUCUUUUGGGUUGGUCAAAAUAUCAUUACAACCGUUCAGGCGAUUUUCCUGCCUAUUGAAGAUGUCAAGUUUCACUGGUCGACGAAGCUCAAGACUGCGUGUUACUUCACAAUACAUGGUGCUCGGGGACUAGCUGUGGGGGUAUAAACCCCUAUACCCUUACGGCUAGACUUGGGCCAGGAGGCUUGGCCCAUUACGAAACAAGUUCGAGGCUUGAUCCGAUCGCUUGGAGUUUCGUGCAAGGAAACAAGACGUGGAGAUCAAGCAGGAUUCUAGUCGGUUAGAAUAGGAAUUGAUAUCGAGCUAUCUAUGGCAAUUGUAACCGACUAGGAUUAGUUUCCAGAUCUGUAACCCUGCCGUCCGGACUAUAUAAGGAGGGGCAAGGGACCCCCCUUGGGACAUGUUAUUCUCUCAAUCCAAUACAAUCAGACGCAGGACGUAGGUAUUACGCCCACACGGCGGCCGAACCUAGAUAAAAAGCUUGUCCGUGUCUUGCGUCACCAUCGAGUUCGUAGUUUGCGCACCGUCUACCGAUAAACUACUACCGUGGGUAUACCCCAAGGUAGACUGUCGACUAGCUUUUGUCGACAGGAAGAGUACCAGAGAAGGAAGUAUUUAUAGGACAAAGAGGGCAGGGGCAAAUCUGACUUAUCUCUUCGCCGUAUCCGUGAAAUCCGAGGGUGUUCAGGUGGAUAUGGCAACUGUUCGCACGGUAAUCAAGGGAUUACGCAGGUGAUUUGACAGCAAGUGGUCAUGAUUUUGGAGAUAUCUUACUGUGCAAGAUCUCCUGGUCGAUUCAUCGUGGUCGGUUCAUCGGCAGUCUUCUCCAACGGAAAUAUUGCCGAUGAACGUAUUCGGUUCGAGAAGUUGAGAGAUUCGAGGAGCAUGUUGGAGAACCGGGCUAAGGUUGUUUGGAUUUGGUAAUUAAUUACUGACAGAAAGGGGUAAUUGCGGAAAGGCAUCAUUAUUGAAGAGAAUUUUGAAGCAUUAAUGAUUUUAUACACCGAAAUUGGGGGGCAUGUGUUGACACCGUUUUUGGACACGUAUCUUUAGACGCGUAUCUGGAGUUAAUGAGGUGUAGAUCGGCAGGCAGAAAAGUGGUGACUAGUCUACAGAAGAGUUGCCGAUGUGGGUUGGUGCCAAAGAGAAAACGACAGGAUAUGGCCAAGUCCAGGAGUGGUGAUAGAUUUGUGCCGAUGACUGGUGCUGAUGGUUGCUGAUGGCUAUGAGAGGUGGUUUGCCGAUGGUCAUGGAGAAGGGCGCAGGGAUUGUCGAUCGACUCAUGGUGGUGUAUCGAUCGGUUGUGGAAGAUGAUUUAAUGCUUUCCAUAGUUAUUAGAGUUUGCUUUGUAUACAGAUUCUGUUUAAUAUAGAAUUCGAGUCCUGGUCGUGUCUCAUUGUAACCCUUUUGGGCAGGGUAGAAAUAUAAGACCCAUAGUGAUGUAAGAGACACAAUCAAUCAAACAUAAGUUUUUACACAUAUUAUAGCAUCUACUUUUUCGACGACUUCGUCACCCUGCAUAUUUUUCCUUUUACUUACGAGUUCUUAGGGAUUCUUCGAGUCAACCUCGACAAGUUCUUGAGUUUCGCGUGAAUACCUCUUGGCCGUGACAUCCGGGCGCAUCGCUGUUGUCAGGACCAAAGUGUUCGAGUUACCACCUUUGUCGAUUGUAAGGUCAAAUCGGCUGGCAUGCCUUAACAUCAAAUCGGGUAUUAGCCCUUUGUGUUUAUAGAUCUACUUUUGCAUCAACAGUAGGCCGACUGAUCUUGGAGGCUUGGGUAUUCUGGACCUCAGAUUCGUUGGCUUUGCUCUACGCCUGCGCUGGGAAUGGUUGAGAAGGUCUGACCCAGGGAGAUGUUGGGCUGAUCUUCCCUAUCGCCGAAGCAAGCCGGUUGCGGCGAUGUCAGCUAUCAGCACGUCAGUGAUCAUUGGUGAUGGCGUGUCUGCGUUGCUAUGUACAGAUCAUUGGGCACCCGUUGGCCCCUUAUGCAUGUUCGCUCCAGACCUUUUUGCUGCAAUCAGCCGUGCAGGAAAGUGGAGAUCUAUCAAAGAUGGGCUCGCGAUGAAUCAUUGGGCAAGGCAUAUCAAGAGAGUUUCUUCAUGUCUGGCACAAGCUACAGGAUGUGGUGCUUCAACUGCUCCAAGUCGAUCGAUUUGUUUGGAAAUGGUCUUCAGACGGAAAGUAUUCCGCUUCUUCGGCUUACCGGGCAUUUUUCAAUGGUUCAACUGCUUUGCUUGGGGCGAGGGAGAUUUGGCAAGGCAAGGUGCCGCCGAAGGUGAAAUUCUUCUUCUGGCUGGUCCUGCAUCGAAGGCUAUGGACAGCGGAACGUCAAAAAAGACAUGGCCUACAGGACAACAAUGAUUGUGCAUUAUGUGGACAAGCAUCUGAAUGUAUCGAACAUCUCUUCCUAGGCUGCGUUUUCACAAGGGAGCUGUGGUUCAAGUUACUGGCACCGGCUGGUCUCCAAGAACUCAUUCCCUUGUCCGAGGAGCGGAUCGGUGCUUGGUGGAUGCAGCAAAGGUGUCAGCUUCAUUAUCAAUCCAGGCCGGUCUUCGAUUGUCUUCUGCUGUUGCUCUAUUGGUGCGUCUGGAAGGAGAGGAACAUGCGCACUUUCGACAACAAGUUGUCAUCAGUUCCAGAGGUUACCCGAGCGGCUGCUGUUGAGGCCGAUGAGUGGGUUCAGGCGGGGUUCUCCAGCAUCUCGGUGCUUGCUAGCUCCUGGUCGCAAAUUUUGCCUAUUUUGUAAUAAGCCCAGCUUUGUUCCAGUAGCUAGGUCUGUUUCUUUUUCUGGCUACUGCCAAUGGUCUCUCGCCACUGGCCGAGCCUCGUUGUAGUUUUUGAACUUUCCACUACCUCUUAAUGAAACACGAGCCGGUUGGCCUCGUUCACGAAAAAAAGAGUCAUCCUUCAAGCAACCAUUGGAGGCCCUGCUCCCUUUCUCCGUGUUUCGCAGCUUGCUGACCGGACUUUCAAGUUCGUUGUUGCCUCGAAGGACAUUGGAUUUUACAUCGUCAACCUGCGUUCCUUUUCCUGUGAACAAUACUUCCUCUCCUUCCACCUUUGGGGCAAUGGCGGCCCUAACUGGAAAAGGGAGUUUGCUUUAUUCUUGCAAGAAGAAGACAGGUCUUGGUGCUCUUCUUCUAAACGGCGCCUUCAUCAAAGGCCUUCUCACCUUGGCUCUGCCCUGUUUCAACCUGGCAGGUCCUAUGCAGCUUUCGUUCAUUCUUCUGACGCUGCCCGACCUGCUGCCAGGUGACAUUAUUUUGAUCUUAAUUCACUGCCUUCGGUAGCUGCCAAGGCCCAGGCUCCGCUCACGGGCACCAACACGAUCCCCCUUCCUGCCAAGCGUUCGGUCUUUCGUCGUCUUCAACCUCCGAUCGCUGAUCCGGCCUCUGGCGCCGUGCUUCAAUGCACUAUCAAUGGUGUUCCGACCACCGGAUCUCCUUCUGAUCGCCUUGGGGACAGGCGCUUGCUUCCGUCCUGCUCCCGGUGUCGCCGUCAACAACGCCAACUUCUUCGCCAACGUCAUCAAUAGUGCCACCUCUUUCAACGAGAUGCUUUGGAAGGCCAUCGGCCAGGUAUGUCGUAUCGAUCAGUUGUCUGGUUGUUGUUCCGAACUUCAGAGUUCAGAUCUACCUGGUUUAUUCCUAGCUAAUCGACAUCUCAUUCGUUCUCGUCAAUGGCAACGCAUCCAUGAAUGCAUGCAUGCAGGUGGUGUUGACGGAGGCCCACGCCAUGUACAACCUCGGCAAGGGCGGGCUGACGUACUAGUGCCCCAACAUCAACGUGGUGCAUGACCAGUGGUGGGGUCGCGCGCUGGAGACCCCCGGCGAGGACCCCUACGUGGUGGGCCGGUACACCGUCAACUUCAUGCGUGGCAUGCAGGACGUGCCGGGCCACGACGGCGGCGACCCGUUCUUGCGCCCCAUCAAGACGUCCACAUGCUGCAAGCACUAGGCGGCGUAUGACCUGGACAACUGGCGCAGCCACACGCGGUUCGACUACGACGCCCGCGUGAUGGAGCGUGACAUGGCGGAGACCUUCCUCUGCCCCUUCGAGAUGUGCGUCUGGGAGGGCGACGCCAGCAGCGUCAUGUGCUCCUUCAACCUCGUCAAUGGGGUCCCUGCCUGCACCGAUGCGCGCCUCCUGUCGCAGACCGUCCGCGGUGACUGGGGACUCUACGGCUACAUCGUCUCCGACUGCGACGCCGUGUAGGUCCUCACCGAGGACGUCAGGUGGCUCAACCUCACCGGCGCCGAGGCCAGUGCCGCCGCCAUCAGGGCCGGCCUUGACCUCGACUGCGACCAGAGCUGGACGGUGUGCGAGGACGACGGCAAGAUGAUGGGCGACUUCCUCAGCAACUUCAUCCUGGCCGCUGUCGCGCAGGGCAAGAUCCGCGAUGUUGGUCCAAAUCAGAUCACAAUCACGUGGAUAUGAGCGUGGCUUGUAAGGAUCGACGGCUCGUCGUCCUUUGAUCGCUCAACGCCGGCAAUGUCCGGCGGCGCGGUGACCGCGCGCUAGGGCUCGUGAACAAAACAGGAAAGCGAGACUCGGAAGAUUUGUUUAGCUGCCAAACCGUAGCCUUGCCAGAUGCAACUUCUUAUCUAUUUAUAUGGCUCGAUCAAGAUCCCCGCCACUGAUUUGUUGCUGCGAGAUACCCCCUUAUUUUUGGAACGUCCUCGCGACAAGCCCGGCAAACAAUCGGUGGCGGGAUGAGCCUCCUGGUGCAGUCACGACGUAGGGUGUGCAAAUCUCCACCGCUGCCCGCGAUUCUACGCUUACAUAAACAUGUUCAUGCACCUAAGCAACAAACUAAUGCAGCUAACAUGGAUACAUAGUCCUGACACGAUUACAAGAGCUCCUGCUCCAACAUGGCUAACCUAUGCAACUAAUCCAAAACAAGAAGAAUGCAAGAACACAGAGAUGGUGACAGCAACUGCCCGGAGAACACCAGGGAGACAGUGCCCUUUUUCACUCUCGAUAAUGAGUACACACUGAUACAAAAGUGUUCUCAGGCGCUAACCACACCUUUUCAUGCCCACUACAUAACCCUGUAGCUAAUGACUCUCUGUUUCACACAGAAACUGACACACACACACGAUACAAGUUGCUACUCUGCAACUAACUCAACACACACACACACACACUCUGGGCACGGUCACCACGACAACUGCUGCUCCACUCGUGCGCUCUCCAAAUUCAAACUCAUCCAGCCUCAGCUUCCCGCGUCAGCUUGACUCCAGCUUCAUCAGCUUUAGGAUUACACCAACAAUCUCUCCCCUAAUCCUGUAGCACACUGAGGUCACAAACUCCCAGUAGGUGUCUCAUGACAGCAAGCUUGCCAACAGGUAGAGGCUUCGUCAGAGCAUCUGUUUUCUGUCCCUCAGUGCAAACUCUCUUCACUGCUAUCUGCCCUCUCUCCACACACUCCCGGAUAAAGUGAUAUUUGAUAUCUAUAUGCUUGCUUCUACCAUGAAAGACUGGAUUCUUCAUCAAGGCUAUUGCAGAGUUAUUAUCAAUAAAUAAUGUCACUUUCUUUGGCUCCCUAGGAGUGAUUUCAGACAUCAAACUUCUCAACCACAGUGCCUGCACUACUGCAAGUGCUGCUGCCAUAAAUUCUGCCUCACAUGAGGACAAUGCAACAGUCUUUUGUUUCUGUGAGCACCAAGUGAUCAGGCUUUCCCCAAGGUAGAACGCCAUUCCAGCAGUACUCCUUCUCCCCACCAGAUCACCACCCACAUCACUGUCAGUAUAACCUACUAACAUUUCUUCAGAUCCUCCUUGAGUGUACACCAAACCAAAGUCAACUGUACCCUUCAAGUACCUGAGAAUCUACUUGACUGCAUUCAUGUGUAGCACUGUGGGUUUCUCCAUAAAUCUGCUGGCAAUCCCCACUGAAUAUGCCAGAUCAGGUCUUGUGUGCAACAAGUACCUUAAACUCCCAAUCACCUUUUUGUAUUGUGUGGCAUCCACUGGUUGUCCACCUUUAUCAAUAUGCAGCCUUGCCCCUGGAUCCAUAGGGAACUUAGUUGCAUUGCACUGCCCCAUGCCAAACUGAUCAAGUAUCUUCUUUGCAUAACAAGUUUGCUUAACAGUAGUAAAAUCUUUGUACUGGCUCACCUCUAUUCCCAGAUAAUAAGACAGUAGACCGAGAUCAGACAUUUCAAACUCACUUGUUAUUUGCUUCUUGAAUUCAUUGAUCCCUGCUGGGUCAGCUCCAGUAACAACCAGAUCAUCGACAUAAACUCCAAGGAUGAUUGCAUUCUUCCCCUCACCUCUGAUGUAAACAGCUUGCUCACUUGCACAUCUUCUGAACUUGAGCUUUUUCAGGCUUUUAUCCAGCCUAACAUUCCAUGCUCUGGGGGCCUGUCUCAAGCCAUACAAGGCUUUGCUCAGCUUUAGUACAUACUAUUCUCUCCCCUUCUCCACAUACCCUUCAGGUUGUGACACAUAAACUUCAUCCUCAAGCUCACCAUGCAAAAAUGCUGAUUUAACAUCAAGAUGAUGCACUUGCCAACCUCUGUUGGCAGCCAAUGCUAGGAUAAGCCUCACUGUGUCCAAUCUUGCAACUGGGGCAAAAACUUCAUCAAAGUCAACUCCCUUUUUCUGAACAUACCCCUUUGCAACUAGCCUGGCCUUGUGUUUCACUACUUCACAAUCUGAAUUUUUCUUCAGUUUAUAAACCCAUUUCAAUCCUAUGGGCUUGUGACCAACUGGUAGCUUGCACAAGUUCCAGGUUUUAUUUUUCUCAAUGGACUGAAUUUCUUUAUCCAUAGCAUCCACCCAUUCUGCAUAACCUGCAGCUUCAGCAUAAUUUGUUGGUUCUUCCAUUUCAACCAACAAUGCUUCUCCAUCUGAAUCAUACAUCAAUUCUAUUUCUGAAGUAUUUUGAUAGAUAUCUGAUAAGUUUCUAUACCUCUCUUCUUGCUCUUCAGAACUCUCUCCGAUUGAUGCACAGAUGUCAGUCAAUGAGCCCUCCUGCUCAAACUGUGGCUGCACCACUGGUGUUGAAGGACUUCCUGAAAACAGGCUUGUUGUUGGAUUUCUGUCAUUACUGGCAGCUGAGUUCUGCAAACUGUUUCCAUUUGCAGACUGAUUCCCAGGUGACUGUGACUCUUCUGGCAUAUCACCUUCACUAUUGAGAGUCCCAUGUGACUGAUCCUCUCCACCUCCUGCAUCUGCAUUUGGUUCCUGAUCAUUCACAAUUACUCCACCCUCAACAAUAUCACGGCCUUCAUUGUCAUCAUCCAACACCUAAAAUUCCCACUCUUCUUCACCCUCAUCUUGUGCAGUCCACUUCCACUUGAUAUUUUCUUCAAAAAAUACAUCCCUGCUCACAACAAUCCUGUUGUGGUGGGGAUCAAAUAAUUUGUGAGCCUUGCACCCUUCAUCUGUUUCCAGGUACAUCAUUUUGUGGCUCCUGUCCUCUAGUUUCUUUAGGUGAGGCCCUGCUGUCCUCACAUGAGCUGUGCAUCCAAACACCCUUAGGUGUCCAAGAUGUGGUUUUCUUUUGUUCCAUGCUUCAUAAGGGGUGGAAUCUCCCAUUCUCUUUGUCGGCAGACGAUUCAGUAAAUAAACUGAAUGUCUGACAGCCUCUCCCCAAAGCUUAGCAGGAACUCCCAUGCUUUUCAUCAAGGACCUAGUCAUCUCCAUUACUGUCCUAUUUCUCCUCUCUACAACCCCGUUCUGCUGUGGCAAAUAUGGAGCAGUAAAAUGUCUCUUGAUGCCUGCACUCUCACACACCUCUCUGAAUGCACCUGACAGAAACUCUCCUCCCCUAUCAGACCUGACACACUUGAUCUUGAGCCCUAUUUGAUUCUCGGAUUCAGACUUGAAUUUUACAAACAUCUCACAAGCUUGAUCCUUUGAUUUCAAAACAUACACAACCAUCCAACACGUGCAGUCAUCAACUACUAACAUAAAGUACUUAUUACCUGCUGCUGUGGAUGGAGUGAUGGGGCCACACAGGUCAAUGUGCAAUAGUUCCAAAGGUUGUGUUGCCCUCCACUGAACUAUCCGAGGAAAUGGCACACGAGCGCUUCCCUGCUAGACACGCAUGACACAACUCCUCUGGGUGAAUAAUCUCUGGCACACCGCCCACCAUGGAUUUGCUCACCAUCUGCUUGAUUGAUCUAAAGUUGACAUGUCCUAGCCGCCCAUGCCAAAGCCAAGCCUCCUCACUGACACUUGUCAACAGACACACUGGUGUUGUUGGAUUCAGAUCAAUUUUGUACAGACGAUUCUGAGAUCGCUUCACCUUCAUGACCAAGGUUGAUGUGGUCUUGUCAUGCACCUCUAGAACAUCGUCAUCCAGCUCGAUCUGAUGUCCUGUCUCCGUCAAUUGACCCAAGCUAACAAGGUUGCUCCGGAGUCUUGGGAUAUAAUAGACAUCCGGGAGCGCCCACUGAUCGCCUGUUCUGCACCUGAACAAGAUCGUUCCUUUCCCUCUGAUCUCCACAGAUGAGCCGUCCCCAAAUCUCACCUUCCCGGUGACACCUUCAUCCAGCUCAGUGAACUUUUGCAAAUCCCCCGUCAUAUGAUUACUAGCACCAUUAUCAAGAUACCAGUAGUUACCAGUCUGCACUCCACCCCCGGUCUGAUGGAGUUCAGGAAAGACUCUAGCUUCUGUCAGAUCGAUCGCUCGCCGCUUUCCAUCUGACUUCACCUCCUCUGAGACGGUGAGCAUGAGCGCUUGAGGUUGCCCAACACCCUCUGUCUUCGCCCGAGGUGCCUCCUCUCCCUUCUGCUCCGGCAACGGGCACCGAUUAGCAUAGUGCCCGUAAUUUCUACAGCGGAAACACUAAAUGUGGCUUUUCUCCUUGCCACGACCAGCGCCUUCCCUGCCUCCUGACGCAUCUCCGCGUUCGCCACCACCACGGCCUCUCCCCCUUCCACGGCCUCCUCCAUCCUACGUCUUUCCUCUUCUCGAAGAAUCUCCAGCGCCGGACUUCUUGUACCGUGCUUCCCAUUCUGCCUGCGUGAGCAGCAGCUGAUUGCCUUCAACCUUCGGACUCACUGCUCCCUGCUGUGUCCGCUCCUCAAAAGCUUUCAGCCGCCCCACAGCUUCAUCAAACGCCAGUAGUUUGAGGUCGAAGAACUGUUCGAUCCCGGCCACCACGUUGAGGUAACGCUUAGGCACGGUGUCGAACAUCUUCUUCACCAUCGCCGUGUCCUCCAUCGAUCCACCAAGGUUGCUGUAUCUUACUGACAUCGCCGUCAGUCUCCCAGCGAAUUGAUCGAUAGUCUCCUCCUCCUUCAUCUUCAUGGCGUCGAAUUCGGCCUUUAGUGUUUGCAGACGAGCAUCUUUGACUCUUUCUGCGCCCACAAACCGCGCCUUCAAGGAAUCCCAUACUUCUUUCCCUGUCUUCUUCUUCGCGACUUGCAUCAACAGGUCAUCGGACAAACACUGGAACAGGUUUGCCCGCACCUUCCUGUCUUUGCCAGUCGCCUUCUCCGUCAUCGCACCCACCAAAUUCCCCUCUGGCGGUUCCACCACCUCCCACCACUCCUGCUCCUCCAUGAUUGCUUGCACCCUGAUGCUCCAGCUGAUAUAAUUCGACGCCGUCAGCAUCGGGAACAGCUGGUGAUGACGGUUGCCGAUUCCCCGACUCCCAUAACCAUCCUCCGGCACUAUGGAUCUGCUUGUGGUGUUGCAACCGUGUGAAGGACAGCUUUGAUACCAGAUGUUGGUCCAAAUCAGAUCACAAUCACACGGAUAUGAGCGUGGCUAACCAAUGCAACUGAUCCAAAACAAGAAGAAUGCAAGAACACAGAAAUGGCGACAGCAACUGCCCGGAGAACGCCCGGGAGACAGUGCCCUUUUUCACUCUCGUAACAACGAGUACACACUAAUACAAAAGUGUUCUCAGGCGCUAACCACACCAUUUCACGCCCACUACAUAACCCUGUAGCUAAUGACUCUCUGCUUCACACAGAAACUGACACACGCACACAAUACAAGUUGUUACUCUGCAACUGACUCAAAACGCACACACUCUGGGCGCGGUCACCACGGCAACCGCUGCUCCACUCGUGCGCUCUCCAAAUUCAAACUCGUCCAGCCUCAGCUUCCCGCGUCAGCUUGACUCCAGCUUCAUCAGCUUCAGGAUUACACCAACACGCGAGUCCGACAUCGACAACGCGCUCAGGAACCAGUUCAUGACGUUCAUGCGGGUCGGCUACUUCGACGACGACAUCCCGCUGUACGCGUCGCUCAACGAGACGGACAUCUGCACCGCCGAGCACCAGAGCCUCGCCCUCGACGGCGCAAGGCAGGGCAUCGUGCUCCUCAAGAACCACGACAACCUGCUGCCGUUGGAUGCCAACAAGAUCCAUGCCGUCGCCAUGCACGGCCCACACGUCAUGGCGCCGGAAAGAGUCAUAUGGAUGCAGGCUACACAGGCAAGUAGUAGCUUGAUCGAGUAGCCAAUUAAUAGCCAUUCCAUGCAUGCAUCCACUAGUAGCAAAAGCACUUGAUAGAUGUUGCAGAGAUGAAAAAUGUUACUCCAGUUGCUGACGCCCUAGAACGAACUCCAUGCAUAUGUGCAGGGCCACCGUGCCGGUACGUGACGCCACGCGAGGGCAUCAGCAAGCACGUCAAGAUCUCCCACCAAGCCAAGACGACCAUCUACGUCGGCGGCAUCAACCUGCACAUCGAGAUGCCUUGAACCGAGAUCUUGGGGUGACAACGCGUAGUGCAGAAGCCACGUGUGGUGUGUUUUCCCCUUCCUCUCCUAGCUGACUCCUCUACUUCCCUCCACUAGUAGAAAGAGGCUCAUAGCUGGCACCCCCUUUUUAUACCGCAUGUGGUUCCAGUUACGACGCGCCUGUGGUAUAAAUCGGGCGGUGUCAGAGAUUUUCGGCCGCCUGUGGAAACGUUUAUCACAGGCGGUUGACUUAAGCAACCGCCUGUGUUAUCUCUGUAUAAAUACCCCUUCUUCCUCCCCGAUCAGAACACAGUAUCUCGCACCCACCUUUCAUUGGGGGCGAUUUUGGAGUUCCAGAUUUCUCAAAAUACAAGGGGGGAGGUUUUGAUCUUCAUUUCUAGGAAGGAGGUUGCUAAAAGAGGUUAAUUUAUGUCCCUAUUGCCUCAAUUUGCUCAUUCUAGCUCAAUUUGAGCCACUUUUUGGAUCUAGGGUUUCACCAUGAGUGAGAGAGAAGAAUAGCUAGCUUUUUGUCCUGAUUUGUUGAUAUGGUUAGAUGGGGUUGUUUAAUAUGGUUGGAUAAUGUCUCUCAACAUGUUUGCUUCUCAAUUUAGCUAGUUUUUACAAGAUUAAACCAAUGGUGUGUUCUUGUAUAUUUAUGUAGAGAGAUAAUUGUUGAUUUUUUUUAAUUAUAUAAUAGUUAGGUUUUUAUUGUCACCUUCCACAUCAUCUAUCUAUUUAUAAUGAAUGUUGUAUUUGUAUAGUUAUGCUAUACUUAAGUUUUCUAAUUUAUGUCUCUCUCUCUUUAUAAAUUUUUCAAUUUAUUUAUCAACAUGUAUGUAUGUUUUAUGAGUGAGAGAGAAGAAUAGCUAGCUUCUUGUCUUUAUUUGUUGAUAUGGUUAGAUGGGGUUGCUUAAUAUGGUUGGAUAAUGCCUCUCAACAUGUUUGCUUCUCAAUUUAGCUAGUUUUUACAAGAUUAAACCAAUGGUGUGUUCUUUGUAUAUUUAUGUAGAGAGAUAAUUGUGGAUUUUUUUUAAUUACAUGGUAGUUAGGUUUUUUAUUAUCACCUUCCACAUCAUCUAUCUAUUUAUAAUGAAUGAUGUAUUUAUAUAGUUAUGCUAUACUUAGAUUAUUUUUUAAUUAUGUAACUUAGGUUUUUUCCUUUAAUCUCAUGCUUAACCAUAAACCCUAGCUAAUAAACCCUAGAUAAAUCCUUUGUAAACCCUUAGAUCAUAUGAAUGGUGUUUUACAGGUAGUGAUGGAGAGGUCAUUUUGGAUGUAUAAUUUAUCAAGACUAGAUCCAUCAUACAUAACUGAGGUCCAGAGGUUUAUUGAUGCUGCUCAAAACCAUGCUUCAAGAACAAGAAAGACGCACAUACAUUGUCCAUGCAUGGAUUGUAGAAAUCUUGUUGUACUGAUGACAUUCAACAAAUCCUUACUCAUCUGGUCCGUCGAGGAUUUAUGAAAGAUUACUUGAUUUGGACAAAGCAUGGAGAGGGUAGCUCUGCGCCUUAUACAACUGGAAUUGUUGACGGGUUUGAGUUCGUACACGAGACACAACAACCUAAUACCGAUGGUCUAGCCACUGAAUAUGUUGUGCCAAAUGUUCCUGAUUAUGGUUUUAUUGGAGGAAAUGAAGAUGGCACCGAAACUAACAUGGCUGCGGAAGAUGCAGAAUUUCUAGAGGCAAUGUUGUGUCAUCAUGCGGAAGAUCCAUCAGUGUUCUUCAUGAAAGGUAUGGAGGCCGUAAUGAAGGCAGCAGAAGAGCCUGUGUAUGAUGAGUCCAAGGGUUGCACCAAAGAGUUCACGACGCUGCGGUCUGUGCUAAAAUUGUUGAUGUGCAAAGCUAGAUAUGGUCUUUCUGAUGCUGACUUUGAUGCGUUCUUAAGCAUUAUCGCAGACAUGCUUCCUAAGGAUAACAAAGUGCCUACUAACACAUAUUAUGCAAAGAAGCUAAUCAGCCCACUCACAAUGGGUGUUGAGAAGAUCCACGCUUGUAGAAAUCAUUGUAUCCUAUAUCGAGGCGAUGAUUAUAGAGACUUGGACAGCUGUCCCAAGUGUGGUGCAAGUAGGUACAAGACAAAUAAAGACUACAUAGAGGAAGAGUGUGUUGCCUCUGUGCCUAAGGGCAAAAAACGAAAGAAGGCCCAACAAAAGACCCAGAAGAGUAGUUCAAAACCCACCGGCAAAGAAAAGGAAGAAGUAGACUAUUAUGCGCAGAAAAAGAUUCCUGCUUUGGUGAUGUGGUACCUUCCUGUGAUCGAUCGAUUGAGGUGCUUGUUUGCUGACCCAGAGGAUGCCCAACUUAUGAGCUGGCAUGCUUCUGAUGAGCACAAUGACGAUGGGAAGCUUCGGCACCCAGCCGAUGGCCAGCAGUGGAAAGAUUUCAAUGAAAACCACAAGGACUUUGCUAAUGAACCAAGGAAUGUUAGAUUCACACUGAGUACUGACGGAAUGAAUCCAUUUGCUGAGAGGAGCAGCAAGCACAGCACAUGGCCAAUGAUCCUCACCAUCUACAACCUCCCUCCAUGGUUGAUGCAGAAGCGAAAGUACCUUUUACUGACCAUCCUUAUCUCUGGACCUACACAACCUGGAGUUGAUAUGGAUGUUUUCUUGGAGCCCUUAAUGCAAGACAUGAAGAUACUAUGGGAAACAGGUGUUCAAAUAUUCGACGAGUACCGCAAAGAAUCAUUCACACUGAGAGCAAUUAUCUUUGUUACGAUCGAUAACUACCCAGCUCUCUUUACAUUAUCAGGGCAGUUCAAGGGAAAGUUAGGUUGUGUGGUAUGCAUAGAUGACACCACUUACAUGUCCCUAACUGCAUCUAAGAAGAUAGUGUACAUGAGGCACAGACGCUUCUUAUCAAAAGGACACAGGUACCGGCUGAAAAAGAUGGAUAAGUACUUUGACAAUAAUAGUGAACUACAGACUACUGCUCCAUCAGGUAACAGUAAAGGCCAAAGAGUUUUCAGCAUAGUCAGCAAACUCAAAUUUGUUUUUGGGAAGAAGACAAAAGAUGGAAAACCAAGAAAGAAUGUCAAGCCAGCUCCAGGGGCUACAUUCAAGAAGAAGUCAAUUUUCUUCGAGUAUUUGGAAUACUGGCCAGAGUUAGAUGUCCGCCACGCGAUCGAUGGUAUGCACGUUCAGAAGAACGUGUUUGAAAGCGUAAUUGGCACCUUGUUGGACAUGAAGGGCAAGACAAAGGAAGGAUUAAAUUCACGCUUGGACAUGGUACAGUUAGGCAUAAAAAAAGAACUUCACCCUGUUAGGCUAGAAAAUGGGAAGUACCACCUCUCGGCAACAAGCUACAACCUCAACAAUGAAGAGAAACAUGAGAUGUGUGUGUGGUUGAAGAAAUUGAAAGUCCCAUCUGGAUUCUGCUCUAGCAUACGUAGUAUUGUGUCAAUGAAAGACCUUACACUCACCAACUACAACUCACAUGAUUGUCAUGUCAUAUUGACUACUUUUCUCCCUAUUGCCAUUAGGGCUAUAAACCCAGUGUAGAUAAAGGUUGCAGUUACACGGUUGUGCUACUUCUUCAACAGGAUCUCACAGAAGGUGAUUGAACGUGAUGAGUUGGCGUCUCUUAAGGAAUUCGCAGUGGAGAUAGUUUCACAGUUUGAGAUGUGUUCCCCCCAGCAUUCUUUGAUGUGAUGGUUCACCUUGUAGUGCACUUGGUUUCACAAAUAGAGGCAUUGGGUUCCAUGUAUUUGCAUGAGAUGUGGACGUAUGAACGCUUCAUGUCAAUACUAAAUGGCUAUGUAUCAACUUGUGCUCGUCCAGAGGCGUCUAUGGUAGAGGGGUACUUAACCGAAGAGGCCAUUGAGUCCGAAGGUCCAUUCUGCAAUAGGGUACUAAAAGACCAGGUUGCAAUAGGUUUGCCUCCGUUACGACACGAGGGUAGGCUGAAUGGAAGAGGUAGGAUGGGAAAGAAAUCACACGUCCCAAAAGAUUACAAUUCAGUCCUCGAAGCACAUCACAGCGUCCAGCAUCAGCUCUCGAUAAUGGAGCCUUUGAUCAAUCUAGACAUUGAAGAGCUUCAAAAAACAUAAUCAUGGGCACACAGAUGAAUGGAUAAUGAAGGAACAUAAGAAUCAGUUCACCUCAUGGCUAAGGGAGCAGGACAUUCCAGAUGGGGAAACACUCGAGGAUCGCACCAUCAAGGUCUUGGCAUCUGGGCCAUCACGCCAUGUCACGACUUGGCAAACCUAUGACAUUAGUGGCUUCAUGUUCUGUACCAAGUCCAAAGACCAAAAGAGCAUGGCACAAAAUAGUGGUGUUCAAUGCGACGCCUUAGACUCUGAAACUGGUGAGGAAACAACUUACUUUGGCUUCGUUGAGGACAUAUGGGAACUAGACUAUGGUACAUUUCAGAUCCCUGUAUUUCGGUAUCAAUGGGUUGAAGACAAACAUGUCACAGUGGACAACUAUGGGAUUAGAGUUCUAGAUCUAAGCAAGGUAGGCUACAAAGAUGAUCCAUGGAUAAUGGCUAACCGUGCUGCACAGGUCUUCUAUGCUGAGCAGGUCCUCUCUCCUAAUGAUAAGAAGAAAAUUACGGACCAUCCAAAGCACAUAGUUUUCUCUGGAAAGCAACAAGCCAUCGGAGUUGAUGGUGUAUCUGACUUGGAUGAAUUUAACCAGUUCAGUGACAUAUCUCUCUUUGUAGACGACCAUCCAGUAAAGAUAAGGAAUGUUGAGUGAAGCAUUCCACAGAGCUCGUUGCCCUGGGUGCGUCACGAUGGACAAGGAAGAACAGUAGCUGCCUAGAUUUUAUUUGUCAUUUGCCAUGUAAUCUAUUUAUGAUAAAAUGUGUACCUUAUGCUAUGUGCCCUUUUCUAUUUCUACAUGUAAGGGUUACUAGUGCCAUUGAUGUCGUAUUGGUCUCAAACUUUUACUAAGGGUUACUAGUGCCAUUUAUGUUCAAUCGACCAAGUUUGGGAUUUUUUUGAUGUGGUUUGUUACUUUAUCCGGUUUAAUUGAAUUUCCGUGUGACGUCACCCACUAAUUAGCGCUUGAACUAAGUCUACCCCUGAAAUGACUCCAAAUGGUGCCAAACUUCUCCACAGGGUCUUAUAUACCAUAGGAAAUAAAACUUCCUUGUGGUUGGUGGAAAAACCUAGUGGGAUCUAGGUGUAGUCCACCAUUUUUUAUCUUAUUUAGCACAAAGAAAAAUAUAAUAAUAGCUUGCAUGACCAGAAAAUCCUAAGAUCUUGUGUGGGGUUAUCAUUUGAGUGUAGAAGCUUGCCAAAAAAAUUUCAAGACAUUUGGAGAUAGGCAUAACAUACAUGCUUCACAAACCUAUAAGAGUCAUUCCACCGAACUAUGCUCAUACAUAUGGGUUGCUCACAUUUAUAUUGUCAACGAUAAAUUGCACAAAGGAAUAUAUUUUUCAUAGCAUUUACACACUACAAUAAAGCUAACAAAAUUGGAUUUAUAUAUUUUUCUGGUACUCCUAGAAUUAUUUAUGUAUUAAACAAGAUAUGAGGCACAUAUUCAAUUUAAAUCAUUUUAAAUAAAGCUGCAUACAAAAGAACCUCAAACAUGAAAUUUCAUAUUUUUAACAUGUGUCUCUAGUCAAGAGGAACACAACAAAAUUUUUUCACUAAUUUAGGACAAAUAUUUUUGAAAAUAUGAUUUUUUGAAUCAUUUAAAUAAUUUCUAAAAAUAUAUAUAAGGAAAACUUUAAAUAAACUGAAAAUCUAUUUGUACAGGCGGUUGGCUAAGCAAACCGCCUGUACAAAUGCAUUAGUACAGGCGGUUGGCUUAGUCAACCGCCUGUGGAAACCAUUUCUACAGGCAGUUGACUAAGCCAACCGUCUGUACUAAUGCCCGCCUAUAUAACCCUAGGUCUUCUCCGCUCGAAAAUUCUCUAAGUCUGGCGCCCUGUUCAUUCAAACUAAACCGACACGCUGCCGAAAUUUUCCAUCGCCAUCGCCGCCGUUGUUGCCGACCUUGACGUCGUCGCGCGGUGACCGUCUCCUCCGCCCUCGACGCCGACGCCGCCCCGCGGUGAGAGCCUCUCCUGCUCGCGCUCUCUCUCUCUCUCCCCCUGCGCAUCCUCGACGUGGCGGCGGUGGUGGGGGGGGCGCGAUGGUGGCGCUGCCCGGACGGGAAAGGGGGGCGGCCGCAGUGGUGGUGGUGGAAGGGGAAGGGAUGGUCGCGGUGGCGAUGGUGGAAGAGGAUGGGGCUAGUGCGGGGUGUGCGGUGGUGGAAAGGGCGGUGCGGUGGCGGCGGCGGCUGGAGGUAGGAGAUGACCCCGACAGGUGGGGCCCACCUGCCAGAGAGAGAGAAGGGAGAGGGAGUGACGGCCUACUGGGCCUGUUGGGCUGGGAUUUUUUUUUCUUUAACAAUUUUUUAUGAAAAAAUUGAAUAAAACCGUAAAAAACAGCAGAAAAUUAUAAAAAUCAGAAAAAAUAAAAAUAAAAUCAGAGAAUAUUAUUAUGUCUUUUACAUGUGAUUGUAUUCAUAGUUAUUAUUUUAUAAAUACUUGUUAUUAUUUCCCGUUGCAUAUGUAUUAGUGUGUAUAUGUAAAUUUAAUUUUAUCUUUUUGUUAUAAUCUCUUUGUAAAUCAUUUAAUAUAUGUGUGUAUGAUAUAUUAGUGUAUAUGUUAGUGUAUGAUAUAUUAUGUAUAUAUUAGUGUAUGAUAUAUUAGUAUAUAUAUUAGUGUAUGUAAAUUUAAUCUGUUUAUAUAUGUAGUAGUGUAUAUGUAAAUCAUUUAAUAUAUUAGUGUAUGAUAUAUUAUGUAUAUAUUAGUGUAUGAUAUAUUAGUGUAUGUAAAUUUAAUCUGUUUAUAUAUGUAGUAGUGUAUAUGUAAAUCAUUUAAUAUAUUAGUGUAUGAUAUAUUAUGUAUAUAUUAGCGUAUGAUAUAUUAGUGUAUAUAUUAGUGUAUGUAAAUCAUUUAAUUUUAUGCAUAAAUUACAUAGAUUUCUGCAAUGAGUUCUCCGCAUAAGGACGAAGCACUGCAGUCCCAACCCACGGAGCAAGUAGAAGGGUCAACUGACCCUAUGGAACAAGCUCGUGAGGUCAUGAAACAAGUAGAAACGGGCGAAGCAUCAGGUUCGUCCUAUGAACAAGAAGCUAGCGACGACAUGGAGCCUCUAGAAGUGAGGAAGACUCAUCGUGAAUUGGCACGUGACCCCGAUUACAAUCCAGAAGCCGAUGAGGUAAAUUAGAGACAUUCACGAUUUUAUGUAAUUAAAUGAUUUCUAUUCAUAGUUCCUACAUAUAAACACGCCCAUGAUUCACAUGUCUAUACUGAGGAGGCAAUGUCUCAGUUUAGAGAGAUGAUGUCUCAGGAGGAAGUGGCACACGAAGACGCACCGGAACCGACGACAGCAUCGACGAGCCCUGAGAGGCCAUGUCAGUAUAGGAAAAGGAAGCGACAAGGUUCGAAACGAGGCGAGAGAGGGUUGAACCAAUUUCCAGAUGACACAUAUGCCAUCACAGAUGUGAGCCCUACCGGACAGCCCCUAGCUCCAGAGGAGGCCCUACCCAAAUAUAGGAACGCAAUUGGUUUCUGCGUGAGGGACUUUCUUGAUAUCACAGUUAAGAACUGGGCCGGUGUGUCGAAUAAUCACAAGAUCAAAAUUUGGGAUAAGAUUAAGACCAGGUUCCAGUUUCCUAGGAAUGUGCCAGAAGAUUUACUGAAGGCAUAUACAAUGAAGCAAUAUGCGGUUAGUUUCCGAAAUUGGAGGUCGGAGAUGAAUGUCAAGUAUGCAAAGACAGGGAUGGAUCCGACAUCCAAAUACAAUAUUACUAAAGGGUAGUGGGCUGUUUUUCUAGAGCAGAGGAAUGACUCUAACUUCUUAGCUCGGAGCGAAGCCAACUCCCAGCUCGCAAAGAGGAACAAGUACCACCACCAUCUAGGCACAGGUGGUUACCAGCACCAAGUUCCUAAAUGGAGGCAAGAAGAGGCUGCGAAGCAGGCAGUAGGGUUGCCAGUGUUGUCCGAGCAAGUCGGUGGAAGGUCCGCGAAUUGGAUCCGUGCUCGGAAACCAAAGGAAACCGAGACGGAUGUGUCCUUUGAAGACCCAAUGCUUGAUGAAGCAAUGAAGAGCAUCUUUGCUGUGGCAGGCAUGCAGCAGGAAGGCAAGUUUACGCCACGAAGGGAGAGGGACAUCCUUAGUGUUGGCCUCGGUAACCCCGAGCAUCCUGGCCGUGUUCGAGGCAUCUCAUCCAAAGAAGGAUGGAAGGAUGGAUUCGGCCCUCAAUGGGCAAAUGAGUAUAAGAAACGUGAUCGGUACAAGGAACAAAUGGCAAAUUAUUUUCAGGAAGAGGCUAAGAAAGACUUCCAAGAGAUGAUGGGGAAGUUGCUAGAAAAUCCUCCUCCUGAGUUGAUGCAGAAACAAGUGAGUGCCAUGUCAAAUGCAGCUACCCAAAUGAGCACUCAAGCUCCCCAAAUGCAGCUAGUCCUAGUGGUGUCGCAACCGUUGGUGGCAUCAAGUGAAACAAUCAUUCCAAGCAGUGUCGCAUCUACGGCAAAUAAGGAUCACUAUCCAGUUGACGACAUUGUUAGUUCUACACCUUGCUCCCUUGUCAUAAGAUAUGGGAUUAACAAUCAUCGUACAAGGGAAGUAGCCACGGGCAAAGCGAUCCCAGGAGGACCUAAAUACCAUGGUGCUGACAUCCCUAAAGACUACUGCAGAGUAGAGGUAUCAACCGUGGUCCAAGGAUAUGAGGACGAGAUUCUAGACAUCCCUGGUCCCGAGAACAUUGUGAAACUGGGACAGGUGAUAAACAAUUUCAACCUAUGGCCUCGGAGGGACGUGCAACUAAGGGAGCCGCCACCACCCUCUCAAGAGAUGCCACUAACCCAAAAGUCAUCAGCUCAUGUCGAUCCUCUUCCUAACCCACCGCCUUCACCUCCCCAGUCUCUUCCUGACCCACCAGAAUCACCUCUCCAUGUUUUCCCUAUCCAUCAACCAUCUCCUCUCCAUGAUCUUUCUACCCCACAGUCAACACAAUCUCCACCACCAUUCAAUUCCACCCCUUCCCCACAACUCAAAGAUCGAGAACCAAUAAGUGAGCCACCAAAGGUGCCAAAGAAGAAAGUAUUUCCGAUACCUAAGUUGAUUUCACCAUUCGAGCCGAAGAAAAAAUCAGCUGGGCAAGUGAGAUUUUUGUCAGGCAUUGCUUCGAAACACACAAUACAAGAGCAUGAGAUUUCUGAGCUAGCAAAGUCAAAGGUGCCGGCGCCUAAGGUCAUAACUCCUGUCAAUUUCAAGGUGCCAACUGCAGAAGACUACAAGACUAUCCCCAAAAAGUACGUGUGGGGAAAGCCUCUACUCGGUCGGACCAAACUUAUGAAGAAACCAAGUGGUAUAAAAAGGUUUCAUGACUGGUACAUGAGAGCCUCUUCUGCUAGCAUCGACACCAUAAGCAUGUGCAUACCACAAAUAGCAUUUCUUAGCCAGAGUACUGACAAAUGCAUGCUUACAUUUGAUGACAUGUGGGCACUGAUGAACCACGAGACGCUAGAUGUACAGAUCGUAACGACAUUUGCAUUGUAAGUGUUACAUAGUUACACACAUUGUAGUUGCAUCAAUUUUCAAUAUCUGACAUGCUUCUGUCUUGCAGAAUGUUAUAUGAUCAACACGAUAUGUAUUUUGGUUCGGACCUAAAUUAUUGUGCCGAAGAAAGGAAUGCCUAUGUCUGCCCAAUAGAUAUAGCCAAAGAUCGGCACACAUUCCGGAUCGGGAAUGACAGCACAGAGGUACAGGGUUUGGAAGGUGCAGAACGGGAUGAGAAACUCUGAAAGUUGAAACUUGAUUUUGAAGCCAAAUACACCUUCUACAUUGGACAUUCACUAAUAAAGUUUCAAGACAGGAAAGCGGUGGUGGCCCCGUACCACUUUGGGUAAGUGUGAGUUUACAAAUAUCUAUCUAAAUUAUUCCAAUGCAUAAAUGCAUCAUGGAUUUAAUUCGAGCAGGAGGCACUGGAUAUGCUUCAUCAUUUAUCCCAAGGAGGGAAGGGUGUUGGUACUAGACUCCGCAGAUUACGCGAAAGAAAGCUAUGCUCCAUUCAUCAAACUGCUAGAGUUGUAAGUCAAGCUAUGCAUGCAUACUUAAGCAUAGUGAGAAUUUGACAAUAACAUGGUGAUUCUAUUUGAGAUCAUAGGGCAUACAGGUUCUAUAAGAUAAAUCAUGGAAAGUGCGAGUCCAAGAGACUAGGGCAACCAUUGGAGGUUAUACAUAACUGGCCGGUACGUAUAAAAAUUUACUAUUAUGAAUACAAAUCAUACACAUACGACUACAGUUGUAACUAUAAUUAAAUAACCACUCUCCUGUUAUACAGUACAUGAAGCAACCACCGUUAUCUGUCCUCUGUGGCUACUACGUGUGCGAGAACAUGAGAGAAAACGGACGAUAUGCAAGGAACCUUGACAAGGUAAUAUAAGUAAUAGUCUAUUAAAGUUGGAAGUCAUAAAAUAUAUAAUGUUUAUAAACUUUCUUUGCGGUAUAUAAGCAAGGGACGGCGGAGCGCAUGGACGAACGUGCUUUAGACAACAUAGUUGAGGACAUCUACUUGUUCAUCAUGAAGCAUGUCAUUCCACGUGAAGGCCAAUAUCAUGAUGAUGAAAGCCAAUUAUCCAGGCCAGAGUUCCGAGUGCUAACAGAGAUUAGUAAGCUCAAACUUACUGAAGAGGGUUAUUAGAGGACAGAAACAAACUUUGAUGUAUAUAUAUAUGAUGUGUGAUGAUGGAUAUACUCUUGUAAUUAACUUUAUGUCUUUGAGCACCAAACUUUGAUGUAUACAAAUGUAUGUAUGAGAUGAAGUAUUUAAAUUACAUGUUGCUAUGUUAGAAGACCAACCAAUAUCAAUAUAUUUAAAUAUUAACAAUAAAAUAAUAAAUAGAUAAAUAGAUAAAUUAAAAAAUAAAUAAAUAAUGCAUAUUUUAAUAGGUUUAUACUGGCGGCUCUCAAGUGACCGCCUGUGGAAAUGGACGAUUUCUACUGGCCUCCAGCGCAGGCGGAUCCAGAAAAUACAAGUAGAAAUAUGUUACCAACCGCCUGUAUAGUGUGUCAAUGUACUAGUGCUCUCCGCAUCGGAUAGAUCUCGCCGCCGUCGCCCUGCCGCUCGCUAGCCCCUUCCCUCUCGGUCCCGGCGUUCUCGCCGCACCGGGUAGGGAAAGGGACCCCCACCCUCAUGUAUAACUUCUAGGAGUCCCGCGAUGGGUUCUCCCCUAAUGGUCGUCUUCGCCACCGCCGUCGUCGUUGCUGCUGCAGCAGCUCCCGUCGCCGCCGACGAGGCUCCUACCAUGGUACGUCUAAAUAAAAUAAACUCGCCCCUCCACAGCACGGCUCCUCCCUUCUCCACCCACUCCCCGCCUACCUCGCGCCGCCUCCUAGAUCCGUGCUCCUUCGACUCGCAUCUUCCGCAUCUCGCCUCCGCCUCCACCUCUACUUUGCAGCCAUCGUUCCUGCUGAUCCAGACAGCCCUUUUUGCGGCGUUGCCGCGACGACUUCGUCUCCACCUGGGACCCGACUUGGAGCUUCAUCCUCUACCUCCGGCGACGGCAACAACUUUAUCCUUCGGUCGCUCGGCGCAUGAUUCCUCUCUGGCUCCGUCGCCCCACCUUCAACCGACGCUUGGCGCGGCCUUCCAUCUGGGUGUAUAUGCCUUCGGCACCUCUACGACACCCCGCCGGCGAAUCCGCCGUCGUCAACGCCUCCGAUGUAGCUGUUGUUCUUAUCCGGUAUCUGGACCCUAUUGUAAUUCGGUCUCCCUUGGAGGACCUCUGUGUAAAAUGGCUGCUUAAUAUAUAAUAUAUGCAGUUGUGAAAAAAAAAGAGAUGGAGGGCAACGACAGGGAGGACCUUCAUCCUGGUGCUACUGUCGGGCGGCGGCCUCGACGUGUCCUUUGCGCACAACCACCCCAAGAUCGGCGCCAUCCUCUGGGCUAGGUACCCGGCGGCGAAGGCGGCAUCGCCAUUGCUGAAGUGAUAUUCGGAAGAUACAAUCCUGGUAAAUAGUAAUUAAAUCCACGCGUUCAUCUUUUGGUUUUCUUAUUUGUUUGUUUAUUGAACGUUCUUUAUGGUUACCAAUCCUUCAUUUCAUGAUUUUGUGUACAUACAUGCAUGAACAGGAGGACGGCUGCCUCUGACAUGGUACAAGAACAAGUACAUCGAGCAGAUCUCCAUGACGUGCAUGGAGCUCCGGCCGGUGGCGAAGCAGUGGCGGACGCAGGAAUUGAAGAUUGGGUGUACAUGGUGUACAUAGAUACACAUACAGAACCAAACCAUUAUAGCAUAUGUAAAACUAAAUGUCCAUCAAUUUAAAGCAAACAGUACUUAAGUACUAGGUACAUUAGUAUAAUUAAUUAGUUAAUACAUAGUAUUUGUGAAGUCUCAACUAAUAAAGAAACAUUACAAAUUUAAUUGUGUCAUGGUGUGUUCUCUGUGCGGCUGUCGUGCCGCCUACUGGUGCAGACUUUGCGCCAAUGCCAUUGAAAUCAAACCGUAGGUGGCCGAGCGGCGCAGGUGGGGAACAAAAUUUUUUGAUCGAUUGGGAAAGGUGAGUUCAAGUAGGCAGGGCAAGUGCUUGAGGCACCGUCACAGACGAGCAGAGGGCAUCACUCCUGAUUGGCAGGUUCCCUCCGUGAGGUUGCUUCUUGAGCUAGCAGUUAGACCUAGCUAGACAGAGGAGGGGAGCAGGGGCGGAAUUGGGCCUGGGGCCGCUGGGGCCACGGCCCUAGUCGUGGGCCAAAUUUUCCUUUAGAGUGUAAGUAUAUUUUUGGCCUGGCUCUAGUCAUUGGACCAAAUCCUCUAAACCUUCGGCCCAAAAAAAAAUAUGACGAGCGCUCAGGUCGCGGCCGCCGGCCGUACCAAAAUUUUCCUCGAUGUCACGACGAUUGGAAUUCCGAACUUGAACCGUCGCGGGCGUGCAGCGUUGCCAUCGCCAUUCGCCAAAGCCCCAGGUCGCAGCCUCGCAGGCACCGGGCGCCGUCGCUGCUCUCGCUCGUCAGUUCGUCAGCAUAGCAGGUUGCACGGCGCCGGCACCAGGGAAGCAGGGAGGCCACAGCCCCAGGGCGCAUCGCCACCAGGCCUUCAGGCAGGCAGCAUCGGUAAUUUCCCAAUCCUAUUCCCAAAUCAAUUUUUAAUUUGGCAAUUGUUAAUUUGGCUACGUCACCAUCAGUCCGUCAGGCAUUCAGUCAUAUAUUACUAUCAUUUUUUGUCAAUUGUCCAAUUACAUUUUAUGGACUGUAUUAUUAAUGUUCUUACACUAAAUUCAUGUGUAGGUUCAGGUCCAUAUGAAGCUCUUGAUGAAGAUAUGAGAGGAGGGUGAACCAAACCAUAAUUAGUUAGGUAUUUUUUAAAACUGCUUUCAUGUUCUAUCAAUUAUAUCAUGGAUUUAAAUAUGAAAUUGAGAUAUCAUUUAAACUUAUGCAUCUUUGAGCUUUAUUUUGUUAUUUAUCGAUAUUAGUCCCGGUAUAGACGGUAUAUAUAUGCUUUGAUAGUUUGUGACGGUAUAGCUUGUCAAUUGAUAGUGGCCCUAGGCGUCAAAAUUGACGAGCUCAGCCACUAGAGGGGAGGAGGCAAGAAACGUGGCCUUUUUACUCUUAGGCCCUGUUUGGUUACCCACAUUAAACUUUAAUCUCUAUCGCAUCGAAUAUUUGGAUAUAUGCACGAAGUAUUAAAUAUAAUAUUUACGAAACUAAAAAACACAGUACCUAUUGAACUUUAGUCCGUUCAAUCAAACACUCCUUUACUUGGAUCAAAUAUACAUAAUUUAGUCUACUUAUAUGUACAAUACAUACAAAUGUAUAGUGUCUAUAAUUUUUUUCUCAAAAUUAUUGGGUGUACAUCUGUACACCCAUGUCCAUAUACUGUGUCCGCCAGUGUGGCGAAGCACGGGUACCCGGGGCGGACGUACAAGUUCUACACCGGGCCGGGGGUGCUGUACCCGUUCGGCCACGGCCUGAGCUACACCAUGUUUCCUCUACACGAGACCAGCUGCAACGGCACCACCGUGAGGAUGCCGGUCGCCGGCGGCCACUGCAAGGGUCUCAGCUACCGCCCCAGCGCGCUGUCCACCUUCGCCUCCUCGUCUGCUGCGCCGCCGUCCUGCGAGGCGAUCAACGUGGACGGGCACGCGUGCGAGGAGACCGUGAGCUUCAACGUGAGCGUCAUCUAUGGCGGGAGCCGGGACGGCGCCCACGCCGUGCUGGUGUACACCGUCCCGCCGCCAGGUUGCGGACGCGCCCGUCAAGCAGGUGGCCGCGUUCCGGCGGGUGUUGGUGCCGACGGGGACGGGGAGCACGGUCACCGAGAAGUUCACGCUGAACGUGUGCCGGUCGUUCGGGAUCGUCGAGCGGACAGCCUACAAAGUCGUGCCACCGGGCGUCAGCACCGUGCUCGUCCAGAACGGCGACUCGUCGGUGUCCUUUCCUGUCAAGAUCGACUUCUCCGUUUAGUCGUUACGUAGUACUACUACUAGCUAGGUUUACAGUUCCCUGCCAUGGAUGUUUAGAUAGGGUUAUUUUCAUCAGUUUUUUUAUUGACACUUAGUGUUCAACAUCAUACUGAAUUUGAUGAGCCUCCGUGUGUCAUGGUUGCUCGCAAUGAGAACAGUCUGUUCUUGAUUAUCCAAUAUAGAAUAACUGAUAUUUUUUUUCGAGGAAGGAAUGAAACCAAUGAAGCUGGUAUAUAUAAUCGCUUUCGUCUCUCUAAGGGCUUUUUCGGUUAGGUAGGAAUGUAGCUACGAAUUAUUCCAGCUCAUCAAAGGCUAUGUAAAUUAGGCAAGUAUCCCUCUGGUGGGAAUUAAUUGUUCCAGGCAAUGCCUAAAGGGCUGCAGUGAUCCGUUGGAGCGAACCCAUACUUCAACAUCGGCCAUCCAGCAUAUAGAUUUCGACCAUCAUUUAAGAUACAUCUCAAGUUUUUAUAAAUCACUGCUGCACGUUCGGGGAUUAGCACCGGUAUGGAAGGGCCUGUUGCUCCGGUUCUCUAGCCGGUGCUACCCUUCCACCCUUUAGUCCCGGUUCGGGGAACCGGGGCUAAAGCCCCCCUUUAACACCAGUUGGUAAUACCAACCGGUGCCGGUGUUAAAGGGUCCUGCCAGGGCUGCCACGUUGCAGGACCCUUUAACACCGGUUGGUAUUACCAAUCGGUGUUAAGAGUUUCUUUUUUUUUACUUCUUCAGUUCUGUUUAUUGUUUUUAUAUAUAAUAAUAAUAAUAGGUUUUUCAAUACAUAUUUUUGCUGAUACAAUAAGAUAUUUAUAUUACACGCAUAUUAAGCAUAUAUAAAUGAAAAUUAUAGGCUUAGCUUUAUAAUUAAGCUUUGCCUAUAAUAAAAUGAAUAGGCCACAUCAAAAAUUAAAUAGAUAUGUAAAAAGCUUUAUAUAUAUAUAUAGUUUUAUAAGUACAAAAUUCAUAACACAUAUAUACAUAGAGUUUUUUCUCCCAAUGUCUAAAAACGAUACAAAUGAUCAUCGUUGUUUGGAAUAAGAGUUUCGUUGCCGUUGAAGUGAAACUCGCCGUUUAGAUUGAUCACUUGCUCGCGGAGAAAUCCUGCUAUCGUCUCUUGGAUAGCUUUGAUUCGGUCUUUUUGUAUUACCUUUUCCCUCAACCAUUCCGUCUUUAAUUUGAAAUAAAUAAAAAAGGUAUUAGUUAUCUAAGUUAUUCAAUAUAAUUCAGAAGAUAAUGAAAAGAGACAUGUAACGUACUCUGAGCGUCUAUGUGAGUGUUUGAUUGACUUGUGCCAUCAUGAAUUUGCACACGUAAUAUGUACAUAGAUUGUUCCCCCUUCUUGUCUUAAACACCACUGUACGAAAUAUAUAUAAAAAAUAUUCACGACCACGACAAUAAGAACGCUAAAAGUUAGCGAAAGUUUGCUAGCUAGUAGAAGUUACUUGUGGAUGUAUUAUGUUAAGCGGCGCUUUACAUCCACUGAGAUGUUCACGGUCAAUGAAUCUUUCCCAAACUCUACACACAGCCAUUGUGGAUCGUGAACUAAUAAUUACAGAGUCAUAUUAUGAUAUUAUUCUAGCUGAGAUCGACAUUAUACCUUUGAAUAAUGUUUACCAUUUGUUGAUAAUUUUCUUGUGGUUUUCUCAUUGAGUCAAAGAUUAUCAACCGGUUCUUGGGAAUUUCAAUGACCAUGAGUAUCCAGUGAAAGCUGUUUACACAUAUAUAUAGUCAGGCCUAUAUAUAACUAUAUAAAACUUGUCUCGAGUAAUAAUUAUUAAAAUAAAAUAUGCAUGCACUUAAUAACUAUAUAACUCACUCGAAGUUGAAGGGGAAGAGUAUUUUUUGUUUUUCUUUUUGGUUCACAAAGAACCUCAUAAGAUUGGUGCAGACUUCUGUCUCAUGAGCUGCUGUCCACACUGCCUGCGGAGCCUUAAAAACAAUAUAAGGGUCAACGAACCCAAUACUAUUGUCAUUUCUGAUUCUGAGCUCUCUCAUUUGGUGCCUGCAUAUAUACAUACAAAUCCUAAGUGUGUAAGGAUUAUAUACAUGUAAUUAAAGAAGUUUGAAGUAUAAUAAAAAGAAAAAAAUACUUACAGACAAAAGCAGCUGACAAGAGAUUUGUCGAGAGCGUCGAGGUGACAUAAUUGGUGCAAUUCUUCGAACUGCAUGUAUAUGAGGUCAUCUCCACGGAAGUAGUGAUGUUGUCUAAUACGAACAGAAAUCCAAUUCUCUCCCCUUUUAGACGCCUCAACGCACCAUUUGUUUAUUGCAAACAUUUGUGUGCCGAGCUUAUGUAAACGCUGAGGGUCGAAUAGACUCCUGCCCGGUUCAUAUCUUGCCCUCCAUUGAUCAAUUACCUUAGCUUUUUCAAAUGUUUGGCAUCCAAUAAUGGUGGCAAUUUCUUCCAUAUUUAAACCACUCUGUCCAAAGUAACGCUCAAGCGAGUCUAGCUCAAACAACGCUAAGGAUUUCUUUGGCAUCAAGUCUUCAUUUGAGCCGUAUUCAUUUGGCACAAUCAAAGGGGGCACCGGUUUUGAUACUUCUCCGAGCUAUGGGACCCCCUUUCCUACUCUCUUUCUAGAAUGUGAAGACUUGACCAGAGACCGCUCAUAGUCCGAAAGUGCUGGCUUUUUCUGAGCUUCGCGUUGCUUCUUUUGCUGGUCUGCCACCUUCUGCCUCAGUUCCGAUGGCUUUACAUAAAAGUACGGCUUUUCUGGGUGUAGCCGGUUUUUUUUAUCCUCCUUCAAUUUAUCAAAAAACUACUUCACCUCAGCUUUGGAUGCAGCAAUUACCUCCUCUUCACUCUUUUCGUAAGAUAAUUUUUCUCAUGUCUUAGCUCUCUUUGCUGAGGCAGCCUUCUUUGGAGGUGGAACCGAUGACUUCGGUCGUUCUUGGGCGGACCGCUUCUGACUACCUCGCUUUGGAGGCGAGGGGACCGACCGUGUACUCUUUGGAGAGAGCGGUGCAGGCGGUGGAGGUGGUGGGGCUGAUCUUUUCGGUGUUGGAGAACGCGGUGGAGGAGUUGGAGACCUCGGUGGAGGCGGUGGUGGGGUCGGUGUGGCCGCCACAGGUGUUGGAGGAGAUCUAGCAUUGUCACCGCCUGCAGCACUAUGAUACGCUGGGGAGAGAACUGGACUUAGGUUGGAGGAGUCCCUGCAAAGAAAACAAUUACAAGUUUUGUGAGCAAACUUUUUUUAUUUUCAAUACAUAAUAAAUAAUAUAAGUAGUAAAAUCACACACAAACCUAUGUUGAGGAAUAAUUAUGAAGCGCUUGCGCCAACAAAUAAAUGUCUUCUCAGCUUCACUUAAGGUCUUCUCUCUGUCUCCCCCUUCUAUGUCUAGAGGCACAUUGCCACAACCUUUCUCAACCCUAUCAACCGAGAUGCUAGCAUAUCUACCAGGUACUGGUCGAUUAUGGAUUCUUGGAGUUCUCGUUCGGUCGAUAGGGUUGACAACAGCGAUAGCCACCUUUUUUGUUGCAUUCCCAUCUGGUACAUGCAGCUCACAGGAAGUAAAAGCCUCUGUGACAUCAUCCACGGGGAAGUGUAGCUUCGUGUCGUCCUGAAUGGUUGGUACUUCCGUGGAUGCGCAACUGCUUGUCAACUGGCCUGGGGGGCUAACGUUGACCUCAGGCUGUGAUGUACCUUGCCCUUUCGUCAUUUGACUAAGUGCUGCUUGCACUUGCCUUUGAAUCUCCGCCUGCAUCCAUUCUUCACGAGCUUUCUCGCGCUCUUCUGACUGCAGAACAAAAGCUUCCAGGCGGCGGAUCCACUCUGCCUCCUCAUCCUUCUUUCUCUGGCGGCUUCUAUAGGUAUCUUGAUCGGCUUGGAAUGAUUGCAGCCAUGGAACUGCCCCAUAGCCUCUCGUACGCCCACCGUGCUCAGAAUUUUCAAGCGCAUAGGUGAGUUCAUCCUUCUCCCUGUUAGGCCUGAACUCACCAGACUGAACCGCCUCUCGUGCACGGACUAGUCUCCUGCUGCUCUAGAGAUUUCUUGGCCCCAAACUAGUGCCCCGGUGUCUGGGUCCACGCUUCCCCCAUGACCGUAGAACCAAUGCUUGGAGCGCUCGCUCCAAUUCUUUGCUAUUGUCUUGGGUGUGACCCCCUAGCAAGCAUCUCCUGUUCCAUUUGGUCCCACUUGGGAACAACACUCUUAUAACCACCUGAUCCCAUAUGAUGGUGGUAUGUGUUUUUACUUGCUGUUGAUGCAAAAGCUGAUCUGCAAACACAAAGGGCUAAUACCCGAUUUAAACGUUAAGGCGUGCCAGCCGAUUUGACCUUACUAUCGGCAAAGGUGAUAACUCGAAUACUUUGGUCCCGACAACAGCGAUGUGCCCGGAUGCCACGGCCAAGAGGUACUCACGCGGAACUUGAGAAUACGCCGAGCUUAAGUCGACGAACUCCUAAGAACUCAUAAUGAAAAAAGGAAAAUAUGACGAAGUCGUCGAAAAAGUAGAUGCUGUGAUAUGAGUAAAAACUUGUGUUUGAUUGAUUGAUAGAUGUCUCAAUUACAAGGCCCUAGGGUCUACAUUUAUACCCUGCUCAAAGAGCUACAACCAGACAUGACUAGAAUUCGAAUUCCAAAUUUAAACAGAAUCCGUGUACACAACGAUUUAAAUAACUAAGGAAAACAUAAAACUAUCCUGCCAUGACAAGCUAGGACACCAUCACGGACCAAUUGGCAACCUCCAAGCUUUCCUUCCAUGUCAUCGGCAGACCCCCCAUCGGCAACGGUUAAUAGUGGCCAUCGGCAUAAACACAUCACCACCCAUGGACUUAGCCACAUUCAGCUGUCUCCUCAUCGGCAACCACUCUUAUCGACAACUCUCCUGCAGACCAGUCACUAUUGCCCUUUCUUGCCGAUCUACACUCUACCGAUCCUGGGUACGUGUCCAAAAACGGUGUCAACACAUGCCCCCCAAUUUUGGAGUAUGAAAUCAUUAAUGCUCCGAAAUUCUCUGCAAUAAUGAUGCCUUUCUGCAAUUAACUCUCCCAAUUUGGUAACCGACAACCUUAAUCUGAACAACCUUGGUUCGAUUCCUCCGUAGAUUCCUCGAAAUCCUCAACUUCCUAAACGGACAUCUCCACUUUAGUCGCCCAUCGGCAAUGUUACCGUUAUAGAGACCUGCCGAUGGACUGACCAGGAUGUCCUGUUCAGUAAAGUGUCUUAUCCUCCCAAACGGAUAUGCCCACUCUAUCCGCCCAUCGGCAAUAUUACUGUUACAAGGCGCUGCCGAUGGACCGACCAGGAAAUCUCGCACAGUAAAAUAUCUCCAGAUCACGACCGCUUCCUGUCAAAUCACCUGCACAAUCCCUUGAUUACCGUGCGAACAGUUACCAUAUCCUCCUAAGUAUCCUCGGAUUUCACAGAUACGGCGAAGUGAUAAGUCAGAUUUACCCUUGCCCAUUUUUUCCUAUAAAUAGUUCCUUCUCGGGUACUCCUUCUCCAUCGCAUCAUUCCACAGUUCCAACUCCACCUUCCUGGCGGCGGCGCUUUUCGAGAUCUCCAAGAACUCCAACGAAACCCCUUCUUCACCAACCUCGAAGCCUUCGAUCAUCCUUUUUGUGAGGAGAUGGCCAUCAACUUCACCGUUCCUGAGGUUAGUUCUUCACCCUUCCUCUCGUACUUUCAUCAUAUCCCUAUUCAUCCACGAUUUAUUUUACUGAACAUUUUUCUUUUUCUUUCUUUGUCCUUCCCUUUUCCUUCAAAACCAUUAGGAUCUGUCCAAUAAAAUUCUCAUCCCUAUCGAUCAGCCACACCUCCAAUGUCUUGGUCCGUUAGGGGAUCCAGAUCCCACCGAUCUUAUUAAUAUAGAAACAAACAGAAUCCCUUUUAGAGCCGAGAAUUUUUCUCUAGACCUGUGGAAGGAUACCUUCCGUUCCUGGCCCAGUCCUAUUGUGGGAUGGAAGGAUUGGUUUUUGAGAGUCAGCCACUCAAAUGAAGUCCAGUGGGGCGAGAGAAAACUAGAUCAAUGCAUCAGGUUGUCCAUCGCCGAUAUGCAUAGGAAUGAGUCACUGCUGAUAGCUGCAUCAUAUUUUUGGUCAGACACACUCAACGCCUUUGUCUUUGGCCACGGCCCUGCUUCCCCUACACUUGCCGAUGUGGUUAUGCUCACCGGCCUAGAUGUAUCUUCUCCCGAUAGCACUCACUUUUUCGAUACCAAACCCAGUGCUAAGGUAGAAACUCGUGCCAUCUGCAGUUGGUCAGGGUACAUCCAAAAAUACAAACGAACAGGCCCUGUUAACAUAAAGGAACAGACCAGCUUCCUGAACAUGUGGUUGAACAAAUUUGUAUUUUGUGGUCGAUCGGCAGGACCAACUUCCGUCUACUUAGCAGCAGCAGAAAGAUUAGCCAAUGGUGGCCGAUUUCCCCUCGGCCGAUACCUGCUCGGCGCUGCUUACCACCUCCUUCAUCAAGUAGCCAGGAAACUCCUGCUCGGCCAGUCCAUCGGCAACUUGGGGGGUCCUUGGUGGUUUAUCAAUAUGUGGCUUAGUCUCCACAUGCACAAGCGUCUUGAGUUUGACCUCUUCGCACAGCGCUUCCCCAGGGAUAUAGCCGAGGAUUAUGAACUGGAUGAAGAAGAAUCGGCAACUCGCCCUCCUCUAAACUUCGGCGAGGCUGUCAUAGCUCUGCCUAGUACAUGGGGCAAUGCAGACCAAGUCAGCCGAUUCUUCCAAACUCUAUAUGAAGGUCUAACCAAAGAGCAGCGAGCAUAGAUGCCUUAUGAAGAUCCAAACACCAUGUUCCCUUUGGUUUUCCAUCCGUUCAACGAUGCUCUCAACAAGGAUCAUGAAGUGAUGAUGGCAUUGAUCACUCCCAGAGCCAUACCAGUAAACUUCUUUGGCAGUGGGAAAACCUCCAACCAAACCUAUGAGUUUUACAACCCAUCGGCACUAGCCCGUCAAUUAGCUUUCGGCCAGCUGCCGAUUGCACUCUGUUAUGCCGAUGUGAUAAAACCCAUAGAAGCCAUCACUAAUCUCCUCGAGUGGAUUCGAGUAGCCCAGCUACCACCGAGUGCUGAUACAAAUGCAGAUUUAUCAGAGUGGAUCCCGGCCCUCUUCAUUACUCAGGUGUACAAACAAUGGUGGGAGGAAUGGAAGGAGCAUUUGUUCUGCAAAUCGGCUCUUUCAUACCGUGGAAUGAUUGACCCCCAGUACAAAGUUCCCGAUAAUACUGUAAGUAUUUCCAAACCGAUGUCUCAAUUCCUCCACUUUUAUUUCCAUCGGUAACUCACUUUCUAUAUUACUCUGCAGGUUGAUAACAUUCCCCCAUCGGUCAGCAGGAGUGGCAAGCCGAUUGACCUUUUUCCAUCAGGUCCGAUCUCUUCAAUCGGCAACAACGCUCCCACUUUGGCUGCCAUCAUGCAUCGAGGCGUACGCCUCAAGAAAGUCACCACCAAGAGAACUCAGAUAUCUCCAUCGGUAGCUGCCUCUGCUUUGGCCCAGGCGUUCAAGGUACAUUUUCAAACUCUUUCAUACCGAUCUCACCCUUACAUCUGUUGCACUUGUACUCACGAACUUCCCUUUCUGUAUCAGCACACCAGCGCAUCGGCAAGGACCAGAAGCAAAAGUGUCGAUGCCCCCAGUCUAGUCAGCCGAAGAGAAAAGGUGCCAAGAAUAUCAGAGCACAAGCAAAGCGCCAAAAGAUAGCAACACCUUCUCCUCCCCCGGUAUCUCCAAUUCCGGUAGAAUCUUCUCCCUCUUCUCCAGAAACACAGACACAACAAGAACCAUCUCCCUCUCAGCCGCAAGAAGCACCCCAAGUGGAAGAACCCCAACCAGAAGAGCCCCAGUCAGAAGUACCUCAGCCCGAAGACACAUCGGCUGACGUGCAUGAGCAAACUACCGAUCCAACAAGUUCGAUCAUAGCAUCGGUAGUUUCCUCCAUCCAGACAAGUACUGCUCCCCCUCAAGGUAACAUACCUUUUAUGAAAUUAUUGCCGAUGAACUUAUUUUCCCCGUCUUAUAACUGCUUCUGUUAUUUUUUAGUUGACAUAGUCCCAUCGGCAACCCCGGCCGAUCAACCUAUAGUUCCAUCGGCGUCCUCCAGUCAGAGGCAAGAGAUUGCUCUGAAACAAGUAAGUCACCCAACCUCUAUCAAUAUUAUUUGUCAAUACUUGACCAUGGAAUGACUCAUUUUAUUUCCUUUUCAGGAACAGGACUCUCCUGACAGCUUGUUCUCCUUCGCCGUCGAUAUCUCUGAAGAUGAAGGUGAGGAGGCAAGUUCUUCCCAGGCAGUUGGAAUUACAUCGGCAGCGGUUAGGGCAAAGUUGGAAGAAUUGUCGGCCCUCCUUCAUCAAGGCACAGCCCAAUUGGUUGAUGACUCCGAUCCAACCAAGGCUUUGUUCAAGACCCUCAGAGGCCAGAUCCCCGCCGAUGCCGAAGAAGUUCUCUUUCAAGCUGCACAUCUAGAGAGUCGCCAGUUGCAGUACCAAAGGGCUGUUCAACGUCUUGCCGAUAGAGCUGCCCAAGCUCAUCUCUCAGAAGAAAUGAUGAAAGUGAAGCUCCUUGCCGAUGAGAAACAUAAAAACAUCGGCACCCUGGAGUCCUCAAGAGAUGCGCUGAGAUAAAAGAUUUCUGACCUAUCGGCAAAGAGAGAAGCCCUGUUGGCAGAACUAAAGCAAGUAGAAGAAGCCUUGUCCCAAGCUCAACAAGAGGAAAACCAGCUGCCUGAGGCGAUCAAACUUCUUGAACAAGAACGAAAUAUCCAUGGUCGCAGAGCGCUGCAGAUGAAGAAGAAGUUGAAGCCGGUGGAAGGCUCUGCCGAUGAAGACACCAAAGAGAUAGAAGCAGCCAACCAAAUCCGUUUGCGCGCUCUAUCGGUGAUCCAAGCGUUGUUGAACAUGUGAGCUCUUCAUCGGCAACAUACUUGCCCCUCUUUGCUUUCCAGCCUUCCUAAUAUUUGGUCUGCCGAUAGGACUAUUUUCGGCACCUUUAAAAACACUGAGUUUUAUCCCCGAAUACAUUUUGAUCUAGCCGAUAGGAAUGUUAUCGGCACUUAAACUUUUAUGCAUCGACCCAUAUGCUUGGGUAAUACUUCUUUAGAUAUUUGCCAUUCAAUGCUCUGUUAAAUUCAACUCCUUCGAGAGUUUCUAAAAUAUAGGCAUUACCAAGAGCCGAUCAACUUAUCCGAUAGGGACCUUCCCAAUUGGGAGACCACUUCCCAAAUUUUGAACUUUUAGUCCCGAUCGGUAAGAUUAAUUUCCAUACCAAGUCUCCAUCGGCAAAUUCUUUAGCCUUUACCUUCUUAUCAUACCAUCUAGCAACUCUCUUCUUAUUCUCUUCUAUACUCAUUAGAGCCCUUAACCGAUGCCCUGCUAGAUCAUCCAACUCGUCUAUCAUCAAAGUAGCAUAGUCAUCGGCAGUCAACUGAUCCUGAAAAGAUGGUCGUCUAGACCCAGUCUUAAUUUCCCAAGGUAACACUGCAUCAUGCCCAUACACCAACUAACAAGGUGAAACCUUAGUCGAUCCAUGACAAGCCAUCUGGUAUGACCAUAAAGCUUCAUUUAACAAUGUGUGCCACCUCCUAGGAUUUUCUUCAAUCUUUCAUUUGAUAAGCUUGAUAAUUCCUUUGUUAGAUGCCUCGGCCUGCCCAUUAGCUUGAGCAUAAUAAGGAGAAGAGUUUAAUACUUUAAUUCCCAUACCGAUUGCAAAUUCAUCAAACUCUCCCGAUGUGAACAUAGUACCCUGAUCGGUAGUAAUUGUUUGAGGAAUUCCAAAUCGGUAAAUAAUAUGCUCUUUCACAAAAUCAAUCAUAUUGGCCGACGUAACUUUCUUCAAAGGAAUAGCUUCCACCCAUUUGGUGAAAUAAUCAGUGACAACCAAGAUAAACUUAUGCCCUUUGCUAGAUGGUGGAUAAAUCUGACCGAUUAAGUCAAUAAACCAUCCCUGGAACGGCCAAGGUUUGAUAAUAGGAUUCAUGGCCGAUGCGGGUGCUCUUUGAAUAUUGCCAAAUUUCUGACAUCCUUGACAUCCCUUGAAAUAUUUAAAGCAAUCUUCAAGUAUGGUCGGCCAAUAAUACCCAUUCCUCCUAAUCAUCCACUUCAUCUUGAAAGCCGAUUGAUGUGCUCCACAUACCCCUUCAUGGAUUUCUCCCAUCAAACUCUUAGCUUCAUCAUCACCUAAGCAUCUGAGAAGAAACCCAUCAAUAGUUCGAUAAUACAAUUCAUCCUCGAGGAGGACAUACUUGGUAGCUUGAAACUGAAUCCAUCUCUCAACUUUCUUAGAUGGAUCAUUCAAAUAAUCAAUAGUUUCUUUUCUCCAAUCAUCGGCACCGAUUGCCGAUAUCGUAUUGAUCAUAGGCUGAUAUCCCGAGGCAUGCGGAGCCAACCGAUUGGCCUCUUCAUUAUGCAAUCGAGGAACAUGCUCUAAUCGGAAAUCCUUGAAUUCCUUUAACAGUUGCAUACUCCUCUCGUGAUAAGUUAUGAGGACCUCACUUCGGCAUUCAUAGCUUCCAGCCAAUUGAUUUAUAACUAGCAUAGAAUCUCCGAAGAUUUCAACAGCAUCAACAUGAAUUUCCCGUAGCAAUUCCAACCCCUUUAUUAAGGCUUGAUACUCAGCCUGAUUAUUUGUUGACGUGGCGACAAUCGGCAAGGAGAACUCAUACUUCCUUCCCCGAGGGGAAAUUAACACUAUGCCGAUUCCUGCCCCCUGGUCACACGUGGAUCCAUCAAAGAAGAGCGUCCAAGGUACAAUCUCCACUGUACCACAAUGUUGAGUCACAAAAUCGGCCAUAAUCUGUCCCUUAACCGCUUUAGCCGAUUCGUAAUGCAAAUCAAACUCUGAUAGUGCCAAGAUCCAUUACCGAUUCUGCCACUCAUAUUCGGCAUAGACAGCAUAUAUCGGACCACAUCAUCUUUGCAUAUGACAGUGCACUCGGCCGAUAACAAAUAAUGUCUCAACUUAAUACAUGAGAAAUAGAGACAUAAACAUAACUUUUCAAUAGCCGAAUACCUGGUCUCAGCAUCAACCAAUCUCCUGCUUAAAUAGUAAAUCACACGUUCUUUCCCUUCGAAUUCUUGAAUUAAAGCUGAACUGAUGACCAUCCCAUCGGUAGACAAAUACAACCUGAAGGGCUUCCCUUGCUGAGGUGGAAUCAGAACUGGAGGAUUUACCAAAUAAUUCUUGAUUUCAUCCAAGGCCAAUUGUUGCUCUUUCCCCCAAACAAACUCUUGAUCGGCCUUCAACUUGAGUAAAGGGCUGAAAGCACGAAUUUUACCAGAUAAAUUAGAUAUAAACCUCUUGAUAAAAUUUACCUUGCCGAUCAAGGAUUGGAGCUCAGUCUUGUUGGUAGGAGCAACUAUUUUGUCGAUAGCAUCAAUGGACCUUCGACUAAUUUCAAUCCCCCUUUGAUGCACCAUGAAACCAAGAAAUUGUCCUGCCGAUACACCAAAUGCACACUUAUUAGGAUUCAUCUUUAAACCACGCUUCCUCGUGUAUUCCAACACCUUUCGCAAAUCGGCAAGAUGCUUUGUGAAAUCUCCAGAUUUUACCACCACAUCAUCAAUAUAAAUUUCCACCAGCUUGCCGAUGAACUCAUGAAAUAUUAAAUUCAUGGCUCUCUGAUAAGUAGCACCAGCAUUUUUCCAACCAAAGGUCAUGACUGUCCAUUCAAACAACCCAACAUGACCAGGGCAUCUAAAUGCAGUUUUUGGAAUAUCUUCUUCAGCCAUGAAUAUUUGAUUGUAUCCUGCAUUGCCAUCCAUAAAGCUGAUAAUCCGAUGUCCAGCCGCAGCAUCAACUAGCAGAUCGGCAACUGGCAUUGGGUAACCAUCCAUCGGUGUAGCUUUGUUAAGAUUCCUGAAAUCAAUGCAGACCCGAAGCUUCCCAUUUUUCUUAUAGACCGGAACAACAUUGGAAAUCCACUCGGCAUACCGACACUGCCAAAUAAACUUAGCUUCAAUAAGUUUGGUUAUUUCGACCUUAAUAUCAGGAAGAAUAUUCGGAUUACAUCGGCGAGCUGACUGUUGAUGUGGCCGAAAUCCAGACUUGAUAGGCAACCGAUGUUCAACAAUCGAUCGGUCCAAACCAGGCAUCUCAGUAUAAUCCCAAGCAAAAGCAAUCUUUAUAUUCCUUUAGCAAAUCAGUCAAUUGUUGCUUACACUCAGAAUUCAACUUAGCACUAAUAAAAGUAGGCCUAGGCUUAUCAGCACUACCUAUAUCUACUUCUACUAAAUCAUCGGCCGAUGUGAAUCCCUGGCCUAAUUUUCCAUCAUCGGCGAACCUAUCCAUCAAAAACCUUCGUCAGAACCGACUGCUUGGAUCGGUGGAAUUUCAUAAUCGGCAACCUUAAGAAAAUCCUUUUUCCAAACUUCUCCUAAAAUACACCUAGUUCUUUCGUAGGUGUCUGCCUCUGCCGAUGCAAUAACAUAGAAAGGAUCUCCCAGGACAAUCUCAAUCUUGUCACCUACCCACAGAACCAAGCACUGGUGCAUUGUAGACGGGAUGCAACAAUUGGCAUGGAUCCAAUCUCUUCCCAGCAACAUGUUAUAAGCCCCUUUUCCACUGAUCACGAAGAAGGUUGUCGGCAAGGUUUUGCUACCGAUGGUCAACUCAACGCAUAUCGCCCCCUUAACUGGAGACAAGUUGCCCUCAAAGUCUUUGAGCAUCAUAUCGGUCUUGGUCAAAUCCUGAUCUCCUUUUCCAAGCUUCCGAUACACUGCGUAUGGCAUGAUGUUGAUAGCAGCUCCACCAUCAAUUAAAAUCUUGGUUAUCGGCUGACCAUCAACCCUCCCUUUGACAAACAGAGCCUUCAGAUGUUGCCUUUCAUCAUCGGCAGGCUUUUCAAAUAUGGCUGUCAUCGGAUCCAGAGCCAACUGAGCUAUUUGGUCAGAAAACUCCAACUCUUCAUCACUGGAUGGCGCAAGGAACUCCAUCGGCAACAUAAACACCAUGUUGACAUCUGCCGAUGGCCCUUUUCCCUUGGGAUCUGGUUGUUGCUGAUCCCCAGACUGGCCAGGGUUUUCGUCCUUGCUCAACUCUUCUAGCCUUUCGCGCUGCAGCCUUCUCUUUUGUGUCCUGGUCAACCCUUCUGGACACCAUGGAGGGAGAUGCUGCUGCCUUACCGAUGGGCGAUCAUUUUCUCUUGACUCCAUCCGAUAAGUAUUGGCGUCCCUGCAGAAGAUGAACUCAUCGGGAACCCGUGCAUUAGCCAUCUCUUCAAGUUCCUCCCGGUUCCUGGGAAAAUACCCAACACGAUCGCCGAGCCUAUCGUGCACACUGAGCCUGCCCCCCAGCCGAUUAUGAACGGACGCUCUCCCCUUAAUCGGCCCAUUAAAUCGCCGAUCAUCCUUGCGAUAGCGUCGAUCGGAUCUGUCAUACUGAUCAUAACCGUUGCACUCAGGACAAUCUCUGACAGUAGGGAGCUUGAUAUUCUCCUCCCAACAAUGGAUGAAGAACGGACAAUUCUAGUGAUCCCUAUGCCGAUUCCAAUCUUGUCGGCGUCUUUCUUCUUUCCGACGAUAAUCUUCCUGCUGGCGCCGAUACCGAUCCUCACGUUGCUGCCAAGUUUCCCGAGACAUUCUGUGAGUUAUUACGAUACCAGAUCGGGGAAGCCUUCCUGAGUUAGUCCCCUCCUGGAUCAAGCCUUUUCCUUUCGCAUCGGCAGUAGUGAUCUGAUGUUGAGGAUCCACCGAUGCACUUUUUCAGCUGCUUCCGAUGUUAAGACCUUGGCCUUUCCCUUGGCAUCCAGCAUGUUUGUUGGGAAAGGAUGUUGGUCAAUCUUCAUCGGCUUCUGAGCUUUAGAGCUGUCGAAUUUGAUCCUUCCAGAUUCUAUAGCCGAUUGCAACUGUUGUCUAAAAACUUUGCACUCAUUGGUGCUGUGAGAAGUUGCAUUGUGACACUUGCAAUAUUUCAUCCUUUUCAAUUCCUCAGCGGAUGGAAUCACAUGAUUAGGUGACAACUUGAUCUGACCUUCUUGGAGUAGAAAAUCAAAUAUCCUAUCGGCCUUAGUGAUGUCAAAUGCGAACUUCUCUGGCUCUUUAUGCCCAAACGGACAAGACAUCGGCUUCUUAUUUUUCACCCAUUCUGCCAAGCCGAUGAUUGGUUCUUCAUCAGAGUCCGAGCUUGCCGCUUCAUCCACAAAUGAUACCUUUUUAUUCCAUGCUCUCUUGGGCUCAAAAGGCUUGAUAUCUUGAUCAGAAAUUCUCUGCACCAAAUGACUUAAGCUUUCGAACUCCUGAGAUGCAUCUUUGUCCCUGAUGUGUGGCAACAAACCCUAGAACGCCAAAUCGGCUAGCUGCCGAUCAUCCAGAACCAAGCCAUAGCAUUUGUUCUUGACCUCCCGUAUCCUCUGCACAAAACUUUCAACCGUUCAUCAUUGCGUUGCUUUAAUUUGACCAAAUUGGUGAUCUUCUUCUCAUGGACUCCAGAAAAGAAGUAUUUGUGGACCUUCUUUUCUAGAUCGGCCCAAGUAAUCACUGAGUGGGAGGUAAUGAUAUAAACCAAGUAAAAGCCGAUCCAGAUAAUGAUGACGAGAACAAGCGGACCCUUAAUUCGUCCCUGUUAGCAGCUUCCCCGCAUUGGAUAAUAAACCUGUUGACGUGCUCCAUGGUUGACGUGUCAUCCUGUCCAGAAAACUUGGUAAAAUCCGGCACUUUGUACCGAUUUGGAAGCGGGAUUAAAUUAUAUGCGGGAGGAUACGGUGUCCGAUAAGAGUAAGUGUUGACUUUGGGUUUUAUCCCAAAUUGGUCUCUCAUUACUUCAGCAAUCUUAUCGGCCCAAUAAGCAUUGGCAUCUUGCCGAUGAGGCGGUUGCGGAUCCAGCAUCUGCUGGUAAGCUUCCACGUGUCUGUUCGGUGCCCGAUCUGCAUGGAACAUUGGGUUAAUCAUUUGGCCACCCAUCUGCUGACCACCAAACUGUUGCCCACCGAUCUGCUGUUCGAGAUUCAUCGGCUGGUUGGGCAACCCUUGAUUCUGGAAUCCAGGGUGGAUCUGGCCUUGUUGAAACCCUGGAGCCUGAUGAUUCUGUUGGGGUAUUUGCGGAAAGACUUGCUGCCCAAGCCAUCCACUAUUAGCGUUCAUCGGCAUAGGUCCUACCGAUGACUGGUAAUUGAGCAUCAUCAUCGAAUUGACAUACCCUGGCUGAGUCAUAAACCUCUGUUGCAUCAGCAUUGAGUCUGCCGAUGCGUUAGGCAUCUGGAACGUUGGAGCUUGAGAAUUCCCAGUGUAAGGCCUUGCAGUAGUAGUUGUAGUAUACUGGGGACUCUGAUUCAUCGGCAUAUUUUGAGGUGCCGAUGCCAUAGGGGCCUUGCCUCUCAUAUCAGCCGCUUGGGAUGUACCAGGUGUCUUCAACAAGAAUUCCGGAGGCAUACCGAAACCCCACCAGUUAGGAGGAGGGGCUGACCCUGACAUUGCCGAUGCCAAUAGAUCUGUAGUAAGCUUAAUCUGCUCAUCUGAAGUCGGUGGAUUAGUCGUCAUCGGCGUAGAUUGUGCAUUAGUGACUCCUAACGUGCUUGGAGGAACAGCAGUUUCCGCGCCCGCAACGGCUGUAGCAGCCGAUGGAGCUGUGACCACCGGUGAUCCUGGCUGAUGAUGAGAAGGGCCCACAUAAUUUGGUGGCAACUGCCCUUCCUUAAAAGUUCUAGCCACGGCAUUGAAAACCGUAUUGGACAGCACGCCAGCUUGAUUGAUCAAAGCACGGUUAAUAGCAUUAUCAACCAUGUCUUGAAGUUUACCAGGAUUGGCAUCAAAAGUAACCUGCCGAGGCAUCGACAGUGCUUCCUUCUGGAUCACCUCGCCGCUCCUGUUUAUGCUGAAAGACCUCAAGCAUUGCUGCUUGUAAUCCUCCAUGGCUUUAGCAAUAGGUUGCUUCUGCUCAUCCUUGAGAUUGGCUUCCGUCACAGGGAUGACAUUCUCCUGAUCAAACUCAGUAGUCGACAUGUUGAUCUUGAUCUUGAAUCUAGUCCCACUGGGCGUGCCAAAAGAUGUGUUGAUGCAAAAGCUGAUCUGCAAACACAAAGGGCUAAUACACGAUUUAAACGUUAAGGCGUGCCAGCCGAUUUGACCUUACUAUCGGCAAAGGCGAUAACUCGAAUACUUUGGUCCCGACAACAGUGAUGCGCCCGGAUGCCACGGCCAAGAGGUACUCACGCGGAACUUGAGAAUACCCCGAGCUUAAGUCGACGAACUCCUAAGAACUCAUAAUGAAAAAAGGAAAAUAUGACGAAGUCGUCGAAAAAGUAGAUGCUGUGAUAUGAGUAAAAACUUGUGUUUGAUUGAUUGAUAGAUGUCUCAAUUACAAGGCCCUAGGGUCUACAUUUAUACCCUGCUCAAAGAGCUACAACCAGACACGACUAGAAUUCGAAUUCCAAAUUUAAACAGAAUCCGUGUACACAACGAUUUAAAUAACUAAGGAAAACAUAAAACUAUCCUGCCGUGACAAGUUGGGACACCAUCACGGACCAAUUGGCAACCUCCAAGCUUUCCUUCCACGUCAUCGGCAGACCCCCCAUCGGCAACGGUUAAUACUGGCCAUCGGCAUAAACACAUCACCACCCAUGGACUUAGCCACAUUCAGCUGUCUCCUCAUCGGCAACCACUCUUAUCGGCAACUCUCCUACAGACCAGUCACUAUUGCCCUUUCUUGCCGAUCUACACUCUACCGAUCCUGCGUACGUGUCCAAAAACGGUGUCAACACUUGCAUUCUCUUUGUUUCUAAUGGCUCGUUCCUCGCCCUCUUCUGAUGUUUUGUACUGCACGAAGUCAUCCCAGAAGGCCCUCGGCUUUACAUAUUGCUUGAGGUUGAAAUUUGGAGUCUCGUUUUUCUUGACAAAUUUAUUGUACAAAGUCUUCUUCCAAUUCUGGAACAGUACCGCCAUCUUCUUCAUAGUCCAGUCAUAAAUUCGCACCUUCAACUCUUCAUCGUUGGUGUCGAAGGUGAAAAUGUCUGUGACGGCUUUCCAAACUAACUCUUUGUCACGAUCAGAGACAAAACUGAUCUCAGGAGCACCUCGCUUCUCUCUCCAUUCACGAGCACUAAUCGGUAUUUGAUCUCUCACAAGAUAUCCACAGUGACUAACAUAUUCAUUUGCAUGUUCACCAAGUGGUCUGCCUGUAGCUAUCUCAAACUCAGAGAUUACAUAGCAGCCCUCCAACGGCUUCUUUGGCCCUCGUGGAGGUACGCUUCUCCCCGUAGAGGUCGAUCUAGAAGGCUCCACGUAGAUAUAGAAACAAAAAUACUAAAUUAAUAACCAAGUAAGUCUAAAACCUAAUGUAAGAGAUGCAUUAAUUAUAUAUGUUUACAUUUACAUACCUCGCCAGUAUUUUCUUCUUGUUGCACGACAAGUUGUUGCUCAGGCGCAUUGCCCUCUUGUUGCUCAAGGGCAUUGCCCUCUUGUUGCUCAGUCGGAUUGCCUUGCAUGAUCUCGUUGUAAUCAAUAAAGUACUGACUACCGUCGUCGAUCAUAUUUUGAAUGGCAUCUUUCCAUAUAAUCAGGAUCAUCAUGAGGACGGUCAGCCAUUUCUAUGUCUGCAAUCAUACAUAUAUAUAUUUUAUAUAAGAUAAGAAAUACACUAGAAUGAUAUACUAAAAAAUAAUACUAACAAUAACACUAGAAUUCAUAAUAUACUAAAACACUAGAAUUCAUAAUAUACUGGAAUAAUGUACUAAAAAACAAUACUAGAAUAAUAGUACAAACAAUAAUAUAUACAAAACACUACUAGAAUAAAUUUGGUCGGUAAACACUACUAGAAUAUAUAUUAGAGACUUAUAUACUACUAUUAGUACUACUACAAAUGAAAGUGUUGGAGUGCUCUAAAAAUAAUACUAGAAUCUUUUAAGCCAAGUAAUAUACUAGAAUAAUAUACUAAAAAACAAUACUAGAAUAAUAGUACAAACAAUAAUAUAUACAAAACACUACUAGAAUAAAUUUGGUGGGUAAACACUACUAGAAUAUAUAUUAGAGACUUAUAUACUACUACUAGUACUACUACAAAUGAAAGUGUUGGAGUACUCUAAAAAUAAUACUAGAAUCUUUUAAGCCAAGUAAUACACUAGAAUAAUAUACUAAAAAACAAUACUAGAAUAAUAUAGUACAAACAAUAAUAUAUACAAAACACUACUAGAAUAAAUUUGGUGAGUAAACACUACUAGAAUAUAUAUUAGAGACUUAUAUACUACUACUAGUACUACUACAAAUGAAAGCGUUGGAGUGCUCUAAAAAUAAUACUAGAAUCUUUUAAGCCAAGUAAUACACUAGAAUAAUAUACUAAAAAACAAUACUAGAAUAAUAGUACAAAUAAUAAUCUAUACAAAACACUAGAAAAUAAAAUAUAUAUUAGAGACUUAUAUACUACUACUAGUACUACUACAAAGUGCUAGAGUGCUCCAAAAAAUAAUACUAGAAUCUAUUAAGCCAAGUAAUAGACUAGAAUAAUAUACUAAAAUAUAAUACCAAAAAAUAAUACAAGAAUAAUAUUAAUAUACUACAAAUAUACUAUAAUUUAUAACAAUUCAAAACACUACAUUUAUACUAGCUAGAAUAAUAUACUAAAACUAUUACAUAUACUAGCAUCCAUUACUAUAUUACAUGUAUACUAUAAUUUUUAUGGAUAUAUAUACUUAAUAUACUAGCAUUCAUUAUUAUUUUUUGGUGUAUAUAUAUAUACUUUAUAUAUAUAAAAAUCACUAAAAUUGUAGAGUGCCAUAUAUAUAUAGACUGCGCAGCACUACUACUAGUGCCACAUAUAUAAACUGCACGGUGAUCUCGGUUUUGGAUAGGAGAGAGAGUGUCGCGUCUAUACGUGAUGUGGGGGCCGGACGGCGGGCUGAAGACGCGCGGUGGUGGACGGCGGCGCGCGGCGGCAGCACUAACGGUGGUCGACGGCGGCGCUGGAGACGGUGGUGGAUGGCGGUGGCGACGAGAAGGGCUCUCUGCUCGACGAACGAAAGGCGGCGGCGAAGACGAAGGGCUUUGCUCGACGAAGACGAAGGAACUGUUCAGAUCCAGGGUGCCCGCGGUAUAUAUAGGGGCGAAGACGAAGGAACCGGUUAUUGGGUAUUCUUAACAUCAUUACCAAAAGUAGACUUAAUUUUCUAAUUCUGAUAACGGUGCCAAAAAUGCCAAACCUAUCCGUCAUACCACUUAAGCCAAGUUGUCAUCCCCACCAUGACAUAAGAGACACGGUAUUGAAAUAAGCAAUUGCUCUUCUAAAUAAAUAACAAAUGGGAUCUGCAAGCGCACAGAUUAAUACCGAUGUAGCAUUUUAACCGGGAAGUAUUCCAGGUAUCGUUAUUUAUAUUUUUACCACUAGGAAGGGAUUAAUAAUCAUCAAAAUUGAUUAUAGAAUGGAAUAUAAGAUUGAGUAUCUAUCAUUGCAUGUAUAAUUGAGAACACUUAUCUAACUCUUUCGUACAGGGAUAAGUGUCACAUAAAAGAUAUAUGAAGUAAUGAAUAGUGACAAAGAUAAUUAAUCUGAUCAGCAUAACUUAGCCACAUAUAAAUAUGAUAAGCACCUCAAUUAGAUAUUCUAGCAAGUCAUUAGCAUGGAAUUAGGAUGAACUACAAGAAUAUUUCCUAAGUUAUUCUUAACAAUACAGUCUAGCAUUAUCAUAGUUAGUGCAAGCAUACGUAGCAAUCAUUGUGAGACAAGACUACGCCCAUGCAUAGUGAUAUUAGCAAGGAAUAUGAGAAACAUCGUAAUCACUUCCAUGUAAUAAUGUUGCUCUGCCAGCCCAAUACACGAGAGGGGGACUAUAUAAGAAUCAAUGAAGCUGUCACUAUCACGAACUACCCCACGAUCUGGCAUAUUGGGUACAAUCGCAGAUAAAUACGGUAUAAGCACCACGCCUACACAAUAUCUAUCAUUUACCCAUGGAUCCGAUGGAUAAACGCUAUACGAUCCUAAACAUGUAUAUAGAUCCAAUCUAACUAAGCCAAGUAUAUAACAAUGAUAAACUAAGAACAAUAUAAUUGCGAAUAUAAACAAGUAGAGCAAAGUCAUAAGCAAUAUAUUGAAGUAGAACAAAGUCAUAUUCAUAAUAUUGAAGAACAAUAUGAAAAAUUAGAAGAACAAUUAGAGAAUUACCAAGAAUCCUCUUGACAGAUCCGGAAAUCAAUCGAAGAUUGACUCCUUCUAGUUCUAAUCCUAUGUAGCUAUGCUAAUCUAGAUGUCUAAUUGUUGUGGUGGCCCUAGGCUUGAUCAUAGGCUUCUUCUCCCUUGAGGAAUAAUGAAUUAGGGUUGAGAGGCUCUCCCCUCCAGGGGCCAGGGGUCUGGUUUUAUAGUCCCUUCAAGUGAAUAUGGGUCGUUGGAUCAAACCGACAUUGAUUGAAUAGUUAUCCUUGAUCCUUUAGGUCGGUGGAGAUCGAUCCCGAAAGAGUGUCCUGAUUGGAGUCCAACAAGGGGCGGGCGCCCUGGUCUCUUGGGCGGGCGCCCAGGGCCAGGCCACGUUCGGCCUCCGCUUCCUUCUCGUGGCUUUUGGAGUCUUCUAGAUGUAAGAUAAUUGCGCGGCACGUUGAUAUCUCUAUGUAAUCCCGACGUGUAUUUCCUAAUAACCCCCUGUAGAAAUAGACAAACACCAAAACUCGUGGAAUUCUGUCAGAUAAAACCCUAAGUCUGGAUGUUGAUUUCAUUUGGAUCCUUUUCUUUGUUUAUUUGAUAAUUAAAUUGCAUACUUAAGGACCGUCAACAAACUCCCCCAAGCUUACCUCUUGCUCGUCCCUGAGCAAGGAUAGAGUCAGUGAUGGAUCAGAAGUUACUGAGAUGCCUUUAAAAAUUGACGGUACACAUGCUUUCAAAUGAGGUCUCAUCUCUGAGUUAGAGUAAACUGUCAAGACUUAAAACUUACUUAUUUUACCUUUCACCAUGGGACUUGUAACCGUCACUUGUGUCUUGAGUAGUUAAAAGAUAGAACGGUCUAGUCAAGUGCCAUGUCUCUUAUUCUUGAUCAGCUAUAGCUCUGGAGUUUUGCAGAUUUUCAAAUAAAACUCAGAGAUUCCUUGUAUGACUCUCUCAUAUCUCUCUUUUGUGGUAUUUCUGGAUCCUUACCAAGGCAGUGAUGGUAUAUGCCUUCUCUCAAAAUAUGUAGUAUUUGUGGUAUAAGGCAUAGUGACAUUGCCUUCUCUCUCAUCCUACUUUAAUAAGGCUUUUGAUAUCUGGAGCUCAUAGGUGGGAGAUAAAGUAUACAUACUUACAAGACAUUUAUUGCAUAGUCGAACCAUGGAUCCAGAGAAACAAGUCAAUAAGUCAAAUCAAGAUGUGCAUGUGUGGCGAAUGAAUGGUGUAUGGUGAUGAGGGUGAUAACAAUGGUGAAAGUCUAAUUCUACUUUGUGCUCUUUUGAGGGGAUAUAUACCUUUCAUGCUUUUUGAAACUUUGUGAGGAGAAUGAGAUGCUCUAUUUUUUUCUUUUUCUUUCCUCUCAGGUGGGUAUCUUGUACCACUAAUUCUACUGUCGGACACUUGUACAUUUUUACCUCUCGUCUCACUUUUUCUUUUCUUUCGAGGUUCUGGGCACUUGCCCCUUUUUAUUUCCUCGUUUCCUUUUUUUUAAAGCACUAAUCUCUUGAAAUAAUAUAGCAAGUGGUAGUAACCAAGAUAAGUUGAGCAUUUAUUUCACAGGGAAAAACAUAAAUGUUUUUGGCUAUUCUCUCCCGGAUUAGGAGUAGAAUGUUUUUGGGUGGUUCUAGUGAUGGAAAUGAGUGAAUAUAUGUGGAUGGUACUUCAGGAGUAGAAGUAGCAUGUGUGAGUGAACGUGCAAGUGAAUCUUGAUUUAACCACAUGACAAGCUCCUAAGGGUCUACACAGCUUGACCAAACUCAAUGCUCAUAAGUAGUAAAAGUAAAUGUGUGGCUCAAAGUCUAGCAAGCAUGUAUAUAUGGCUGUGGUAGUAAUUUAAACUCUCAUCAUACAGGAACUCAUCAUGCAAUAUUUAAAGAUUUUAAAAGCUCUAGGAAUAGAUAAAUAGCAGUUCAACCUUCCCAUAUCAUAUCCGUUAACAACUUAGACUUCAGAUCAAGUUUUCUUCCCACAAGUUUAGGUUUAGAGCAAGCUUUAAAUUAUAACAGUUAUGUCUAAACUUGAAAAUUAGGCAGAGCAACUAUUCAUCAUAUCCAUGCUAGAGUUUUAUUAUUAAGAUUCAGAUUAGCAUAGCCACUUUAUUUAUUUAUUAAGCAUACUAAGCAAAAGAUAUAUAUAUAAGUAUAAAAUCUUUAUUUGGUUUUCCAUAGUUAUGUGUAUCUAUAUUUUAAUAUAGUAUAAGUAUAAAGAUAGAUAGAAAUACUUAGCGGGAUAAAUGUGGGUGCUCUCCCCCAAGCUGAAUUUUGACGUAAUUUCUUUUGAUGUAGCUAGUAGGUGGCAGAGGUGUAUUUGAAAGUCGGCAGUAUCUUGACAGCGAUUAGAACGUCCUCCGUCUGCUUGUCUUCUUGAUUCUUAAAUUAUGUGGAGCUCAAAUAGACAACAAAGCUUUGUGGAACUGAUUAAGUGUUAGCAUAAAUAUCUAGCCUUCAUCAUGUGGAGCCUCCUCAACAAAUAUUACUUCUAUUUUUUAUAUUUUCAUUUUAUAAAGCAGAAAAAUAUUUAUUUUAUUUUUAUGCCACCAUAGUGAAUGUACUUAUGGGUUUUAUGCCACUCGUAUACUCACAUGGGGCUUACUAUUUUUUAACAUUUUUAUUUUCUUUUUAGGAUAGUAUGAACAUAAUUAACUAAGCAAACUAUUUUAAAAUAAUUGAAAGGGAAAGGAUAACUACCAAGUUUACCUCUUGGCAAGGCGUUCGGUGUUUUUAAGUCCUCCGAACGGGACUCUCCGUUUUCUCAAUUGUCCUGGGGUUCAUUGGGUGGCGUAGUCGGUACUUCCGGCGGCGCCUCCUCUUCAUGUAUAGUUAUCUUCUCUUUCCACACCUGACUCGGUGCUACAGUCUCCUCUGGAUAAUUCUGUUUAAACUGUAUGUCUUCUGACUUUAUCACUUCUCCUUCAUAGUCUGCCCACCCAUCCUUGAUAAUCUGCCUCCUCUGGUUGCGGUUGCGUCGUUUUCUGACCUGCUUAGAGUCUUCAACGAUACAGUUAGGGUCAGUAAAAUAGCGGCGUACCUUUUCUGAGGGGAAGUGCAUAUGGACUUCUCCAGUUCCAAUGUAGAUAAUUGCUUUAAUGGUGCUGAGGAAUGGUCUUCCAAGGAUGAUGGGUGGAUCGUAUUCGUCUUCUCCCAUGUCAAUAACCGGAAAGUCUGUGUAGACAAAAUGAUCGUCUAUUUUGACAGGGACAUCAGUCACUAUACCUUUAACCUCUCGAAAUGUCUGAUCUGCCAUCCGGAGCUGAAUGUAUGUUGGUUUUAAGGGCAUGGUUCCGAACAAGAGCCGAUAGGUGACUGCGGCCAUUAUGUUGACGCCCGAUCCGGUGUCACAAAACGUAUUGUAGAAAUUGUAUCCAUUAAUGGAGCAGUAUAUGCUUGGCAUUCCUGGGUCGUCGUUCUUGGUCAAAAAUGGUGACUUAAGUUGAUGAUCUUGGCCUCCAUGAACUGCAGUGACCAUCUUAGCUGACUCGGUCCACACUUGCUUGUUCCUGUUCCUCCUGUUGGUCCUCUUCCUUGACUCAUGUCGAGAUUGAUCUGGGAUUUGUGUAGUCUUGUUCUUGAAGGAAAACGUCUCCUUCCUCCCUUUGAUGUAGAAACUAAUCUUGCUAGCACUAGCGUAGAUGACAGCUCCCGAGGUGUUUAAGAAUGGCCUCCCUAAGAUGAUGGGUGCCCUCUCAUCAUUACCGGUCUCUAUUACCACGAAGUCUGCUGGGGCAUAUAAGGUACCAACUCGGACACAAAGGUUCUUCAAUAUUCCUUUUGGAAAACUUAUCGUCUGAUCUGCAAACUGCAAACACAUGGUUGUCUCUAAUCAAGGAUAUGUAAAGAAUUUU